AUAUUCCCAUUCUACCCUUGACAUUGCUCACUUUUUACAUGAUAGAGCAGGCAUUAGGGUUCUCAUCACUGAAGAUCUGAGGUGGGUAGGCAUACUGUUCCAUGAUCUGAGGUGGGUUUGCAUACUGUUCCAUGAUCUGAGGUGGGUAGGCAUAGUGUUCCAUGGCAUACCUUGGUGGGUAAGAAUAGUUUUCAUUCUUCUUCAUCAGCUCCACCACCUUGGUCUCUUCUGCGGCAGCUCCUUCCGGUGCACCACCAGCGGCCGCGGCGGCAGCUUCAUUGUUGUCACCUUUAUUUUCCUUGUUCUCUUCUGCUUUCGCUUCAUCGCCACCACCAUCUUUGCCCUUCUUAUCUUUGUCACCUACUUCACCACCUUUCUUCUCAUCUUUGGCUUUUUCUUUCUCUUUCUUCUCCGGUUCUUGCUUCACGAUCGCCGCGUGCUUCCCGGUUCUUUUGUGCACAUAAUCAACUAGCUUAGGCGGAUCAAACACACCCUUCACUGUCACCUCUGAGCUCUUAAGAUCUGCCUCAGCAGAUUCCACUCCUAAAAAAGUAAUACAAAAGAAAAGCACACAAACAAGAUUAAUUGGAAAAUCGCUCGAAUAAAAUAAUUAUUUUAAAAACAGAAACUUUUGGAAAUAAUUUAAAGUUGGGAUUGGUGGGAUUUGGUCUUGGAAGAGAAUUAAAUUGACUUUAAUUGGACUUGAUUUUUGUGAACUCUAGAAAUUAAUGAAUUAUAUUAUUGAAGAUGAAGAAUGAAUUGACAUUGAAAGAUUGGUCAUUAUUGAUAGAAUAAUAAACUCUUUUUUUAAAGAGAUUCACAAAAAAGAAAAUUAAUAAAAGUUCAGGACCGUUAAUUGCCAACGCAUCCAUACUCCAAAUUUCCCAUUUUUUAAUUUGUGGAAAGUUAGAAAAUGCUUGAACCAAAAUCUGAAAAAGGAUCAAAGACAUAAUCGUUUUUUUCUUUUUAUUUUUUGGGUUUUGUUCUUAUCUCUCUGAGAAAAGAAAACCAAAAUAAAAAUUUGAGUACACCUUUUAUUCUGAGAAUGCGUUUCUUGAUUUCUUGGGCACAGGCGUCGCAAUGCAUGUGAACUUUCAGCACCACUGUGAUUACCUGGGGCUGCAACAAAACAAAAAAUAAUUAAACCCAUCAAAUUGAAAGAAAAAAAAAUCAAUUAAAAUGGCAAUGGAAAAAAUUCUGCAAAAUGAUUAAAAUAUUUGAGUGGACUGAGAACCUCUUCUUUCUUUUCCUCUGGUUUGGGCUUCUCUUUCUCCUCCGCCGGCGGUUUUGGGAUUGGAAAGAGAAGCUCCACCUGCCGGUGGCUCUUCCUCUGAACUCUUUCAAGAACCUUAAUUGGUUCAGCCUUCUCUCCCUUCACCACCACCUUGUGAGUCUUGCAAUCUGUGCUCACAUCUUCCACCCCUGAAAAUUAAAAAAUUAAAUCAAACACAAAUUAAUCCCCCAACCCAAUAUUCCAAUAACGCAAACACAAAAACAAACCUUGAAAUCCUUUGAGGCACCGCUUGACCUUGCGAGCACAUCCCUCACAAUGCAUAUAAACUUUGAGCACAAUUUCUUGGGGUGGCGGCGGAGGCGGAGGAGCGGUGGCGGCAUCACCCUCCUUGGCCUCUGCUUUCCCAUCUUUUCCCUCCUCGGCUUUCUCCUUCUUUUGCUCGGCAGCCUCAGGCUUCUUCUCCUCCGCCUCUGGCUUCUUCUCCUCCAUUUUCUUCUCCUCUGGUUUCUUCUCCUCCUAAACCAACACAAACCCAAAUACAAAAACAAACCCAAUAAACAAAAGAUACAAACUUCGAGAGAAACAAAUCAUAUUAAAAAAAAUAUAUAUAUAUCAAAUCAAAAAUUGAUUAUUAAAGUUGUAGGACCUCCCCCAUUGGUGUAGUUCAAUUGUUAAGUUUUACUCUGUUUUUAAAAUCUCUCCUCUCUCUCUCUCUCUCUCUCUCUCUCUCGAUCUCUCGAGUGGCAUGGGAGCUCAGCUUUCUCUAUAUUUGCGAGAAAUGGGCACUCUCUCUUUUGUGUUUGUUUUUUUUGGUUAAAACUCUCUUUGUGCUUUGUAUUAAACUUUGAGUCACAUAUUUGGGUCCCUCAGAUCUGUAGCCAAAAGCCACUCGGUUCUAUCUCUCUCAUCAUCAUCCAACUUCUGCAAUUUUCUAACCCCAUGACGUGGCAUUGUUGAGUGCCCAUGUGUGCGCAGAAAUUAAUAUUUACUGCACUCUGUGAUUAAAUUGUUUUGUUUUUUGUUUUUUUGGGGCAUUUCUGGAAUAUUCUACCACUUGUUUCUGCUGUUUUUCUUUUGCUCUUGUUCCUUUCAAUGGACUGUACUUGGAUGCUUGCUUUGUCAUUUUGGCAGCUCUUCAUGUGUGGACUUCGAGUUAUUAGGGCACUUCUACUAUAGGAAGGACCAAGGGCGGAGCUACCAUGGGCCUAGAGGGGGCGGAUGCCCCCACUGAGAUUUUUCUGAUGCUGGCAUGCUCAUCUGUUUCUGCAGCAGCAAAGCCCCCACUGCGAUUUUGAGCAGCAGCAAAGCCCCCACUGCAAUUUUCUGGUUCCUCCGAUCUGGGUCUUUCUAAACCAGGCCAAAGGCAAAACGAACCUCUGCAGAAGCCUGAUCUGAUUUUUUUUUUUUAAUGUAAACGAAACGGCGUCGUUUCGUAUAUGUUUAAAAAAAAAAAGUUAUGUUAUAGUAUUAGUGGGGGACCAGACUCCCAUUUCUUUUUUUUUGUCUCCUAAAAAAGUUAUGUUAUAGUAUUAGUGGGGGACCAGACUCCCAUUUCUUUUUUUUUUUACUCCCUUUGUUUUCGUUGCCCUUUGUCAGAGAGCAGCUUGGUGCUGCUCUGUUUGUCUUCUCCAAAGUCCAAACCAAUACCUUGAAAGUUGCUCUCCUGUCCAGGUGCUCUCUGGAGCAAAGUUGCUCUUCCCAGCCAUGCCAGCAGCCAGCCAUUCUCUAGUCUCUAGCCGACAACAUAUAUAUAUAUAUUUAGGUAAAAUUUUUAAUUCCUAAAUCUAUAAUUCCUAACCCUAAUUAAUUAUUUAAGACGAAUUUUUGUUUAAUUGGUAUAGAAAUAUAGAAUCAUAUGGAUAUGGUAUGCACUAAUAUGGAUGGUUAUUGACUUAUUGAUUAUUGAUAUGAUGAAUUCUAUGAUUAUUGAUGAAUGAAAUUAUGAAAUUAUGAAUUCUAUAAAUAUGGGUAUACAUUUAUUCAAAUGAUUAGUUGAAUUAAAUGUUUAUUUGUUGAAUAAUUUGUAUGCUUAUUGGUAUUAGUUAAUUGAAUUGUUGCCUUGGUUGGAUAUGGAUUAGUUAUUAGGCAUUUAUUUUAUUUUUUGGUUAAGAAAGCAUAUAUAUUAAUAUGGAUAACAUUGUCAACAUCUCCAAGAAAACUCAAUUCUACGGCUUAACAGUCUAAAAACAAAUCCAUUUUUCAGAAAUGGAAUCAUAAUCAUCCCCUUUCGAAACCCAAAAAAGAAGAAGAAAUGGAUUAGUUAUUAUUAGGCAUAUUAGUAUAGUAUACUCUAGGAUUAAGAGUCUAAGAAUUUUAUUGAGAUUUUUAUUCUAUAAAUUCUACAAAUUACGUAUGAACCUUAUAUGUUAUUGGUAUAUGACUAACUUUGUAGGCUGAAACAUCAUGGAGAGGUUUUUCAAAAAAAUAUCAGUGCCGCCACCAUCCCCAAUUAUUGAGAAAAAUAAUGAUACUCGGGGACAUGAUAGUGCAGAAUUUAUUUUAUCAAAUCUUCCAUCAGAUCCUGGUAAGAGAAUUCGAAUUUUGGAUUACAAUCCUAAUAUUCGAGAUCAAGUACGAAGAGCGUAUGUACUAGCUGGUCCUCAACAACCUAAAACCCAUAAUUUUCCUUACAAGAAAUAUGGAGACACGCAAAGACGAUUCAACCCUGCUUGGUUUGAUGAUUUUCCUACUUGGUUGGAAUAUAGUGUAGAAAAAGAUGCUGCCUUUUGUCUGUGUUGCUACCUUUUUAAACCAAACAUUGGAGAACAAGCAGGUGGUGAUUUCUUUGUUGGCGAAGGAUUUUCUAACUGGAAGAAGAAAGAAAGACUUCUAACUCAUAUUGGAGGCGUCAAUAGUGCACACAAUCAAGCGUGGAGUAAUUUUGAAGCUUUAAGGAGUCAAAAGCAACAUAUCCAGUCUUUUUUCUCUAAAACUCAUGAUGAAGCUCGAAUUCAAUAUAGAGCUCGGUUGAAUGCAUCAAUUGAUUGUUGUCGAUUUCUUUUGAGACAAGGGCUUGCAUUUCGUGGUAAUGAUGAAUCUGAACAUUCAAGCAACCAUGGAAACUUUCUUGAGCUUCUACAGUUUAUUGCUGACCACAAUGAGGAUGUGAAAGCCGUUACUUUGAAAAAUGCUCCGGAGAAUCACAAAUUGACAUCACCAGAUAUUCAAAAAGACAUUGUAAAUGCUUGUGCAACUGAGACGAUCAAGGCUAUUAUUGAAGACGUUGGCACUUCGUUGUUCUCUAUUUUGAUUGAUGAAUCUCGUGACGUAUCAACGAAGGAACAAAUGGCUAUUGUAUUGCGUUAUGUGGACAAGAAUGGGCAUGUCGUUGAGCGUUUUAUUGGCAUUGAGCAUGUUACUAGUACCGCUGCUCUCUCACUCAAGGAAACCAUUGAUGGGGUAUUUUCUAGGCAUAAAUUGAGCAUGUCUAGGUUGCGUGGGCAAGGUUACGAUGGGGCCAGCAAUAUGCAAGGUGAGUUCAAUGGUCUUAAAGCUCUUAUUAUGAAAGAAAGUGGUUGUGCCUAUUAUAUUCAUUGCUUUGCACAUCAACUUCAAUUAGCUCUUGUAGCUGUGGCAAAGAAGAACAUUCAAAUUGAGUCUCUUUUUAGUAUAGUUACUAUUUUGGUAAAUGUUGUUGGAGCUUCAUCGAAGCGUUGUGAUCUUCUUCGGGAGAAGCAAUCUAUUGCAGUUAUUGAAGCACUAAACAGUGGUGAGUUUACAAGUGGGAAAGGCAAAAAUCAAGAAACUACUUUGAAACGUGCUGGAGAAACACGUUGGGGUUCACACUUGGGUACUUUAGUAAGUAUAAUGACUAUGUUUUCAUCCAUACUUGAUGUACUUGAAGUAAUAGCAGAUGAUGGAGUAAGCUCUCAACAAAGAUGUGAAGCGAAUAAUUUAUUGGAUUCCAUGCAAUCAUUUGAUUUUGUGUUUAAUCUACACUUGAUGAAAGAUAUACUUGGAAUAACCAAUGAAUUGUCACAAGCAUUGCAAAGGAAGGAUCAAGAUAUUGUAAAUGCUAUGAAGUUGGUUGGAGUUUGUAAGCAAAGGUUGGAGAUAAUGAGGAAAAAAAUGGUUGGGAUUCUUUACUCAAUGAAGUCUCAGAAUUUUGUCUUAAACAUGAUAUUGAUGUGCCUAAUAUGGAUGAUAUGUUUCUUUCUCGAAGGCGAGGGCAACGAAAAGCAAAAGCAGUCACAAAUAUGCAUCACUAUUGUGUUGGGAUAUUUUAUGUUGUUUUGGAUUGGCAGCUUCAAGAACUAAAUAAUCGUUUCAAUGAGACCAACACUGAGUUACUUCUUUGUUUGGCAUGUUUAUGUCCAGCCGACUCCUUCUCUGCUUUUGAUAGCCAAAAGCUAUUGCGUCUUGCCCAAUUUUUAUCCUAAAGACUUCUCUAUGAAUGAGCUGGUGAUACUUAAGAUUCAACUUGAGACUUACAUUGUGGAUAUGCGGUCUAGCAUUGAGUUUUCAGGUUUAAAAGAGAUUGGAGAUCUUGCAAAAAAAAUGGUUCAAUGCAAGAAACACAAGGUGUAUUCGCUGGUUUACUUGCUUGUGACAUUAGCACUAACUCUUCCAGUUGCUACUGCAACCGUUGAAAGAGCAUUUUCGGCCAUGAAAAUUCUGAAGAAUCGAUUGAGAAAUCGGAUGGGAGAUCAAUGGAUGAAUGAUAACAUGGUUAUUUUUAUAGAGAGAGAGAUAUUUGAUGGUAUUGGUAAUGAUGUUGUCAUGCAACGCUUUCAGAACAUGAAAACGCGUCGAGGGAUAUUGUAAAGGACUGUUGUAUGAAAAACUUUAUGGAUUAAUAUAUAAGUAUUGUGUUUAGUAAAUUCUUAAGCUUUUUAAUUAUGACUUUGUUGUUUGAGGAUGCCCCCAUUCACACAAAUCUCUGGCUUCGUCCCUGGGAAGGACCCCAGGAUAAUUGACAAUUAAAUCUCCUCUAUUGAAUAAUAAUCGUUUUUAAUAAACAGUAAUUGUCUUUUACAUCUUCAUCUUUAAACUGAAUAGUCAUGGCAAUAGGCAAUUAAAUAUUAUUUAAGCAAGGGGAAGAAAUGUUCAAUCUCCAGGAGGGCGAAAAUGAGAUGGAAGAGGAAGAUGAUGAGGAGCGUAAAAGGAGAGAUGACGAAGUAAGUAGUCAAAGAGCCUUAUAUUCCUGUCGAGUCAUCCAAGUUGUGGCUGAGAUCUUCAGGCCUAGCCAUUCCGCAAACAUCGAUGGAAUCAGGCAACGACGACGUAAGGAUCUCUUGGACGAUUAUUUUGUCUGUAACAGUGUAUUCCCUAAUAUGUGCUUUAGAAGUUGUUUUAGAAUUCAACGACAUUUGUUCGAUAAAAUCAUGAUUGUUGUUUGCAACCAUGAUUCUUACUUUGUGCAAAAGAAUGAUGCUUUUGGUGUCAUGGGUCUCAUUCUUAAGCAAAAAAUUACUACUGCUUUGCAGAUGCUUACAUAUGGAGCAUCUGCAGACCAAGUGGAUGAAAUAGCGAGGAUGGGGAAAUCAACCAUUCUUGAGUCCCUGAUAAGGUUUUGCUCCGCAAUCAAAUCUAUCUACACCAAAGAGUACCUCCGAAGACUUACGACAAUAUACUUGCAAAGGCUUCUGAAGAAGGGUGAGAUGCAAGGUUUUCCUGGUAUGAUUGGAAUCAUCAACUGUAUGCUUUAGACCUGGAAAAAUUGUCCAAGUGCAUGGCAAGGAGCUUAUGAGGACAGAAAAUGAGUAAAAAGUAUCAUUUUGGAGGCAGUGGCAUCAUUUGAUACAUGGAUUUGGCAUGCUUUUUGACAUGUAUCAUUCUUCACAACAUGAUUGUGGAAGAUGCGUAUGAUUAUGAUGUCAUUAAUGAAUUUGAGCUAGACCCGAUGAACAAUUCCAAAACAGAAAUAUAUUGUGCUCAUGAUGCCACUUAAGAACCUGUGCAACACGAGCCAUUAGAAAUGGAUGGACGUUACAAUGAAAAGCUCAUUGAACGACAUACUUCGCUCCAAUCCUCAUACUAUCACAAAUCCCAGCAAAUUGACUUGAUAGAGCACUUGUGGGGAUUGAAAAAAGCUCAAGAAACUUAAAAACAAGUUUGUGAUGGAAGAAGAAUGCUCUUAGUUUGUUUGGUGUGUUUUUUAAGUUCAUUUAGUGUGGUUUUUUUUUAUUUGGUGUGUUUAUGUUCUUUGAAUAAAGAUUUUCUUAGUUUAAAUAAAGUACCAAAUUAAAUAAAGAUACUCUUGGUUUAAAUAAAUACGAAAUUACAUAAAGUACCAAAUUAAAUAAAUACAAAAUACAACCCAAAGUGAUUGGAAAAUUAUGGGCUCCGAUUAUACAACAAAUUCCCUAGUCCUUCGUGAAUGGAAAAUCAUCACCUAACCAAUUUGUGGUGCUAGGACCAUCUCCACUUGCUCUCUCUUCUCUUGCACGCCUCUUUUGCACCAUCUUUGAAUUCCAAAAAUAUUUAGAAUUUGAUGAAAUCUACAGGCUCCUUCAUAGUUUCACGAUCUUGUUGGGCCCUUCUUUCUUCUUUAAGCUAUUCCCUUUCUUGCCUAAGUAGCUCUUUCUCUCUUAUUAGCUUGAAAUAAUCUCUCAGCAGAUACAGCUUUUGCCUCAUCUCUAACCUUAUUAGCCUCAAAAUUAACCAUUUCCCGUGCCAAAAUCAAAUCACCUUGGUGAGCAAGUUCUUCCAUAUAUUUUGCAUAAUUAUUCUUGGAAGCACUCCCUUUUCUCUUUGAAGCCUAAGCGGAUAACGGGUCGACACUGGCACUUGUUUAGGGGUCACUUCAGGCACUUGUUUUGUGUCGCUUUCAUGAACAUGCGAGUCUUGAUCUGGUGUAGAGUGUAGAGGGGUGUUGUUCAUGAUAACUUCUAAACCGACACAACUCUGAAUUUGGGACAAUCUUUGACAAUAUUCCAACAUUCCCACCGGUUGAAUGAUUUGAUUUUGUUUUUGGCAUUAUACCAAGUUUGUGCUUGAAGUGUCUACAAAAUGCGGGAGAAAAAAAAUUAUAAUCAAAGUAGCUAAUGUAAAUUUGGGUAUAGUACAAACAAAUAAAUAAUAUAUUGUUACCUGAUCCGCGUAAUUUUCCCACUUCGAAUAUUAGUACUAGCUUGUGUCAAGGUGUUUCUCCAAUGAGUAAACGGUUAGCUGAGUAUUCUCCAACAACUUGAGAGUGAUUGUUCCGUUCUUUUGCCACCAAUUUUCUCAAGAAAAAUGGAAUGAAUAUUGCUCCACAUUUCUCGCAACUGCAUCUCAUUACUCGUAAUCGGAUCAUGAGUAACUUCAACCCAACUAGAACACAACGUAAUAUCUUCAAUAAGCGUCCAAUUCAUAUCUAUAUCAUUAGCCUUUUUUUUUUUUGGAAACAAAAGUAUAUAUAAACUUUGAGAGAAAGAUUGGAAUGUGGUUGAAAGUAUUUGAGAAAAUAUGAAAUUGUAAGGUGGAAGAUAAUGAUAAGGUAUUUAUAGAAAAAUAAAAUCAAUUUUUAAAAAAGAAAAAGUUUAAUUUUUUUCGUAUUUUUUUAUUAAUUUUUAACUUUUUUAUUAACUUAAUUAAAUUUUUCCUUUUGAUUAAAGAAAAAUCCAACCCUCCAGAUUGUGCCAUGUGUCAUAAUAGUAACAUAUCAGAUUUUUUUUUUCUUUUUUUUUUCAUUGUUAAAGCCGAAAAAUGUGGACCAUUGAUCUGGAAUCGAACAACUGAGAUUGUGCCACGUCAUCUAGCCGUUGGGGGAGGUUUUACCGUUGGAAAUCCAAUGGUCCAAAAAAAUUAGCCUUUGAAAUCCGACGGACGAAAGGGUGCCACGUGGCACCAGUAACGAUAACAUUUCAGAGUUUAAACAGCGAGCCCCACCGACUGAAAUCUUGUCGGUGACGCGCCCCCACGCGUUGGUGUUAUGCACACGCCUGACGCAAUUUUUUUUAUAACAUAGCUGACAUCAUCCUGACGUCAGCCUUGCAUCACAUAGCCCUCAGGCACUCGGACCUUGGACUCACGCCUGCCCUUUCCCACGGGCUCCCCCUUAGCCCAAUUGCUCACAUGGGCUAGAGCAAGUUUGGGAGGCUAUUGGGUUGCUUUGGUUCCUUGUCCACCGGACUAUCUCUAUUCCUGGACUUGCUCUUAGAAUGGUGGGGGUGAAUUUCAUAGAGUGAGUGAGUCACUAAAAGAAUUUCCAGUAAUAUUAAAAAGUAUUUGUUUGACAAUCACUUGCAAGUCGCAUGUAUAUGUAAACUUGUGACGGAGUCGAUGAUGAAAAUUUGAUUGAGUAAAGUCUAAAUUUACUGCUCGUCUAUACUUAAUCAAAGAAUUGUAAUGAUUAUAGUAUUAUUAUUUGUCAUUACGCACCAAUGGAUGCACAAACUGACCAUCAAUAUGUAUAAGUAAACUUGGGUGUUGGGUUGGUGAAGGUUUAAUUGUGUACCAAGUAACGUCUAAAUUUAUAACUCAUUCCUAAUGCUUAUCAGUUCGGAACGUGACCACUUGUAAGGCAUGCACACAAGAAAAAUUAAAGUUAAAUAAACAAGCAUGAAAAUCAUUGUUUCUUAGUUGGUAAUCAAGGCUUGGAGAUUACAUUAGGCUUGAUCAUUAAAAUACCAUAACCUUUUUAGCGUUGACCGCCAAGUAAACUCGGGCGUUGCACCAAUGAAGAUUUUAUUAGGUAACAGAUAACGCCUAAAUUUACAGCUAAUUCCUAAUACUUAUUUCUUUGCAAUUUGACCACUUGUAACUUUGUAAGGCAUGCACAUAAGAAAAAAUAAAAAAUAAAAAACAUGUAAAUCAUUAUUUCUCAAUUGGCAUUCAAUUUUUUUUUAUAUUUAAUCAUUUUAGCUUUCACCUUAAAAUAAACUUAGGUGAUAUCUAAGUUUGAUUAAGAAGCUAAGUUUUUAACUAAUUUUUUAAACUCAGCCGAUUCAUUAGUGUGAAUCGCCAAUUUACUCCUAACCAUCAAUGUCUUUACAUUUUUUUUAAACAAAUGAUAUUAUCUACACUAAGAGAAAAGGGGUGGCUGCUAGCAAUAAUGUGGUUCAAAUUCAUUGAGUAAAGAGAAAUAUCACUAAACCCUUAUAAGUAAAGAAAAAUACUAUUAAACUGUAAUAUUAAAUGAUUCUCUACAUUUCUUUUAUAUCAUUUUAUGUUCGCUUGGGACACCAUGCCAAGGGAGGUGCCCUACACCUAUGAGAAAUUUGAUCCCACCUAUAGACACUUGGCAACGUAUAAACCCUAAUAAUAGCUUGAAUUGAACACAUUGGUGUUCGAGCACUUGUCAAAUUUUGAGAGCAUGCAAAACUAGAGGCCACAAAAACAAAACAUCUUUUGAAUUAGCUAAAGGCGUUUUAAGCAUUAGUUAACCACCCACCUAAAAAUUCAUUGUUUUAAUAUAAAAGAAAGAACGUAUGAAACGAAAUGGAAAAAUCAUGUUGUUCUAGUAGGUUGAUUUGAUUGUUUUUGUUUAUGCAUGUGGCUUUUGCUAGUUUGGUGAGACAGUAACCGAAUAGAAUUUUGAUGUGACAAACCAGGGGGUGAAACAAUAGAACCAACUAGCUCCAUCAAAGUUCUAAACAUAGAAAUUUAAAUAGGAUAGGGAUCCUCUCCAGAUUUCUUCUUCCUAAUUUACCAAAUCAGGAAAUCCGUGUAAUUUAAAUUAGAUCCAAUAGCUGAAGUUAUUAUAACUUUUAAAUGGCCCUCUGUUUGUGGCCGUUGAAUCAAAUUUCAAUAGCUCAGAUUCUCUAAUUUGAUGGAUUAUGAGGAUUGAAUCUGGAGGUGAUCCCUUUCUAUUAAAAUAUACAUUCAAAAUUUUAAGAAAGUCUUAUCAACAAUGCAUCCAAAAUAUUAAAUUCCUUUAUUUGUGGGAAUUAAUUUGGUUAAUUUUGUGACGGUCUCUAAGUAGCUCAAGUAAGAUGGAGUGAGAUUUUUACAGUAUAGAGAGCAGCUCAACACUUUACAAGCGCAUGUAAUGUUCCUUAAUUCUCUUAUGGAAGAUUUACUAUGCCUCUCACGUGUGACAUCAUGUAAGUCUAACAAGUUGACAAUACAUAUUUGUUGAUGUGAGAGCAAAAGCAAGUAGGCCAUCGGGCUUAGUAUGCAGCUAACCUCCUUUAAUACUAUGAAAUAAGUUGAGAUUUUAUGCUUAACAAUCAGGAGUAGCACAACUUAUUAUAAAUAAGCAUUUUAACCAAAAUGGUUCCUGAAAUUAGCAUAAAUCCUCACUUUGGUCCUUGAGAUUUGAAAUCGAUAGAAUUUGUCCUUGAGUUUGUCUGUCAUCAAUCAUUUUGGUCAUCCUGUGAAAAAUUUAUGUUAAAUAAGAACCAAAAUGAAAAAAUGCUCUCAAUUUAAUAAACAAUGAGCCAAUAUAAUUUGACAAAAAUUGAGAGUUUUUUUUUUUUUUUUUUGUCAUUUCAUCAUUAUUUAACGGAGAUUUUUUCACAAAAUGACUAAAAUGAUUGAUGGUGAACAAACUCAAGAACCAAUUCUAUCGAUUUUAAAUCUCAAGGACUAAAGUGAGAAGUUAUGUCUAUCUCAGGUACUAUUUUAGCUAAAAAAAUCUUAUAAAUAGACGUAAAAUUCCUUAAUUUUUCAUUGUAAAUUCACGCUCUCAACAUUAUUAAUAGUAAUCAUCUAUGUUAUUUUAUAGAUUACUUUGAUAUUUUCGUCCCCACCAAUUAAAGUGUAAAGAAAAGGUUAUAUGUACGUACCUGGAUGUAUACCACCAUACUCAACUGAUUUACCGAAAAAGGUGGCAUAUCUAAUGUUUUCUUUUAAGAAUUUCUCAAAACGAAUUCUCAAAAACGUUGCUUUCAGUAUAAAAAAAUUCUCAUCCACAGUCCAAUAGAGUUCAGAAAAUAUUUAAAUCCAAAGAGAAGGUUUGGGGAUUUCUCAAAACAGACAGUUAGCUGUGAUCAUGAAUAUUCCAUAUGCAUCAUCAAAUAGCUAGCUACUACCUAAUCGUGUUGCCUCCAAUAUGACAAGGAAUGGACCGAAACCUGACUACGCACUAUUAGAGCAUCUCCAAUAGAAGAUGCAAAAUAUAUUGGAAUUGUUGCAGUUUUAUUGGAUUGAGAAUGUAAUUGUGUAAAGUAUAGUGUAUUUAAGAGUAUCUUUGUAUAUUCCCUUUAGUAGUUUAAUUCCUAUUAGAGUUGUAAUCCUAAUAGGGUAAGGAUUUAAUCUUCCCUACUACUAUAAAUAAAGGCAUAAUGGGGUGAUACAAUACACACCUCAGAAUCACAUCUCUCUCUUCUCUCUCUGUUGUCGCCGGCCUCUCCCUCAAUGUCCUAAAUACAGUUCAGUCAAAUAGGCAUACAACACGUUAUCAGCAUGCCCUUGCCAGAAGCUAAGGAACUGAAGGAUCGUGGAUGAGGAUUUCUUCUACAACAUCAAAGGCUUUCAAUGAUUUUCUGCUAAUCAGGUUUUUCUAAAAUAAAUUAAGAUAUUUGAAAGAAAAAAACCUUGAAGAAUGAAAACAUUCCCCAUAAUGCAUGAACCCCCUAUAUUUAUAUUUUCUUUCCAAUUAUAUAUACUGCAUAUGUGUUCAUAUAUUUUGUCAAUAUAUAUACUUGUUCAUGCAAUACACAAUUAUGCUAUGUGGAAUUUGUGAGUCAAAGCAUUGAAGUUAAUUUAAAAGCAAUUAGGGUUUUUAACCCUAGAUUUCGAGAAAAAAAUAAAAUAAAAAAUCUAGGAUUUUUGCGACAAAAGUCGCGGCUCACCGUCGCGCCACAGCCAGCACCACCGCUGCCAUACCCCGUCGUUAACAUGCAGCCUAGCCGCAUAGAGCACCUUGGGAUGGCAUCGUUUCGAUGCCAUGGACCACUAAGUAGCAGCCUCAUGGGCUUGCUACCUCUGCACAGAUAACCAGGCUUCGACCUGGGUUGGGUUUCCAUAAGCCUGAAGCCCCGAGCCCACUAGCAAGCCUGCAGCCUUGUUGGACCAUCCCUUGCAACCUAGCCCAACCUGCUAGCAAGCUUUUGUGCUUGUUGGGCUUGUCCUCUUGCCCUGGCCCUCCUACAGCAGAUUUCUUGGCUGAUGGGUUUGAACUGUCACAGCCUAACCACAAAGUCAGCUUGGGCUACGCUUUGCAGCGCCUCAAACCAAAGCCAGCUUCGGUUGGGCUUGCUAGCGCUUUGGCCCGAGACCAAAUCAAGUCAGCCUUUGCGGUUGAGCUUACCCAGGAACAGCCCAUGGCCUGCAGCCAUGAUUUGGGCUGCCCAGUUGCAACCCGUGGCCUCUCUAAGCCCUUUUAGGGCCUUGGCUUGCUCACGGCACCCAAGCCCACCGUCAUUGGGCUAUGGUUUUUUUAAUCCAAUGCUAUUUUUGUCAUUCUUUAUAAUUUAACCUGAAUGUUAUAAUUAUUUUUGCUUCUACAAUCGAUCUUGUAUGGUCUGAUCUAUUGAAUUCAUUAAAGUGACCAACAAUCCAUUAAUCUGAAAAUUAAUCCAAAAUUAUUAGCAUGUAGCUCACUUUUUGAAAAUUAACAAUUCAAUAAAUUAUUUCGUUUCUUUGAAUCGUUGAAUAUCUUUCGUAAUCCCGAAGCACUCACACUUGGGGUCCUGAAACAAUCCACAAAUUCACUACACUUUAUUGUAUAUUGUAUUAUGUGUUCUUGCAGGUAUCCUUAUAUAUGAACUGAACGUUCAUAACUAAAUAGAACCUGUAGUUUCGAAUUUAGUGUCCUUGAAACUCGAAAUUUUCAUUCAAAACUUACCACAUGAAACCUGUAGCUUUCAUGCUUAAAUUAAACCAAUACAUGUCCAUAGAACCCGAAUGUUCUACGAUAUAUGUCUAUGGAUUUCCAUAUGACUAACCAUGUUUUGUUGUAACCUCCGUUUUAGGGACAUGUCGAACUUGAACAAGCUCAAAUUCACCGCUCUGGAAGUCUCUGGAAAAAACUACCUGAAGUGGGUUCAAGACAUGAAACUCCAUCUUACUGCAAAAAGUCUUAGAGCUACUAUCGAGGAACCAAUAAAUGAUGAAGCCGUCGAUGAAACUCUGAAAGUUACUACUAUGAUCUUCAUUCGCAUACACACCCAUGAUGUACUACAGACCGAGUACCUCGCAGAGAAGGAUCGACGUACAUACCCUCUGGCUUGCUCUAGUCGAUCGCUCCGAUCACCGAAAAGACAUUUACUUGCUUGAAGCAAGACAUGAUUGGCAGCAUUUACGUUUCCAAGACUUUAAGUCAGUGAAUGAAUAUAACUCUGAAAUUUGUAGAAUUCGAUCACUACUUAAGUUCUGUAACGAGGACUUAACCGAACAUGAUCUCCUAGAAAAUACCUAUUUGACCUUCAAUGUCACCAAUAUUGUCUUGCAACAACAAUAUAGGGCAUAUAAGUUCGCCAAAGUUUUAGAUUUGAUAUUUAUUUUACUUCUCGCUAAAAGCAGAACCAGCUUUUAAUGAGAAAUCAUCAAGCUCGACUUACUAGCUCGAACGCUGCGUCUAAAGCACAUGCGACCAAUUCUAGCAGCCACAACUAACAAAAAUCUCAUCGUGGUCGUGGAAAUGGGCGGUAAGCCCCACCAUGGGCCCAAAGUCAACAAAUAGAGGCCCACCCAAGUGAGGAAAUUUGACCUAAAAUGUUAACCCCUUGCCUUUAAGGCCCCAAACUUCAAGAAUAAGGGAAAAACUACCAUUCAAUCGGCUUCCACUGAACUGGACAUGUGAUAUUAUUGUGGAUCAAAUGGUCAUUGGUCAUGCAUCUGCUAAGCUACCCCUGAGGCGAUUGCCAAGUAUCAUUCCCUCGUGAGGCUAACUUUGUGCUUGUAGAACUUCCCGAAGAUACUACUACCACCCUGGAGGUUUCAGAUUUUCAUGAGGCAUCCACUCCCAUGGAAGAAUAAAGUUUUAUUUUUCUAAGACAUGUUAGGCUGUUUUACACCCCUAGUGGCCGAACCCAUUAGGAGUGGCCAAACCCCCUACAUUUUAGGUUUAUGGUUUAAUUUUCAGACAAUUUUUCUAAGUCUUUGGAAUUAUUUGUUUGGUUUUGGUUUGUUUUGAACUAUGGAUAGUUAUUUUAUGUAUAUUAUUUCUCGACUUGAUUAAUUGAAUGAAUGGAAUUAUAUUUAUGCAUGUGACCAAUUUAAUUUAUUUAUUUAUAGGUAUGACUAGUGGAGAAGUUAGUUGUCUGGCUGAUAGUGCCACCAUGCACACCAUAUUGCGUGAGAAACACUAUUUUACUAACUCAUACCUAAAAAUGCACCUCUGAAAACAUUCUCAGGCCCAUCCAACCUGAUAGAAGGAUACAUAAAGGCUUGUAUUAUGUUGUCCAAUGGUACUGAAUUAACCAUUAAAAAGGCACUCUAUUAAAAGGCAUUAUUUGUAUCACUUCUUACGAAUAUGGCCAGAAGCGUACUCACAAUAAGCUGGAAAAUCUCCCGAGUGGGUUGUACAUAACAACCAUUCGUGUCAUCGAUACCCAUCAUGUGGCCAGCCUUAUAGCUGGGUUCCAGAGUAUUCUCCUGUUUUGGCAUGAUCAAAUGGGACACCCCGGAAGAGAUAUGAUGCACCGUAUCCUUAAAGUAUCACAAGGGCAUCACUUGAAAUCUUAUCCUGGUCAACCACUUUGCAAAGCAUGCUCUUUGGGGAAGUUGAACAUUCAACCUUCCCUUACAAAGAUUAUUCACGACCCCUCUAUGUUUCUUUAGAUGAUUCAAAGGGAUAUUUGUGGACCUAUCCAACCAACAUACGGACCAUGUUUGCUUAUUAUUCACAUGCAAUGCUGCAUUUGCGAAACUCCUAGCACAAAUUAAUAAGCUUAGGGUUCACCACCCUGAUUAUCCGAUUAAGUCGAUUCGACUAGAUAAUGCGGGAAAGUUUACGUCACAGACUUUUGACGAUUAUUGCAUGUUUAUUGGGAUUGAUGUUGAACAGCCUGUACCCCAUGUUCACACCCAAAAUGGCCUGGCAGAAGCUUUCAUAAAGCGCCUUCAAACGAUAGCUCGGACUUUGGUUAUGCGAACCAACUUGCCGGUAUCUGCUUGGGGCCAUGCAAUAUUGCACGCAACUAUAUUGGUCUAUCUGAGGCCCACCACUACCUAACCUCAUUCACCGUUACAGUUGGUUAUUGAAUAUGAGUCUGACGUCUCACAUUUAUGUGUGUUUGGGUGCGUAGUCUAUGUGCUAAUAGCACCGCCACUACGUACCAAAAUGAGUCCUCAAAGAAAAAUGGGAAUCUAUGUCGGUUAUGAUUUGCCAUCCACUAUUUGCUACUUAGAACCCUUGACAGGAGAUUUAUUUACCGCACAUUUUGCGGAUUGUCACAUCGAUGAGACAGUCUUCUCGUCGUUAGGAGGAGAUAAGAUCACUAAAGUUCUUGUAGAACGCCGCGAAUUGUCGUGGAUUACUCACAUUAUGUCUCAUUUGGAUCCCUACACCCCUCAGUCUGAAAUUGAAGUGCGAUGUAUACUAGAUCUUCAGAGCAUCACCCAAAGCAUGCCGGAUGCUUUUACUAAUCUAGCAAAGGUGACGAAAUCACAUAUACCCGCUGCCAAGGUAUAAAAUAUCGAUGAUAUCGGAAAUAUCGGUAGUCCAAAAAUACGGAAAUAUUGAUGGAAAUAUCGGGAUAUUAUCAAUAUCAAUAAAAUUGAAUAAAAACCACGGAAAUCGUAAGAAAAACUUGGAAAUUUUUAUUGAAACUUUGGAGAAUGUUUAUUUAGUCAAUUAUCUAUUAGUUUAUCAAAAAAAAUUAGAAUGAAAUGCAUUACAUGAUGGAUUUAACUGAUUUAAGUUGAUUAUACAGCGAGCUGGCAAACACUGUGAGUAUAGAAAAUAUGUAGUAAUUAAUGAAAAAAAUUAAACACACCAUAAUCAUUUAUAUAUAAUGAUUUACUACAAUAUUUUACAUUUUAUACAUUGCAUGGUAAGAUACAUGAGUGAUUUAGUACCACAUAAAGUUCCUAUGAGGUUCAAAUUUUUCACUAUCUUCAUCAUCUCUAUGUGUAGAGUAAGUUUAUUGUGAAGAGUAUUCAUCAAAUGAUAAAUCCUCAAAAUAGUUUUGCAUGUAAUUGUUAACAUGUCACUCAUAUAAAUUAAUAAAUAUAAAUAUUUUAGCAUAUUAUCACUAAAACAUAAGUGAUAUAUCGUGGUUAAGGUGUUGGAGGAGUAAAAUGGGAGGGGUUCAAAAUCCCCUUUGUGUUUUUUUUCCUCCUUUUUUGCCCUUUUUUCUUCUUUUUCCUUUAAACUUUAAAAGAUCACACAAAAAAUCAAUGAUUCAUAUCAUUGUACAAGACUACAAGAUGAGAAUGAACAUCUCGAGGACAAUAUGAAAAUAUUCAAAAUAGAAAGUUUCAAGUGGUGUAUUGCCCUAAUGAAGAAGAGUUGUAUUCGAAUUAAAAUAAGGUUGUGGUAUCGACACACCUAUUUUUUACACACUACACUCAAUUUUCAAUUGAUCGGGAUCAAAUGAAAUUAAACAAGAUCUAUGAAAAAAUUAACAAGAAUAUAUGCAAGGUACAAAGUGUGUGUGGAAAACGCUACAUUUUAAAAAAUAAUCUCACUAUGUGGAGUAAACAAAAUAAUAACAAAUAGAAGAAUAAAAAAAUAUGUCACCAUUUCUUUCUUCCCUACCCUGCACGUGAGGUCAGAAGGAUGAUUUUAAAAUCUGCCACCUUCUUUUCGUCCUUCAUAAUAUCCCCCUCCCCAUUUCUCUUUCCCCAUCGCCCGUCCAAGCCUCUCCUCUCCGCUCUCUCUCUCUAAAAACCACAACUUUUUCUUCCUUUCUCUCUCUAGAAAAACCACACCCUCCAUUUUUUCUUUCUUUCCAUCUAUCUAUAUCUCUGAAAGAAAAAAAAAACAGAAGAAAAAAAAAGGGAGGAAGAGAGAGAUCGAUCGAUCGAUCAGAAUCUGAGUGAAAAAAAUGGCACAGAUAGCCGAGAAGGAAGAGACGGAGUUCAAGGUCCCCGAAACUCUAACGCACUGCAUCAACAACUGCGCGUCACCGGUAAUCCCUCCACCAACAACUUGUGCAAAAGUGCUUCAACGCCGCCACCACCUCAUCGUCGUUUUCGUCCAUGGCGAUUUUAAAGUUUUCUGCGGAGAAAAGUCCGAGAUCUACCUCAUCCUUCAGCUUCGAGGCCCCGACCGAGACCUUCCGGAAGACGACGACGUCGGAGAUCGCGAGAUCAGAUGAAUUGCUGAAUAGGCGCGUGGUCAAUCGGUGCUCCGAAUGCCAGAGAAAGGUCGGGUUGAUCGGAUUUCAGUUUCAUCUCGCGAUAUUAUCGAUAAUAUCGAUAAUAUCACGAUAUAUUUCCCAAAUAAUGUAUUAAAAUGUUGAAAAUAUCGUUUCUGAUAUUAUCGCGAUAAUAUCGACGAAAAUAUAGAUAUAUUGACGAUAAUUAAGUGGAUACGUAUGAAAAUAUCGUCUUCUAAAAAAAAUGAUAUUAUCAGCGAAAUAUCACCGAUAAUAUCGAUAUUUUGGUCAUUGCCCGCUGCAAAUGCACCUGUAAGGAUGGACGUACUUAACGUACGUCGUAACAUUGCCUUGGAAGGCCGAAUCGUCCCCGAAGGUAAGGCAGCCGCACCUCCCACAUGGCAGGUACACUAUUGGCUAACCAAUCACCUGCUCCUACUCUGAAGUGUGGCAAGCCCCAUGGUUCUAAGGAUUCACAACCCCAAAAAAGGAAAACUGCACAAACUAAUGACCCUAGUCUGAAUCUGACCAUUGCUUACUCAUCUGUUCCAACGUAUGAGGUUAUUCAAGAUUAUGGUGAUGUCUUAAAUGAGACAUACCAGUCUCCUAAGAAUCGCGAGAUUUCGAUCCAUUACGCAGUAUUAGAUGAGGUUUGGAAUCGGAAUGAGAUGAUUGUCAAUGAUGCAUUCACGUAUACCGUUGCUUUCAACAUCAUGCUUAGCGAUGACAUUGAACCAUGUUCCGUUGAUGAAUGUCGACAUAGAACAGAUUGGUCAAACUAGAAACAAGCAAUCCAGGUCAAACUCAAUUCGCUCGCAAAAUGUAAGGUGUUUGGACAUGUACCUCUUACUCUACCACAUGUGAAGCCUAUGGGCUAUGAGUGGGUUUUCGUAAGGAAACAUAAUGAGAAGAAUGAAUUAGUGUGAUACAAAGCACGCCUCGUAGCUCAAGGCUUCUCUCAACUCCCUGGAUUGAUUACAAUGAGACGUUUCCAAAAAAAACUGAAUAUGUAGCUUAUGGACGUGGUAACCGCGUAUCUCUAUAGGGAUCUAGAUACGAAAAUGUACAUGAAAGUUCCAAAAGGACUUCCAUUAAAUGGUUCAAAUAGUUCUAGACCAUGGAACACUCUCUCAAUUAGAUUGGGGAGGUCACUCUACAAAUUGAAACAAUCCGGGCGGAUGUGGUAUAACUGUCUGAGUGAAUAUUUGACAAGUCAAGGUUAUGUGAACAAUGAACUAUGCCCAUGCGUGUUCAUCAAGAAGUUAUAUUCCGGAUUUGUGUUCAUUGCAGUUUAUGUCGACAACAUAAACCUCAUCGAAACUCUCAUAGAGCUUGAGGUAAUUGCCGCUCACUUGAAAUCAAAAUUUGAGAUGAAAGAUCUUGAGAAAUCACGAUAUUGUCUCAGCGUGGAGAUCGAGCAUUGUUCGGAUGAAAUCCUAAUACAUCAAUCGAACUACACCGAGAAAGUGUUGUGACGUUUUAAUAAAGAUAAAGCAAAGCCUUCAAGUACUCCUAUGGUUGUUCAGACUCUAGAUGCAAAACAAGAUCCAUUCCAUCCCAACGAGGAUAAGGAAGAGAUUUUGGAGCCUGAAGUUCUAUACCUAAGUGCAAUCGGUGCUUUAUUGUACUUGGAUCAAUGCACCAAACCCGAUAUCUCCUUCCUUGUUAAUCUUUUGGCUAGAUACGACAAUGCGCCUAUACGCAGACAUUGGAAUAGUGUUAAAGACAUUUUCCGUUACCUCAAGGGUACGACGGAUUUAGGCUUAUUCUACACCCACGAAUCCUUGAGAUGAGUCGCCGCCCCCUCGAUCCUCGAGUUGAUUCUUGCCUCGUUGAUUACGCAAAUACUAGUUAUCUGUCUAACCCACAUAGGGCACGUUCUCAGAUGGGCUAUGGCUUUACCGUUGGAGAUACCACUGUAUCUUGAAAGUUUACCAAGUAAACACUAGUUGCAAUUCUUUGAACCAGCUGAGAUUCUCACUUUGCAUGAAUCAUCGCAUGAGUGCUUUUGGUUGAGAACAGUCAUGGAACAUAUUCGAAGCAUUAGUGGUCUUACUUCCGUCAUUGACUUUUCUACGAUGAUCUUUGAAGACAAUGCAGCAUGUAUCGAGCAAUUAAAGAAGGGAUACAUUAAGGGAGACAACACCAAGCACAUAUCGCCGAAGUUCUUUUAUUCUCACCAGCAACAACAACAUCAGAACAUUGAAGUCAAGCAAAUCUGUUCCCAAGACAACUUGGCUGAUCUCUUCACCAAGUCAUUGCCUAAGUAUACUUUUCGUAAGCUCGUCCAAGGAAUCAGUAGCGUAAAUUAUCUGGGUUGAAUUGCUUGUAGUUCUUUUAUUUGGAAGUUAUGUUUAACUCAAGGGGAGUAUUCUAAAGCAUGAUCACUUGAUCUUAAUGUACUAUUUUUCCUACGAUUAGGAGCAUUUUUCCCACUAUGUUUUUGCUACCUAACGAGAUUUCAACAAGGCACCCAUCCUGGGAUGAUCAUACUCCAUUGAGUUCACUACUUUCAUCCUGUUUUAUGUUUGUUUUAAGACAUUUUGCAUACUUCUCACUUUUCUCCUUAGUGUAUGAGUUUUCACCUGGCUUAGGUUUUAUCAUAGAGAGGUUUUGUAAGUUUUACUACCAAUGCAUACUUUCUUUUAAAUUUGAGACUCGCAUUCACCCGUUGUGUCAAUGACUUUAUCAAUUGUUCUACCUUAUCUACUGAAGAUCUGAUGCAAUGUUUUGUUUGAGUAUUUACACACUCAAAGGGGAGUGUUGCAAUUCUAUUGGAUUAGGAUUGUGAUUGUGUAAAUCCUAGUGUAUCUAGGAGUAUCUUUGUAUAUUCCCUUUAGUAGUUUAAUUCCUAUUAAAAUUGUAAUACUAAUAGCGUAAGGAUUUAACAUUUCCUACUACUAUAAAUAAAGGCACAAUAGGGUGAUACAACACACACCUCAUAAUUACAUCUCUCUUUUCUCUCUGUUGCCGCCGGCCCCUCUCCCUUUCUGUCCUAAAUACAGUUUAGUCAAAUAGGCCUACAACAUAAAUGAGUAUUUUUCAUUUUUCUUUUUGUUGACAAAUUCUUCGAAUACGGAAUAUAAAUGAUUCAUUUUUGCAGGAAUAUGUAAAUAAAAAUUUAAAUUUACAUUCUUAUUUACAUCUUUUGGUGAUGGGUCCGACUAAUCAAAUAAAGAAUUUAAAUGGGAUAUCAAAUUUACAUCUCUCAAUAGGGAAGAACGUUCAUUUACAUCUGCCAAAAAUAUAAAAUAAGAUGUAAACAUGGUUCUUACCUCUCAAGUUUACAUUUUUUCAUUAGAGAUGCAGGAGAUGCAAAAUACAUUGGAAUGAGUAUUUUUCAUUUAUUUUUUUGUUGACAAAUUCUUCGAACACGGAAUAUAAUGAUUCAUUGUCCUGGGAAUAUGUAAAUAAAAAUCCAAAUUUACAUUCUUUUUUACAUCUUUAGGUGAUGGGUCCGACUAAUCAAGUAGGGAAUUUAAUGAGAUAUCAAAUUUACAUCUCUCAUUAUUAGGGAAGAACUUUCAUUUACAUUUGCCGAAAAUUUAAAAUAAGAUGUAAACAUGAUUCUUACCUCAAGUUCACAUUUUUUUUCAUUAGAAAUGCUCUUAACUCUUGUGAGAAGAAAAAAAAAUCGGACACCAAUCUGAAAAAUAGUAAGACGAAACACAUCACUAAACAUUUUUUGCCAUUUAUAUUAGUUUUUGAAUCGAGAAUUUGAAAAGAAAUUUACCAAAAUUUGGUAUCCCAUAUCUUAAAAAACUGAGUGGAUUAGUGUAUUGUGACUCGUGAUUAGUAUUAAUCAAAUAAAUAAGAGUAUCAAAUAGAUACGGAAGGACAUGGAUCCUCUCUAGAUCCAAUUGUCCUAAUUCUAAGAAUCAAUGACUCCGGACCAUUGAAAUUUGAUCCAACGGUUAAAGUUAUUAUAACUUUUAGAAUGUGUCCCUAUUUAUAAUCGUUGAAUUAAAUUUCAAUGGUUUAGAUUUAUUGAGCCCUAGAAUUAAGAUAAUUGGAUCCGGAGAUGAUCCAUGUGCGAUACGGAACGCUCCAAAGGGUGGGCAAUAAUGUUGACAUGGAUGGCACAAAAUGGUGGUGACUAGAAUGCUGUGCGAUAUGGGAAUUAUUGGAGGAGACGUUUGGCUCAGUUUUUACAAGAUAAGUUCUGUGACGUGUUUAGUGCAAAUUUGACAUGACUGAUUUGAUAUUGCAUACGGUUGUGCUUUCAGACUUGAUAUAUCUUUAGCGAUCUAAUUGCUUUGUUAAGCUCUAAGAUUGGAGGAGAACGUUUGAAAAUCUCAAUCGAAUCCUUUUGGUCUGUGAUGUUUAUAUUAGAAAUUUUAAUCAAAUUAAUUUAUGGAGAGUCAUUAUUUGACAAGAAAUAUUUGCAUCUCUUAUCUCCUUUUUUUUCCUUUUUGUCCGGACAUUUGUAGCCAUUUGUACAUAUCAUCUCAAUCUUUUAUUGUGUACCUUUUCUUCGUUGUGUUUAGAUAUUAUUCAUGCAAUCAUGAUGAACAAACAGUUUCCCACCAAAUACGAAAAUACUUCAUAAAUCCUCCAGUUUCCCACCAACAAUGAGGGUGUAAUGCACCUUGACAAAAAAAUGCAUCAAACGAUAACCUUAAUGCAUAAGCGAAUUGAAAUUCACCAAAAAAAAAAGAGAAAUUAGGUUCAUAUUCUUCCUACUCCCUUAAUUAAAAUCUUAUUCAUUUUCAAUUUUUGAUCAAGAUCCUUAGGUAUUAAUAACAUUAUUAAUUAUUUGAAUAAUAAAAUAUUUUUAUUUUUAAACAUAUUCAUUUAGUGUUAAAAAUGUUACAAUUAGUAUAUUUAUAUUUAUGGCUAAAUUUUUUAUCAUAUAUUUUUAUUUUUAGUUUGUACCAAUUUUUUUUUCAUUUUUAAUUUGUACCCAUAUAUUAGUUUCUUUUUGUGCCCAUAUUUUUUAAUGUUUUAUUUGUGUUUGUAUCCAUGUGUAUACUGUCACGUGACAUUGUAUAUUUAACCAAUAAUAUAAAAAUUAAAUAUAGUAUAUUUAUGUUUUAUGCCUAAACUUUGUAUCAUAUAUUUAUAUUUUAGUUUGUACCCACUUUUAAUUUGCAACAUUUUUUUUAAUUUGUAGUAUUUUCUUUUUAGUUUUAUUUUGUACCAAUGUAUUAAUUUCUUUUAGCGCCUAUAUUUUUUAAAAAUUCAUUUGUACUCAUAAUUUUUUUAAUAUUUUAUAUGUACCCUAAUUUAUUUAUAAUGUACCCAUUCUUCUUUAUUAAUGUAUCACUUAGUUAUAUGUGAAAUAUACCAAUUUUUUUAACACUAUGGAUACAUUCUUUUGCCAUUUCUUAUUUCUUAUUUUUACAUAGUUUUUAUCCAUUUAUUCAAUCAAAAUGCUUAACUCCGCCUGUGUAAAUUUAUUUUACAUUGCCGGUCCCAAGCCCGGAUAAAGAAGGAGGGGGAAGGCGUCAAGUAGUCGACAGCCGGCACUCCUAGUUUACGUCGAAUCCUUAUGAAAAUGAAUCCAGAACGAAAUCGCGCUAAAGUUAGGGCGUCACCCGUAAGUGGCGCACUGUGUGGCCCGAGCACAGUGAUAAGUGAGUAAGGGUCGUUGUAUCUCCAUCGGCACCCGGAUGCAGUGUUAAAUGAGCAAGGGGGCCAUAGAAACUUCUUUUCGAACGACUUCACUCAAAGUUGUUUGGGAGCAUAUGCUCCUAUCAACUUUACACAGGACACACAAAAAAAGUAUUUUGAUCCUAUUAGACGGGGGAGGUUGAAGAAGCUAGGACAGAAGGGUAGAGUUCAAGAUAGUAGAAUGCAUUUAGGAACCCUAACGGGAAAAUCUAUGGAAGUAGUGGAAGUUAUGGUGAGGAGAAGGAUAAAUAUUAUGUGCCUACAAGAAACUAAGUGGGUUGGUCUUAAGGCAAAGGAUCUAGAAAACUCAAGGUUUAAACUCUGGUAUUCGGGCACAAAUAGAACGAGAAACGGUGUUGGCAUCAUCGUGGACAAGACCUUGACACAAGAUGUUGUAGAUGUCAAGAGGGUAGGAGAUAGAAUCAUGGCAAUCAAGAUUAUAAUAGGACAAGAACUCAUCAAUGUGAUUAGUGCGUACACACCUCAAGUAGGGUUGGAUACGAGUUCGAAGGAGAAAUUUUGGGAAGACCUUGGAGACUUGGUGCAAGGAAUUGCUCAGACGGAGAAGUUAUUUAUAGGAGGAGAUUUAAAUGGACACAUGGGCAAGGAGACAGACAACUAUGGAGGUUUUCAUGGUGGCCAUGGUUUUGGGGAGAGAAACGAGGAUGGGGAAGCUAUCUUGGAUUUUGCGAUGGCAUAUGAUCUAUUCUUAGCCAACACCUUCUUUAAGAAGAAAGAAGAACAUGUGAUCACCUACAAGAGUGGGUCGUCAAAAACACAAAUAGAUUUUCUUCUAAUGAGGAAAGGGAAUCGUAUAACUUGUAAGGAUUGCAAAGCUAUACAGGGAGAGAGUUUGGCUAAUCAACAUUGCUUGUUGGUGAUGGAUGUACAUAUCAAAAGAGUGAGAAAAAAGAACAAGAUUUGGAAGUGCCCAAGGACUAGAUGGUGGAAUCUAAAAGGUGAAAAACAAGCCAUUUUCAAAGAGAAAGUAAUCACCCAGUGUGUGUGGGAUAGAGAGGGGGAAGCUAGCCAAAGGUGGGAUUCCAUGGCUAGUUGUAUCCGAAAAAUAGCAAAAGAGGUAUUAGGAGAGUCCAAGGGCUUUGCUCCACACCAAAAGAAAUCUUGGUGGUGGAAUGAGGAGGUACAAACAAAGGUGAAGGCUAAGAAGGAAUGUUGUAAAGCCUAAUACAAGGAUAGGACCGAUGAAAAUGGUGAAAGGUAUAGAAGAGCGAAGCAAGAGGCGAAAAAAGCUUUGAGAGAAGCUAAGUUAAUGGCUUAUGACGAUAUGUAUAAACGACUAGAUACCAAAGAAUGAGAGUUGGAUAUCUAUAAACUAGCUAGAGCAAGGGAAAAGAAGACAAUGGACCUAAACCAAGUGAGGUGCAUCAAAAAUGAGGAUGGAAAGGUUCUUCCUACAGAGAACGCGGUCAAAGACAGAUGGAGAGGUUAUUUUCAUAAUCUUUUCAAUGAAAGACAUGAAAAGAGUACUUUUUUAGGGGAGUUGAGUAACUCAGAAGAGUGUAGAAACUACUCAUUUUAUCGUCGAAUCAGGAAGGAAGAAGUGGUUGUAGCUUUGAAGAAGAUGAAGCAUAGAAAAGCAGUGGGCCCAGAUGAUAUAUCGAUCGAAGUGUGGAAAGUCUUAGGAGAGACAGGUAUAGCAUGGCUCACUGACCUUUUCAAUAGGAUUUUGAAAAUGAAGAAGAUGCCAAAUGAGUGGCGAAAGAGCACUUUGGUGCCUAUCUACAAGAAUAAGGGUGACGUACAAAAUUGCAUGAACUAUAGGGGUAUUAAGCUAAUGAGUCAUACAAUGAAGCUCUGGGAGAGAGUCAUUGAGUAUAGAUUGAGGCAAGAGACACGGGUUUCGGACAACCAAUUCAGGUUCAUGCCAAAACGCUCAACCAUGGAGGCAAUCUAUCUCUUACGAAAAUUGAUGGAAAGAUAUAGAGAGGGGAAAAAGGAUUUAUACAUGGUCUUUAAAAAUUUGGAAAAAGCUUAUGAUAGGGUCCCUAGAGACAUUCUCUGGAGGAUUUUGGAGAAGAAAUGAGUACGAGUAGCAUAUAUCCAAGCUAUAAAGGAUAUGUAUUAAGGAGUAAAAACUGCCGUAAGAACUCAUGAAGGACAAACCGAAAGCUUCCCCAUAACUGUAGGAUUACAUCAAGGCUCAUUCUUAAGUCCUUACCUUUUUGCGUUGGUAAUGGAUGAGUUAACAGGACAUAUUCAAGAUGAUAUUCCUUUCUGUAUGCUUUUCGCAGACGAUAUAGUAUUGAUAGAUGAAACUCAUGAAGGGGUAAAUGUGAAGCUUAACCUUUGGAGAUAAGUGUUGGAAUCUAAAGGUCUUCGCCUAAGCCAAUCGAAGACAGAAUAUAUGGAGUGCAAGUUCAGUGCAAAUGGAGGCCAAAAUGAGUUAGGGGUGAGGAUCGGAGAUUAGAAAAUACCAAAGAGUGACUGCUUUCUCUACCUAGGAUCUAUCUUGCAAAAGAACGAAUAAUUAGAUGAAGAUCUCAACCAUAGAAUACAAGUUGGAUAAAUGAAGUGGAAUAGUGCAUCCGGCGUGUUGUGUGACUGUUGUAUGCCACUGAAGCUCAAGGAAAAAUUUUAUAGGACGGCAAUAAGGCCGGCGAUGCUGUAUGGAACAGAAUGUUGGGCGGUGAAGCAUCAACACGUACACAAAAUAGGUGUAGCGGAGAUGAGGAUGCUUCGUUGGAUGUGUGGGCACACGAGAAAGGAUAAGAUUAGGAAUGAGGAUAUCCGAGGUAAAGUAUGAGUAGCCGAAAUUGUAGGAAAGCUGAGAGAAAAUCGGUUACGGUGGUUUGGACAUGUGCAAAAAAAGGCCUACUAACGCUCCGGUUAGAAGAUGCGACUACGAGAUAGAGGUUCAAGGCCGAAGGGGUAGAGGAAGACCCGGGAAAACUUUGGAAGAGACUCUAAGAAAAGACUUAGAGUAUUUGGAUCUAACGGAAGAUAUAACAUAGGACCGAGCACAAUGGCGUUCUAAGAUUCAUAUAGCUGACCCCACUCAGUGACUUGGAUUUUUCAAGUCUCCAACGGAGAAAUUUUCCUCACUCGAGAAAUUAAGGGAACACUACCUCAACCUACAUGCUUCACUCACAAAGCUUCAACAUACAAGCUUCAACAAAAGAAAAAUUCAAAAAACUUAGUGAAGAAACUUUGGUGUAUUUAACACAAUACGUUGAAAUGAAGCAAAGCUUAUUUAUUGAUAUCUCCGAUAAGUUACAAAUAUGUACAUAUACAUGAGUCAAAAUAAACAAACAAGAGGGGGCCUUCACAAAGGUUGCUUAGGAGAAGUCUCAGCAGUCGGUAGAGCUCCAGAAAGAGAAGGCACUGGAGAGUGAUCACUCGGAGCCUCAGUACUGGAUAGAACCCUAGAAGGAAGAGGCAUCGGAGGCUGAUCAUUUAGAGUUUCAUUACGCGAUAUAGCCCCAGAAGACAAGGCAAUAAAUGCCUUUGGAACAAACCCACAAACCUCUGAUGAUCAAGUAAAAUCUGACCAUCAGAUUCCUUCAUCUGGUCAAGCUUCAUCUUCAUGUUUGUAGCAUAGUCAUGUGCGAGCCUGUGCAACUGUUUAUUCUCAUGCUUGAGCCCUCUAAUCUCCUGCUUGAGACUCAUCACUUCAGCCACCAAUGAUUCAACUUGGCGGGUUCGAGCAAAUAGGCGUUAGGCCAUAUUCGACACAGAACCUGCACACUGAACACUGAGAGCCAGAGAAUCCUUAACAGCCAACUCAUCAGACCGUUUGGAAAGAAGUCUGUUAUCUUUGGGAGUGAGAAUGUUCCUGGCCACCACCGCAGCGGUCAUAUCAUUCUUCAUCACGGAAUCCCUAACGGUAAGAGAACCAGUAGGGGACAAGAAGGAUGGGCGCCAUAUGUUGUCUGGAGAAGGCGUGGCUACCUCUUCACCAAGGUUCAAGUCAAAACGACGGUCGGAAGAGCCAGACAUUUUCAAAUGUGUUGAAGAGAGAAGAGGUUGGACAAAUCAAGAUCUUAGAAGUGCAAGAAGGGAGCUUCUACUGGUGGAGAUUCAAGUGUGAUUUGGAACUUAAUGCUAGCCUCUAUAAAAAUCUGCACUCGACGGAGCUUCAGAAAUCGAAGAGCCGUCUGCUCAGAAAUCGAAUAGGCAUUUGCUUUCUCAAAAGAUGGGCUGCUCAGAGACCACGAGGGCCGAUCUCAGAGAUCGAAGAGGCAUUUGCUUUCUCAAAAGUUGGGCUGCUCAAAGACCACGAGGGUCGAUCUCAAAAAUCGAAUAGGCGCUUGCUUUCUCAGCCUUGUCAGCACCUGUCACAUGCACACUCAGCUUUGCGGAAAUUACGGGCAAUCUGUCGAAGAUUUCUGGUGAAGUAGAAAACACGUGAAUCUUACUGUUCAAUCAUCCACUUUCCACACGCAACAUCAGAUCAUGGGUACCACCGAUAACUUUGCCAAAGAUCUCUGACAAAGUUUAGACACGUGAAGCUUGCAGCUCCCACUACAUCGCUAUGACCAAGAUGGGUAACGAAUAGCAAAGAAACAACACUAACAAAGUUUAGACACAUAAAUUUUGAAGGUUUAGCUACCAUAUUAUUACCCACAAGGGUAAAGGAACAGCACCACUGCUGGAUAAUUGGAAAUUCCCUGUGUGUCAACCUCUGUGCUCCGUGGCAAGGUAGACUAGCAAAAAUGCCCACCCUUUACUCACAUUCGAGAAAACACUCCCAACAAGAUUGCUUGCUCCAAAAUCGAAGAGGCACCGCCCUCUGAAUCUCGAGAGCCAGACUCCCAACAUGAUUACUUUCUCAAAAAUCGAAGAAGCACCGUUCUCCGAAUCUCGAAAGCCAGAUCCCCGAUAGGAUCGCUUGUUCGAAAAUCGAAGAGGCAUCGUUUUCUCAACUUCAAGAGCCAGAUCUCCUUGGAUAAAGCUUGUCUGUAAUCUUCACACGCAACAUCAGCUUUCCAGAUACCACAGACCACUUUUUCAAAGUGCUCUAACAGAGUUAAAACACGUGAAGAUGACAGCUCCCACUACAGUGCUAUGACCAAGAAGGGUAAAGGAAUAACAUUACUACUUGUUGUUAAGGAGACUCCUAUAUAUGUCGACCUCCAUCCUCAACGGACAGGCAGACCUGCAAAAAUGCUCAACCCCUCCUCAUAUCUGAGAGGGCACCCCCAACGAAGCAUACUCAGCUUUCCCCCCCCCCCCCCCGAUAAUACCUCUGCAAACAAGCUACACCAGAGCAAGAAUAUCUCAUAUCAUCAGGGUUAAAAGCAAGAGUAUCUCAUAUCAUGCUUUUUUCCUGUCUUUUCCUUUAGCCUUGUUCUUACCUGCAAGACAAAGAGAAAAAGAGCAAUCAAUCAACACUUGGAAUCAAGCUUCCAGUCAGGAACUGACUGCCUGGAACCCCUUACCACAUCUGCCUGAAGAACAGAUAGGGCAAAUGAGAAGGAUACAAGGAAGCAUGUGGAGACAAACGUAAUAGAACACGUGCCGAUACUUCCAGUACUUUGUCAACAGCAAAAGUAUCCCAUAUCAGCAGGAUCGAACGUACUCUAGAUUUGAUGAACUUGUUUUGACCCUCAAAUUCUUCAGUCGGCCUUAUACUUUGGAGGUAACUAGAAAACCCUCUAGCCCAGUUCAAGAAUAAGCCUGUGGAAAGUUACUUCUUCAAAAGAAAAAGUAUCUUAUAUCAUUUUCUUCUCUUUAUCCUUCAUGCUGCCUGCAAAAUAUAGAAUGAGAACAAUCAGCCGGAACUCGAAAUCAAACUUUUGAUCUGGGACUAAUUGCUUGGAGCUCUGAUUGCUUACCUUGUCUAUCACCUCUUUCAGCAGAUGCCCUAGCUCGGCGACUUGGGGGACUCAUACUACAUGGUUUGUAUCGCGCUUGACCAAGCCUGAAACUACAAGUAAGCUUCAAGUGAAAUUGAUACAUUACCUUGUACAUCUCCACCAGUUAAAGAUACCACCCCUGGACGGAGGAAGAGUACUUCCAAAGAAGAUGCCACAUCUACCUAUGAGACAGAUAAGGCAAGUGAAGACGAUACCAUACUUCGGUACUUAGAAGUUUCGUGAUUACUCAGCGGCUUGGAUCUUGCAAGUCCCCAACCAAGGAGCUUCCCCUUCAACCAGGAGGCCAAUCACAGAGCGACACGUGUCGACAUCAGAAGCCAAUCAUAGCGCAACACGUGUCAACAUUGGAAGUCAAUCACAACACGACACGUGUCAAUGUCAGAACAAGGCUAGAAACUCUCUUCUAUAAAAUGAGAUCAUUAUCCCAAAAUAUUUCCUAAUGCCAUUUGUACUAAAUCAUUCACUUAUACCCAUUAAAGGAGAGCUUGAACCUAUGUACUUGUGUAAACCCUUCACAAUUAAUGAGAACUCCUCUACUCCGUGGACGUAGCCAAUCUGGGUGAACCACGAACAUCUUGUGUUUGCUCUCCUGUCUCUAUCAUUUUACAUACUUAUCCACACUAAUGACCGGAGCAAUCUAGCGAAGGUCACAAACUUAAUACUUUCUGUUGUACCAAAGUCCUCACUGAUUUUGUGCAUCAACAAUCCUUAAGUCCUUACCUUUUUACAUUGGUAAUGGAUGAGUUAACAGGACAUAUUCAAGAUGUUAUUCCUUGGUGUAUGAUUUUCGCAGACGAUAUAGGGUUGAUAGAUAAAACUCAGGAAGGGGUAAAUGCGAAGCUUAACCUUUGGAGAGAAGUGUUGGAAUCUAAAGGUCUUCGCCUAAGCCAAUCAAAGACAGAAUAUAUGGAAUACAAGCGGGAUGGAUGAAGUGGAAGAGUGCAUCUGGCAUGUUGUGUGACCGUCGUAUGCCACUGAAGCUCAAGGGAAAAUUUUAUAGGACGGCAAUAAAGUCGACGAUGUUGUAUGGCAUAGAAUGUUGGGCGGUGAAGCAUCAACACGUACACAAAAUAGGUGUAGCGAAGAUGAGGAUGCUUCGUUGGAGGUGUGGGCUCACGAGAAAGGAUAUGAUUAAGAAUGAGUGGGUUGGACAUGUGCAAAGAAGGCCUACUGACUCUCCAGUUCGAAGAUGUGACUACGGGACAGAGGUUCAGGGCCGAAGGGGUAGAGAAAGACCUAGGAAAACUUUGGAAGAGACCCUAAGAAAAGACUUAGAGUACUUGGAUCUAACGGAGGACAUGACACAAAACCAAGCGUAAUGACGUUCUAGGAUUCACAUAGCCGACCCCACUUAGUGGGAAAAGGCUUUGUUAUUGUUGUUGUUGUAUUCAAUCAAAAUGCUUGAAUUUUUUUUAUUGUAACUGUUUCUAAUAGUAUUAUAAUGAGGGAUUUUAAAUUUAUAGGAUUAUAAAUCUCAUAAAAUAUCAAACAGUUAAUGUCAAAACUAUAAAAAUAGAAAUUUUAAUUGUAAUAUAAUGAAGUGUACAAAGUCAAGGGACUUUGAUCUAACUUUGAAUACCAUUAAGGUUUUAGUCAAAGAAUGUUAAGGAUUAGGGACCGCAUUCAAAGUAUCUCAAAAAAAUACUUCAUAUAUUGAUUGAAUAAUAAGAAAGAUAACUAAACCCUAUCACCCUAAUGGUUGCUCAUAUAAUGUCCCUUGGCCCUAGACUUUUUAAGAGUACAAAUAGGAAACAAAUUAAGAAAAUAACAAUAUACCAAAAUAUAUAUUAUAAAAUCUUAAAAUGUUGAUAAAAUGUAGUAAAAGACGAAAUUUGGCCUAAAAUGCCCAUAUGUCACAACAAAGCGGUUUGUUGGACUCAUGUUGUCAUUUUCUUCGAAAUGGCGAGUCAUGGGUCCAAAUUGAACACUUGGACACAAGUUUGCAAAACUUGAAUUUUACCACCAAACUUGCACCUUUCAAGUUGAUUUUCGAUUCACUCGUAUCAAUCACCUACACAAAACUUCUAUUGUAGAUGUAAUUUGAGAUCCACAUGCAUACAUUAUAACAACUAUUAAUCUCAUGGAGACAACGUAUCAUAACACAUCUCUUAUUGUACAUGAUUAUAAAAUACAUCACCGUAUAUGGUAAACCAUUUAUAGAAAUCUGAUCAGAUUGUAUUUGGCCAGCCACAACUCAGUUUUAGCGUUUCCUUCCUUGAUUCUCCUUUUAUAUGCAUUACUUUUUAUUUUUCAACAUUGUCAUUGGAUGGUUAUAGUCCAAUAUGGGGCAUGACUUGUGUUACAAAUGGCUGGCCAUAAUUCCAUGCUUUUGGGAUGAAGAUGUUGAAUAUAUCGCUGCCAACUUAUCUCUGCCAGCUCAUCAAAACAAUUGUAAAGGAUUGGAUGAUGUAAUUUUUGAAAGAGUUAGUUAGUCCUCUAGUUAGCUAUAUAUAGCUAUGGUAAACAGAUAGUAAAGUUAGUUCAUUGAGUUCAAUACAAAACCUUCAUUCAUUGUUUCUCAUAUUUCUCUUCUCUCUGUAAAACUUCAUUUCUUGGUUUUACAAUUGUUCAUCUUUGCUUCUUCUCCAAUGUAGUUAACAUGGUAUUAGAGCCACUAGGCUCGCACCAUGGAUUUUGGUGGUUCCGUUUUUCAUUAAAUUUCAUCGUUUUUCUAGUUUUAUUUUCUCUUCAAAUUUUCUUCUGGUGGUUCCGUUUUUCAUUAGAUUUUCAUCAUUUUUCUAGUUUUAUUUUCUCUUCAAAUUUUCUUUAGAAAUUUCCAUUACUUUUUCGGUGGUUCCGCAAUUGUUCUUGGGUUGAUUUUUCGGCGAUUGUUGGGUUAAUUUUCCUUUGCCAACUACAUUCUACAAUAUCGAAUUUGGGGUUCUGCUUGGUGUUUGUGAAAAUGCCUGAAUGAAACUAAAUGCCACAAGGAGAUCGGAGAUCUGGAGAUUUGGUUCUUUCUUCUUGGUGGUCUGCUCAAAUCAUUGUCUGGAUUCUUUGGUGGGAAGCCAUGGUUGCUGCUGGUCAGUAGAUUGAUUGGUUUGCUUCCUCAUCGUUAUUUGGGUCAAGAUUGAAGUUCUUAUCAGGUUCUUGAUUUCUGGUUUUCACAGUGCACAUAAUCUGUUGCUUAUCACCUUUCUUGCGAAUCUUUUCUUAGAUAUUAGUGUGAUAUUUGGGAUAUUUGGACUCAAGAUUGGUCAUUACUUCAAGAUCAGUGUUUGUGAUAUUUGGGAUAUUUCAUUUGGUGCACGAUGUCUUGGAGAUCAAUUCCGGCCGGGUUAAUUUGCCGAGUUAUGCUGAUGAGUGUUUGUGAAUCUCAGUCCCGUAAUAUUGAUGUCUUGAAGAUUGAUUUGGUAAGUGUUUAUGAAUCUUUUGAUGAUUGUUGCCAAGUUGCUAAUGAACGGAUAUUUGAUUUUGUUCAUCUUUCCUGUGAAUGUUUUUAUGAGUGUUUUAUUUGGGUAGAUAGAUGUGUUAGGACUAAGUCUCCAUUGCAACAAUUGACCUUGCAGAGUGACGUGCCUGAUCAGAGGGGUUUGUUAGGAUACUAAUUCUUGUGAAAGGUUCAGACUUUGGGAAGAAGACGAUGAUGCAUGAGAAUAUGUGGGUGUGCAUUCUUGCAUUUUGGCAUAGCCAAGUUUAUGGUGUUAACUGAGGAGUUGUGCAGUAUAUUUCUUAUCACAGCCUAUAAUGUCGAGUCUAACCAACUCAGUUGUUAGCAUGAAUCUACAGUAAGUCCGAUUAUACAAUGACGUUUGAAGAAGUUGUAAACGGUAAAUCCCAUGAAGAGUAAUUCCGUGAUGUGAGUAGGUAAAUCCCACGAAAGGUAAUCCUACAUAGAUGUUGAUUUUCUGUUGUUGAAAUUGUGAAGGCUGAUGCCACUGUUAAGAGUAGUUGUUUUUGUUUUUUGGUAAAAUCCACAAGGGGCAAUCCCAUGGUACUAUAGUUAAGGCCGAUGCCACACUAUAGUUUGUUAAUUUUCUGUUUUAAAGGCUGAUGCCAAUGUUAAAUGAAGUUAAUGACAGUAAAUCCCACGAAGGGUAAUCUGCAAGUAAUUGUUAUAACCGGUAUGAAGGUGUGUUACAACUUUAUAAAAGGCUAUUCUUUGAUUCUGUAUUCUAUUGGAAACAGAGGGUUCUGCAUACAAAAUGGUUCCAUAAUCUUGCUGAGGGAUAAGCAAAGAAAAUAGUAGCUACAAAGUAUGGAUUUAAGUUCUGAAUACCUGUCUGUUUAGUGAGCAAGUAGUAUUUAUGCAAGUAGCAUGUUGAGUAUGGAUACCUAUCAGUUUGAGGAAGGUGCAGAUCAUGUAGUUGAAUGUGAUUUGACUGUUACAGUAACCCAUGAGAGAGUUGAGAAAAAAAAUGAAAUUUGGAAUUUGAUAUUGCGGUUGAGAAUUUGAGAGGUGCAAUGGUGCCACAUAAAGACUGUCGAAAUUAUACCACUCUCCACUCACUUUCCGGAUGCAAAACCAAUGGUCCUGCAAGUGACAACUAAAUGCAUUUUCAAGCUCAAGAUCAAUCUACAGUGCGUCCAUUUGUCCAUAUUUCAGUGUUUGCUAUUUGAGACACCCUUAAACACCAAGAACAGAGGAUUAAUUGAUGAUGGGAGCAGGGCUAGGAGUACAUGGACAAGAAGAACUUCAUAGUUCUGCAUUUGUCAAAGCAUUCAUUCCAUCUCAAACUGGGAAACCUAGUUGAGAUUGAGGGGGGAUGUUAAAUAUAUCACUGCCAACUCAUCUCUGCCAGCUCAUCAAAACAAUUGUAAAGGAUUAGAUGAUGUAAUAGUUGAAAGAGUUGUUAGUCCUCUAGUCAGCUAUAUAUAACUAUGAUAAACAGAUCGUAAAGUUAGUUCAUUGAGUUCAAUACAAAACAUUCAUUCAUUCUUUCUCACAUUUCUCUUCUCUCUGUAAAACUUCAUUUCUUGGUUUUACAAUUGUUCAUCUUUGCUUCUUCUCCAAUGUAGUUAACAGGUACAAAUGCAAUGCGUAAUGCCCAACUCCAUAUCCUCCUGAAAACCUACAUACCUGCAUCUGCAUGGCUGGCCCUAAUUUCCUUGUACAUUUCAACAUGCAUGAAUGUGAAUAUGCAGAGAGAGGGCCUACUGCGUCUUUUAACACAAAACCAUGUUACCAUUGUCCCGUUGAAACGGGUUCAUUUUUCCCAUGUGAGUUUGUCUAACAUAAUUAUAAGCACUACUCCUGAAAUAUCACGAUCAAAUUAUACAACACCCUUGCUAGCUAAUAUAUGUUGAUCUUUCAAUCAAAUGCCACGUUCGAAUCACAUGUCAUAAUGUUCCUUAUCUUGUAGACACGCAGAAGAAAAUCCUUGACCAAGUAUAUGCUAGUUCCUGAACCAAAGUUAUUAGAAACAACCCGCAUAUCGGAUAUAUGUGGUUCUAAACAAUUGAUACUAACUCACACAAUUCGCUCAUAUAUAAUUUUUGCAACAAAACUGCUACAGUUAGUCAUGCAAGUGCAUAUAAAUUACGGCUGCUAAUACACGUGAGAGUGCAAUAUGCAACAACUUGACGUUGUUUUGCUUCCUAUGAACUGAUCAUCUUUCUUAAGAAAAUAAGUGAACAAGGUUCCAAUGUUGAGACAAAAACUCUCAAUAAUCCAACUCUUGGGCCCAAAGGCUUCAUCUUAAGUUUUAUUUUGUUUUAUUUUUACUAAUUUCCAUCUUAAAAAUCACACUUAUUUGUCACUUCUAAGUUUGUUAGCUUAAUUCUUUUAAUUACAACUUUUAUGCAAUUGAUAGAAAGUAUAAUGAUAUUACUCCAACGUUCAAAAACCGUAGUGGCAUGGAGACUCGAGAGACCCACUGAAUUUGAUAAAAGCACAACACCCUAAAGAUGCUGAAUGUCACUGUGUCCGAGGAAAGCCUAACAAAAAUAACUUUACUAUUUUGAUGUGCCAUGUGUGAUGGAGCCCAUAGCAAUUUGCCGGGUCCACUAAAAUGUAGUUCCCUUCAUGCUCAAACUCUUUGAGGCCCAUAGCACACAUGAUGAUGCACCUAUCAUGUUGAAGCAGAUUUUCUAUCCUGCGCACCAGAUUGGGUGCAUAGGUUGUGCAUGACUCGAGUCAAGUUAACGACAUUAUAACGAUACUGUAACAACAUAACAACAAUAAUCUGAUGUUAUAAUGACAUUGCAAGUUGAUAAAUUGUUCAAUAUGAAAGUGCACAAAUUCGGAUGUGUUUCGUUGCGACGUUGCCCAUAUCCAUGCAGGAAUAACUACCAAUGUGAUCUUUUGUCCACAAAUCCUUGAAGUACAUGAGACUCUCAAACAGAAAAUUUUUAUACAACUGUGUGGUUCGAUAAUCUAAGCGUCAUUUUGGUUUUAACAUAUUUGUCUCGGGAAAAAUGUCACUUUUAAGGAUGAAACAAUUAAGGCUAUUUCCAAUUUAAAAGCCUAAAGUUAAAAGUUAUAAUGUAGGGUUUUUAUCGCAAAUAGUUUUUUAAAUUAACCCACUCCAUCAAGAUAAUUCCUAAAAUUAAAAAUCGAUCAAUGUAAUUCCUGAAAAUAGGUAUCGCAAAUUAAUGUGGUCAUUCCGUCAUAAUUCCGUCAAAUAUUCCAUUAUGUGCUGAUGUGGUGCAUAACUGGGCCCCACAUGUAAUAUCCCACAUCGACCAACAGAGAGGGGUGAUUGCCUUAUAUAUACAUGCCCACCUCCUAUAGCACGAGGCCUUUUAGGAAUUCAUUGGCUUCAGAUUCCAUCGGAACUCCGAAGUUAAGCGAGAAUGGUAUCAGAGCCACUCUGCCGUUCGAUGCGAAUGUGUCGACGAGGAUGUCGGGCCCCUAAGGGGGGUGGAUUGUAAUAUCCUACAUCGACCAACGGAGAGGGGGUGAUGUACCUUAUAUGUACAUGCCUACCUCCGAUAACACGAGGCCUUUUGAGAACUCACUAGCUUCGGAUUCCAUCGGAACUCUAAAGUUAAGCGAGUUCGGCGAGAGCAAUCCUAGGAUGGGUGAUCCACUGGGAAGUUCUCGUGUGAGUUCCUAGGCCGGAGCCCAAAACGGACAAUCUCAUAUUACGGCGGAAUCGAGAUUGGGAUGUGACACCACAAAUCUAAUUAAAUAUUAUUAUAUGAAUUAAAAAUAUUUAAAUAUUUAAUUUUUAUUUUUAUAUAAUUAAAAACAUUUAAAAGAAAAAAAGAAAAAAGAAGAAGAAGAAGAUGAUUGUUCAUCAUCUUCUUCCCCUCCCACCCUCCCACUACCUCCCCUGUCGCACAUCUCUGUACUUUUUUUGUUAAAAAAUUAAAUAUUUCCAUCCCAUCACCACCCGUGGCUGCAGCGCUUGAAAUAAACACGAAGAUGCUUGAAAACUGCAAUCUACGCCGCCAAUUUGAACCCCCGGUGGAAAUAUCGAGACGAAAUUGGACAUGCGUCUGGGUUGGUGUUAUGGGUGCCAACCCACUAGAUAGUGCGCUCAGGUCGUGCACGUCAAUUAAACACAAAAUCCCAUAUGAAAUAUCAAAAAAACCAAGGAUGGUGCCUGAGACUGGGAUGGUGCCUAAGCCGAGCUUGAAGAACCCAGAAAAAACAAAAUGAAAAACACAAACAAGCUGAAAAAUGAGGAAAUUUCAAGAAUUUAAGAGUAGGAAAUUUCAAGAACUUAAAAACUUCAAAAAUUAAAUGUUUCUCCUCACCUUUGGCGGGGGUUGUAGUGUUGAGUGGGAGGGGAAGAAGACGAAGAACAAUCACAUCUUCUUCUUCUUUUUUCUUUUUGUUUUUAAAUGUUUUUAAUUAUAUAAAAUAAAAAGUAUUUUUAAAAUUUAAAUAUUUUUAAUUCAUGUAAUAAUAUUUCAAUAAAUUUGUGGGACCUAGUUAUGCGCCACAUCAGCACAUAACAGAAUAUUUGACGAAAUUGGGACAGAAAGACCAUAUUGAUUUGCGAUACUCAUUUUCAGGGAUUAUAUUGAUCGAUUUUUAAUUUCAGUGACCAUCUUGAUAGAGUAAGUCAAUUUCAAAAACUAUUUGGGAUAAAAUUCUUAUAAUGUAUAUUUGGCCUCUAAAUAUGACGGCGAAAGUUUAAAUAUCUGCAAUAUGGGGCAAGUUUGACCUUUUAGGCCAAGCCCUCUGGCCGUUCAAGAUAUUAAUAUUUUAAUGAACAGUACAGGAUCAUAUUUGCCUCCGUCUCCAACCAAGGGCCAAAGGGUCAGAGAGUUCGUUUUAGCCCUGUCAUGAAAAACCGUCUCCGACCGAGGGUCAUAGGGCCAAACAUAAUUUAUUAUUUAAAUUUAAAAACUACAGCAACUUAAAUUUAAAAACAACAACUUAAAUUUAAAAACAACAACUUAAAUUUAAAAACUACAACUUAUAUUUAAAAACUACAACUAAAAUAUAAAAAUGACAAAUUAAAUUUAAAAACUACAAAUUAAAUUUGAAAACAACAUUAACUUAAAUUUAAAAACUACAACAACUUAAAUUUAAUAUCCAUAAUCAACAUCGUCUUCAUCAUCCGUCAUCGUAGGAGUAUAGUCAGAGAUAAACAACUGCCGUCGGCUCAUAAUUUCUGAAUGGUUUAGGUAUUUAUAAGAAAAAAAAUAGAUUUUUGAGAAUUUAAAAAAAAAGGCCCAAAAACCCUAAAAAUAAAUAAAUUUUGAAUCCAACGGUAACUGGCACCAGCUAGCUGUUGGAUUCAAAAUUCUUUUUAAGAAUUUAUGUCGGUUAUAAUCGACAAGAUUAAUCAAUUUUCUGGCCAGCCAACCAUCCCUCUAGCCCUUUCAGAUUUUGUGGGGCCCUCUCAGAUUCCACUAGCCCUCUGGCCUAGUCUUCGGUUGGAGACGGUUUGCGGACUAUUUUCGGCCCUCUGACCCUCUAGACCCUUCGGUUGAAAAUGACCUUACUUUUAACUCAUACACAUUUGGAAGUGAUUCAGUGAAAUAUACAGUUAAAUAUUAAUUCGGUACCUUCUAAAGGUGAGGUCUCGCCUUUUGACUCUAGAAUUAUAUUCAGCGUCAAAUAUGACUUUACAUUUUACAUAACACCCAAGUCAUAUGUGACGGAAAUUUUUUUGGUGCAUUGAAGAUGGUUUGAAUCAAAUUUAAAGCCAAAUAUAACUUCUGAUUCAAACUUUUUCGGUCCAAUGGAUUAGGCAAAUGGCUGGAAAACAACAAUUACGAAAUUUUUACAUAUCGCACUUGCUCAGUGUGCUCUCCUGGCAUUGAGUGCCGCGUCCAGUUCACUAUGUUAUUAGACCUUAGACAUAUAAUAGUUUCAAAUAUAAUCUCUUUAGAAAGAAGAUCUUUUGUCUUAUGGUAACCUGCUCUAAUUCCCUUACGAAACUUUCGUUAUUGGAUUAGCUAGCCAUAAACUUUACAUUUUUCUAGCGACUCACAUGGCAUCAUCAACUGACACAAAUCUUGGAUAAGAAUCUACAAUGCACUAGAACACCCUUGUUGAUUAUCCUUUAUAUUAUGUCCUUGACUAAACCUAAUUGUACAAAUUUAAGUUAAAUGUUGCUUGAUAUCUUGGAGGAGUGAAAGUGUUGAGGUGAAAAUAAAAUAUGGGUUGCCUCGCCGACUGGCGAAGCCAUAGAGGUGCAAGAAGGUGCGAUGCGGCACCUCCGAUCGUCAGAAGUCGACCCUAAAAGCGAGAAUUUGCCCCUCUGCUUCUUCUGAACUUGCACGGCAAUGCCCUGAAACGUGUAGGACAAAGGAAGUGAACUCGGCGAAGGUGGCAGUGGCGGGAGGAGGAGUAAAGAAAAAAAAGUAAAAGCCAUGGACCACACAACGUCAUUUAGGUGUUUUGUUCCAGCCAUUAAUUGAUACAUAAGCGUUUCACCACUCAAUUUCGUUUUUCAAUUUGUACCUCUCUUCCUUUCUUUUUCUUAUUUUUUCCGUCCUCAUUCAUGAGUUACCUUUUCUUUUCCACAAAGUUGUUUCUUCUUCCUUUUCUUCUUUAGUUACGAUUUCCAUAAGUAUUCGUCGUUUUCUUCCUAGAACUUGUAACCCGCGGCCGAUUUACAUUUUUCAUAAUUGCAUAACUCCCAUUCUGCCAAAUCCUUUUUCUUGUCCAGGGGGAACAAUCUAUAUUUUGGCCUUUGUUUUUUGUUGCAAUAUUUGGAAUGCUGUUUGCUUUUUUUUUUUUCACCAAGUAGUUAUAAGUUUUUCUAUGUAUUUGUUAAAUGGAUUUGUUUGUUGACUGUGUUUGCUAAUAUUGAGUGUUUGCAGUGGAUCCAUAGGUUUGACUUGGAAACUGGAAAUUGUUCCUCCUCUACAGACCUCUAUACACAAAUACUGGAUGGAAAUUACGGUGCAAAGCUGGUUAUUCGUCGUCCUCAGUUAUAUUCAAAAUUUUCGUUUUUGGUUGGACCUUGAUGUAUGAUAAUUUUUAUGAAAUAAGGGUAACCAAACAAUCAUGGAACUCAAAUUUUACCAGGGAAAAGUAUGCAUAAUCAUUAUUUUUUUAGAGUUUUUAUCACAAAUAAUCCUUAAAAUUGACCCUUAUUAUCUGGAUGGUCCUUGAAAUUGAAAAUCAAUUAAUGUAGUCCCUGAAAAUAGGUGUCGCAAAUCAAUGUGGUCAUUCCGUCAUAAUUCUCUAAGUGCUGAUGUGACACAUAAAUGGUCCCCUAAAUCUUUUUCUCACAAAUAAUCCUUAAAAUUAACCCACGGCAUUAUCAAAAUGGUCCCUGAAAUUAACCCGUGACAUCAAAAUGGUCCUUAAAAUUAAAGGAAAACUAAUGAAAAAAACUUGAAAACUUUGAGUUUUAACGAUAAGGACAAAAUAAAGGUAAAGUGAAUAGUACCAGGAUUGACUUUUUAGUGUACAAAUGUAGUUUUUCGUUAAAGUGAACAAUACCAGGAGUUUUUCGUUAAAGUUCUCUAAAAUUAAAAAUUGAUCAAUGUAGUUCGGCAAGUAAGUGUCUCAAAUUAAUGUAAUCAUUCCGUCACAAUUCUGUAAAAAAUUCUACUAUGUGCUAAUGUGACACAUAAAUGGGUCACACAAAUCUAAUUAAAUUAAACAAAAUUACAAAUAGAGCUUAACAAUUUAAUAGUUAAUAAAAAAUUUGUCAACCCAAAAACCUAGUCCUGCAAUCACCUCCAUUCACAGUUCACAUUUCUCUACCUCUUUUGCUCUCUAUUAUCUUAAAAAAUCUCAAUAUACCCAUUUUUACACACUUCGACACCUUUCACCGAAUUGAACCUAAAUAAAGGUGACGGCUUGGCCCAUUGACAACGACUACUGAGACAUCACCGUUAGCAUUUAGGUAAUCAACAUCCUCACAACAUUAAUCUUGAAGGGCUUGUUAGAGCUUCCCUGAUGGUCUGGUGAUGCAAAGAACGACGAGGUCUACCUUGAGAUAAUGAGGUUACAACCGACGUGUGUCCAUUUUUAGUUGAAAAUUAUUUCCACAACUCCUCUUAGGCCUUGGUUAAGUCUUGUGCCUUUAAGAAUUUAUAGAAUGGAUCUCUCUUCGAAGUAUGCCCUACUAUAAGAAAAAAAAAUUCCAAUGUGCAAAAAGGUACUUGGACAACUUUUUUAAUUAAUUAUUAAACUCAUAUCAGCACAUAAUAAAAAAAUUCAGAGAAUUGUGGCGGAAUGAUGAUAUUGAUUUGCGACACCUAUUUUCAAAUACUAACAUUGAUUGAUUUUCAAUUUUAGGAACCAUAUUGAUGGUGUGGGUCAAUUUAAGGGACCAUCUUGAUAGUGUGGGUUAAUUUUAGGGACCAUUUGUAAUAAAAACCCGUAAAUCUUAUUGGACCAAUUUAUGUGUCACAUCAGCAUAUACGAAAUUUUCAUUGAUUUACGACAUAUAUUUUCAUGGAUUACAUUGAUUGAUUUUUAGUUUAAGGAAUCAUCUUGAUGAUGAGGGUCAAUCUCAAAAACCAUUUGUGAUAAAAACCUUUUCUUUAUAUCCAAAAUUCUUUUUGCGACCGCAUUCCCCGUCGCUAUCAACUUAAUGAAAAUGCAAAAAGCCUACCCCAUUUUUUACGACGUCUUCUACUGUCACCAACUCGACAGCUGCCUACCGUUGCAAAAGACCAUUAGCGUCGCUACCUUUCCAUCCCCAUCGCCCGGCCACUACAAAUGCGUUUAACGAUGGCUAAUAGAUUUUGUAACGGCAUGGCCGACACAAAAGUAUUUUUCCCCAGCGGUCAUUGGAGAUAGCCUACCACCAAAGGAGCAAAAACCUUUAUCAGCGCUGUCAAUAUUUACUUUCAUCUAGCUAUAUAAUAGUUGAGGGCAUCUUUUGGGUUGUAGGAAAACAGAGCCCUAUAUAGAAGACAAUGGAUUUGGAUCCUCACCGGAUCCCCUCCCUGGAGAUCCUAGGGAUCAACAAACAAGGACCGUUGAUAAAAAAUCGUGCGGCCAUAAUUUUUUCUUUUUUUUUUCACGUAAAACAAGGCUACUUUACUUUUAAAAAUAUAAAAAAAUAUUUAAUUAGGACCACACGAUUUUUGAUCAACUAUCUGUGUUCGUUAAUCCUUAGGAUCCCCAGGGAGGGGAUCCGGCGGGGAUCCAAAUCCAAAGACAACCAUUACCACUCAAUGUAAUGGGUUGUAAAUUUGUAAGCUCCCAUGCUAACGUUUUUUUUUUUAAAUACUUAUGUUUAUAAACAUUUUUAAUAAAAACGCUUCUAUUAUAAACACAUUUAAGUUUUUUUUUUUUAAAUGCAAGUGCUUCAUGGUCAGGUGCUUUUUUGAACCUAUAAUCACUUUUAACUUUUCCUGCCAAACAUUAGCUUUUGGUGAUCUAAAAGCACAUUUAGUUACUUUAAAAUCACUUUCAAAGGGGCUCUUAACAGUCUCAUAAGUUGGAUUUUAUUUAGGCUUUUCAUUACAAAUGAUUUUUUAAAUUAACCCAUCAUUAUUUUGGUCUAUAAUAUUGUCUUUAAAAUUGAUUAUUAUUAUAAAUCAGUGUCGUCAUCUAUCCGUCAUAUUAGAAUUAACGAAAUGUUUAUGUUUUUACAAUGUACUUGGUAGUAUUUUGGAGGAUCCGUUGAAGUAAAUGGAUUCAUUUGCGUGUUUAUUGAUUUUAUAUCCUUUUUCUUCACUGGAUUCGUAGUACCAUAAUAUGUGUAAUUCAAGUAACUUAAUCAGUUGAAAUUAUGGGUGCACUUUCCUUCUCUAACUCAAAAAGUAACUUAUGUAGGCGACCAGUAAUCCAUUGCAUAGAGGGGUCUUCUCUUUAUUAGCGAUCGAUGCAUGUAGACCAUGUGAGAUAGAGAUAGAAUCAAGCAUGGCUUUAUAGAUUGUAGAUCCAUUACGAGUGCAUGGUUUUUGAACAAUAAAUAAAUAAAUGUAUAUGAUCUCAAGAACUUGCAUGCAACGGGAUGUAUGUUUUUUUUCUUUAUUAAUUUCUCUCUUCUUAUGAUAAGUUAGUGUAACCAUGGCACCGCUCAAAUGUUAUCCUAAUCUAUGUGUUACAACAUGCAUAGUUACAUAGUUGGACGACAUAAUUAAUAUAUAUUAAUGGAUUAGAAGCAACAUAUGACAUUAUAACUGAACAAUCAAACCACAAAUCAUUUGAAAGAAAGGGUUAUACACUCGAUAUAGAAGGGAGGCUUAUCUACGCCUAGUACGACAUAGUAUCGGUAUCCUAAUUAAAUAACACACUGUCAUAUAGAAAAGUUUAAACAUAUAUAAUAAUGGCAUUUUUCGUUUAGGAUACUGACAAAAAUCAUAUGUAAGUCCCUCCCUAUAGCCUAUGGGCAAGUUUUUUUUGCCUUUUCCUACUAAGAUCUUACAAAAGAUAGAGCAAAAACACUGAGUAAGCAAGCUAUCUUUGAGGAAAAGCCAAUAGUGAAUUGUCACAGCUCGAACAUAAUGCUAAGAAAAUUAAAAAAUUUAAACCAAAUUUGUAAACUAAAUAAUGUAGUUGUAGAUGAUUGAAUUAUUAAUUAAGUCUCAAUUAAUAUGUUUGUUUCUUAUUGAUGACACAUCAUUUGGUUUGCAAAUUGGUUUAAAAAAAUUGGUCUCCUUAGCAUUAUCCUAAUAGUUAACCCAUCAGUUGUAACUCAUGUAAUUGUCUUGUCACGAGAAAAUAUCUGUCUAAAAGUCCCAAAACAUGGAACAGCUAGUGUAAGUAUAAAACGCCCCACCAUACCAGCGUGGUUGGAGAGUUUAAUGUAACCUCCACUCUUUUCAUUCACCUUUUCCUCGUUACACACCUCAAUAUUUAAUCAACCAAACCCUACGCUCCUCCCUCCUAUAAAUUCUUCCUCCCCUCAAUUAAAAUUCCAAUCCAUUUUCUCUCAUUUUUCUCUCAAGAUUUUCAGAGAUGGCCCAGCUGCUUGAUCUGAAAGAUGAUCUAGACAUUGUGAUCCCAACAAUCAGAAACCUUGAUUUCUUGGAGAUGUGGAGGCCUUUCUUUCAACCAUACCACCUCAUCAUUGUCCAAGAUGGUCCCUAACGGCUUCAACUACGAGCUCUACAACCGCAAUGAUGUGAACAAGGUCCUAGGUCCCAAGGCCAGCUGCAUUUCUUUCAAGGACUCCGCUUGUCGCUGCUUCGGUUUCUUGGUUUCAAGAAAAAGUACAUCUUCACCAUCGAUGACGAUUGCUUUGUAAGUUUUGUGCUCCUUAACAAUGUUCCUUUCCACGUUUAUCAAAUGAUGUGUUUGUAUAAAUGUGACGAAUAAUUAUUGCAUUAACUUUUUUAUUGGUUGAGAAAAAAUGAAGGUGGCGAAGGGGCCUAGUGGGAAGGAGAUAAAUGCUUUGUCACAGCACAUUAGGAACCUGCUGACACCAUCAACCCCAUUGUUCUUCAACACACUCUACGAUCCGUUUGCAAACAGGGCGGACUUUGUCCACGUUUACCACAACCAAUCCAUUUCCGUAGUCAAUCUUCUAGGUUUAAGUAAUGAUAUUUAGAUUUAAGACAAAUAAAAUUGACUACAUUGUUGACGUAUUUUUUAAUACGAAAGAAUCUAACAUACAAUAAUAGAACUCAUUUUUAUUAAAAAAAAAUGUAUCAACAAUGCAAUUAGUUUCGUGUCUAAAUAGCAUUACUGUUUAGAUUUUGGCUUUGGUUUAAAAUGAUUGAGGAUUGAGUUUUUUUGGCUCAUGUAGGUAUGUGGAUGCUGUGAUGACAAUCCCCAGAGGCACCCUUUUUCCAAUGUGUGGGAUGAACCUGGCGUUCAAUAGGGAGCUGAUAGGUCCAGCAAUGUAUUUUGGGCUCAUGGGUGAUGGCCAACCCCUUGGUAGAUAUGAUGACAUGUGGGCUGGCUGGUGUGCCAAGGUAAAUUAGUUCCCAAAUUCCCAUCCCAUUUUACUCCAUUUAUGACGUGUUUAUUUAUAUAAAAUGAUUAUUAAAAUUAUUCUAAUUCUAGAAUUCCUAGGUGUCAUAAUUUUUCAUUUUCUGAAUUCUUUGUGUUUAUCAAUACUUACGAAAUAAGAAACUGGUUUUAUAUUAAAAUUUGUAAUCAAAUACUUGAAAAAUCAGGAAUCAUAUUAACUAGGAGAUUAGUUUAUCUCAUGCUUAUUUUUUCUUUCUCUUCCCCAAUUCAUGACGUUGAUUGGGGUUGUUUGUGAGCCAUUGAUACAUUUAAGUCUCACAAUACUUCAACGACUAAUGCUAACAUAAUUCUUGCUUUCAAUUAGCCAAUUUGGAUGUUUUUAUGUGACAUACAUACACUUGCAUAUAAGACCCUGAACAAUGAUAUGUGUGUUCUCUCUUCAGGUGAUAUGUGACCAUUUGGGUCUAGGAGUUAAGACAGGACUGCCAUACAUAUGGCAUAGCAAGGCAAGCAACCCAUUUGUGAACUUGAAGAAAGAGUACAAAGGGAUAUACUGGCAAGAAGAUAUGAUUCUAUUUUUCCAACAAAUUGUGCUCCCAAAAGAGUGCAAAACUGUCCAAGAUUGCUACAUUGAGCUUGCCAACAAGGUGAAGGAAGAGCUUGGUCCUCUUGAUCCCUACUUUGAGCAGCUUGGGGAUGCCAUGGUUACUUGGACUGAAGCCUGGGAUGAGCUCAACCCACCGCCUGAAACAGCGAACUAAUUUGGCUCAAUCAAAUGGUUUUAUAUGAAAAAUCAUUCAAAUUGCUAAAAUUUACUAUUGAGUUGUUAUGAGCUUUUACUGUAUUAGUAGGAUAGUGAUUAUCACAUUUCCCGUUUUACUAUACUAAAUUGUUCCUAUAAACUUGUUUGAGUUGAAAUAGUAGAUUUUUACGUAAUGUUAUAAAUUUUCAUAACUGUUUAAGAGUAGUGACUUUUAUAAUUCAAAUUUCUUCUUCUCUACUCAAUCCGUUAUUUCUAUUUAUUGAUUCUCUAAGAGGAGUGCAAAAAUCCCGUUUUAAAAAACUACUUUUUGACAGGUGGGCUGGUGAUGGUUCUUUAGAUUGGUCUGAGUUUCUCCUACUUCUCAUUUUCACCACGGAAAUUUUCUUUUCUUACUAUACUCCUUGGUUAAGAACAAAGCUUUUGAAUUGCCCAAAAUGCUCAUGCAACAUGGAUUUUUAGCUUUCCAUCUCACGUGAAAACAAUGCAAAAUAUUGCGUGUAACAGUAACACCACUUUUAGUAUGACAUAAAAGGAGACGUGCCGACACAAGUUUCCUUCACGGUUAGUGACAAUGUACGUUGGCCACUGGCCACUGAGCCGCCCACAGUGUUCUACAUGUUUCCCGUUUUUGUCAGAAUAAAUACAUGUACACUAUACUUUUAGUCAUAAAUUUUUCCUCUCAGAUGGAUCAAAAUAACCAAAUAUUCUUCCUCGGUUCAUCAACAACCUCACCAGCUUUUCUUACUUGUUCAGCGAACCAGUCAAGCUUUCCUCAUUUUCGCAGUGACAGAAGUGAAGGCCUGAUGAAGUCAGGAGGAAAAGAAGGUGACAAAGAGAGCAAGAAGCACAAAUAUGCAUUUCAAACAAGGAGCCAGGUUGAUAUACUUGAUGACGGGUACCGGUGGCGAAAAUACGGGCAAAAAUUUGUUAAAAACAAUAAAUUUCCUAGGUUAUUGUCUCUGUAUCUCCUGGCUAUCAUCAAAUAGUUUUCGAAUUUUGAAUUUUUGGUAUUGAUUUUUUAAGGAAACUGGUAUUAAACGCAAGUGUAUAAGUUUUUGUGAUAUCUUGGUUCUUUAUAUUUGCUCUAGCAUGGAAUAUAUUGGUUAUUAGAUUUGUAGAUUUUAUACCUAGAACGGUAAAAAAACGCUCUAGUUUUUACUUUUUUUCGUUUAGGAAAAUGCUCUAGUUCAAUGGUUUACCUAAUGCUUGAAAAUGCCUUAAAUUUCUACAAUGCAUGUGUUCUUGUGCCUGCUCAAUCUAUUAAACUGGAUUUGUUCGACUAUUUAUGCAGAAGUUACUAUAGGUGUACACAUCGAGGAUGCAUCGUCAAGAAACAAGUCCAACGCCAUUCGAAAGACGAGGGGAUUGUGGUAACGACAUACGAUGGAAUCCAUACGCAUCGGGUUGAUGAGAAUUCUGCUGGAAAUUUUUAGGAGCUACUAAGGCAUAUAUAAGCAUGUAAUGUGCCUAAUGCUUAAAGCUGUUGGCGAUAUUUCCACCAUGUCACAUACAGUUUGUAGGGUCUUCAUAUGAAGAUUGUUUUUUAUAUCUGUUCGAUAUGAUAAAUUUGCUUACUCUGCUUUAGAAAAUUACCACUUUUUGGAUUGUAAAUAUCCGUAUCACUACAAGGGUUCUCUGUUCUUCAAAAAACAGACAACGUAAAUUCACUCAUAAUAAUAAGUAACGAAAAAAAGGGCUCAUCAACUUUCUUGGAGAAGAGUAUCAAACAAAAAAGCGAAGACGAACCAAGAUGAUUGAGAGAGCAAACGGGGGUUAGACUAGUUGGCCAGAGUAUUUUGCGCACCCCAUGCACAUGAGUUCAAAUCUCCCUCCCCGUAAAUCAUAGUGGUUUAGAACUUUUGCUUGUCUUAGAAACCAGGAUGAUCGAGAAACACAACAUCAUGUUGGGACUAAGAUCACCUCGUUUUCAUUUCCAUAUCCAGCAAAGCCUCUGAUAAAGCAAAUUCCAAACACAAUCGAAGCAACAGCAACCACACGCAUCGCCAUAACAAUGCACCUUCCUCCAUUAUAACCACCUUCAUUGCUAUCAACCUUUUUCACGCCUUCUGUCUUCACAUUCUCAUCAGCCAAAAAAGAAAAAGAACCCGAAGAUUGCGCACUCCACUGAAAACAAACGCCAAUCUCUUUGCUCUUACCAGAAUCAUCAUCACCAUCAGAACCAUCAUCAAAAGACAAUGAUCUCACCUCUCGAGCCAAACCAUUUUUCCAACCACCCGACCAUGUCCCCUCCUCUUUUCCUCCAUACCCCUUCUCGGUUUCGCAAUCCUCCGCCUCGAAAAGCCUCCUUCCCUUCAGCCUGCCGCUCUCAAUGGCAGCCCUCCUCUCUCUCCGUAUCUCCUCCACCGCCAAGUCAUUACUCCUCACCUUCCACUCUCCUCCCUCUGAUGGAGAAACCCUAUGCUGAAGUGAACACAUGAGAUGCCUUGGGGAAGAAUCAAGCAGUUGGUCAAGAUUUUUCGCCAUUGAAAAACCUGAUGAGUAAUUUGUUGAAUAUCUCCUCUUGGUUUUCGGGUUUGAGUUUUUGUAAGAGUCCCAGUCUUGCUGCAGACUCAUGAACUGCUUCUGCAGUUUUGCAACCACGCUCUCUUCUUUUUCUUCUGCUUGGUGAGCUUUCAUGGUGGGGUCCUCCUUCAUGUUGGGUGGGGUCCUCCUUAGAGAGAAUUUGGUGGGUUAAUUUUGAUUUUAAAAGUCAGUCAAAUAUGACUUUAACUUGGAUAAGAACCAUCCACGUUCUAAUAUGACUUUACCGUCUGUUAAUCUGGACCAUUCAGUCACUAAUCAGAUUUUACAGCUUCCCUCCCUUUUCUGGUCUUGGGAUCCGAUUCUUUCUAUUUUCUUUUAUGCUUUUAAUUACUUUUACUUUUUAAUCAAGAAAGAAAGAAUCCUUUUUUAAUAGUGCUUUUUCCUUUCCAAUUGUAACUCAAUUUUGAGUGCAUUUUUAAUAGUGCUUUUUCCUUUCCAAUUAGAACUUUUCUCACCCCGCACAUUUUUUUUUUUGCAUGAGUGACCGUUCACUCAUGGGAAAAAAAUGUGCAAAAAAUUGGACCAUGAUCCUUAUUUCUCUUCAUAUCAAUCAUAUGAUCUUAAUGAUCGUAAAGAAAAUGAAAAGAAAGAAAUACUUCCAACAGAGCAGAUUGCGCCUUUUCUUCUAACUUUACCAGACAAAAUUGAUUGCUCCUUACCCACAACCCAUAUGACCUGAUGACUGAUGACCACAAACAAUGUGAUCACGACCAGUUUUUAUGGUCACAGCUCCAGGUCCCUACCCUCAUUCUAUAUAGCUCCACUCGACAAUUUUCAAUUUUCCCCUCAAAAGGUACAACACGAAAAAAAGCUACGCUCCGUCGAGCCGAAGAUUUAGCUAAUCAAAUAAACAAAGAAGCAAAUGCAUACAUCUGAAUCUGUCAACACAAAUAGCCAUAUCUCGGAUUUAACCGUCUUCGAUGCACUUACGAAUCAAGUCAAGCUGACGAACAAAUGUAAAAUCAGAAUUAGAAUCAUAAAUGUAGCGGUAGAAUUUGUUUGCAGCUACGCUGUAAGCAAGAUUAGGAUCCAUGAAAAGGGGUCAUCUCUUCUAAAAUUCUAUCACGAACAAGCAUAGUUGCGAUUAGGUAGUCUCGUACUUCCCAAAUUCUUCGAAAUAUCAAAGCUUUUUCCUCUGCAAGGCUGCUCGGCUUCAAGGGUUCCCUGAUAUGUCCUCGAUUACGCCCUUUCCAUCCAUAGCAUCGAAGAAGAAGAAAUUCUUGACAGGGUCUCCUUUCUCUGAUAUUGUCUUAAUAACCUCCUGAGAAGUUAAUGAACAAGAUGUCAAUAUAUGGUAACCAACACUUCCGCUAUAAUUUUUUAUGUGAAAGAAAAUGGAUAGGCGGAGCACCUGCCCAAGAAUCCCUCCAAUGAUGGGGCAAACUGGAGGAAACUCUCUUGUAUCCGUCACCAAUCUUUCCAGGAGCGCAUUUGGAAUAUGAGAUUCAUUCACUGACUGCAAUAUUGUCACAAAAGCAAGCAUAAGAAAAUGCACAACAAACGAACAAUAAAAAAUUCUGAGUACCCAUACCUGUGCUUCACAGAGUUCUUUUUUCAACUUCAGAACAGAAGGAAGAUCUGCAAUUGAUAACUCUCCAGGUUUACGUUGCUCGGCUUCUUCAAACCUUUCUAUUACUGCAAGAAAGGUGAGGUUAGUCUUGCUCAGUCUACUAUAAUUAUAACCGGAUGGUUUCACACGAGAUUUAUAAUGGAUUAAGGGCAAAAAUCUUCUUAAUGGGAAAAUUCAAAGUCAUUUAACAGUAACCAAUUCAUACAAGGUGUAGUAGAAGUAGAACAGCAGCAUCAGAGUAAGACUAAUAAGAAAGCAGUAAAUAAGAUGCAUCCUAUGACUGAGGCAUUCCGGUGGUAUUAAAAUGAUAUUUGCAUCACUCAUCUCUUUACCAUUACCAUUUUCGUAAUUGUAAAUCUUUUUAAAUGUAAGAAUUUCACUUCUCAUAUAGCAAGUUAUAGCUUUGACACUUUCAUGGAAGUACUCUCCAUGGCUCCAUCCCUAUUCCCUCAGUAAAACCAGGAGUUUUCUCACCUUCCUCUUUUACUAUAUUGCUAUAUUUCUUUUACACAACUUCUAUCAGAACAAGUAAAAAAAUUAAACAACAAUAAUUAAACACACCUCGCAUAGCAAAGUAUAGCUUUGAGAAUCUCCUGGGAAAUGAUUUCCAAGGUACUGAAAUUGAUUCCUGUAAUGUAAGAUCCAUAAGAUACUUGAUGAUUAGUACGCUAGAAAUAUUUAUGAUCAACACUACAACACAAUUUGCAUAAAAACAGAUGGCAAUCCUAUAUACAUGUUGUAUGAACAAGGGUUAAUACCACUGAAGAAUAUUAAUCUUGUGGUCUUAAUUUGAUCAGUCAACUAAGGUCCUAUAUUUAAUUAGCAUGAGCAUGAUAUGAAAUCUAAAAUAACAUUAUAAGAAAGAACAAUGACCAACUAAUCAUACCUCAAAGCUUGGAUACUGUAGUUCACAUUCGAUUGUUUCCUCAUUUUUUUUCUGUCAAGAAAAAACAAGAUAAAUUUACUUAUUAGAGAAUAUACACUGACAAUGCUAUACUUCUCCAUGUACAUGUAAUCUAAAAUUUCAUAGCCCUUGGAAACUUUGUUGAAGUUCUAGCAAUGAUGCUAUCAACUCACUCGACAUAAAAUGAACGACGAAACUGGGCAACUAAAAAUAAUGACAUUAGAAAAGUCUGAGAAAGCAAAUAAGAUGAUCACCUUCGAAUAUUUAUGGUGUUGCAGAUCAACAAAUAUUUCACCACAGGAGUCUCUACAAUCAACAGUAUAAAAUGCUACACGCUUUGAAGACUUUCGGCAUUUUUCAUUGAUCAAUUUCUGCAAUAGAAGAAUUGAGAUGGAAAAUAAGAAUAUGAAUUCAUUAAAAAUGGAUGUUUCAAGAAGGUAAAUGUUAAACAUCAAGAGGAUGGGUAUGCGUAGUACUUUAGUUGUGAAGGAGCAACAGCUGACAACGAUGACGUCAAAUUUGCUAUAGAACUCUACCCCAAAGCUUGUUAAGUCACCUGUGAGAUCAAGAUGAAGUAUAUAUUCUCAAUUUCUCUUCUCGCUGCUUGGACGAGGCAUUAGAAAGCAUUAUUUUUCUUGUCUGUCUUAAGUGGCAUAAAACGGCAUAGCCAUGCACUCAAAAAUGAUGUUCAGCUACACUAUCAUUCACUUGAUAGUGACAAUAACGAUACAAUUAUAUUGGAAACCGGAGGCAUUAGAGGGCAGACCUUUUUCUACAGAAACGCGAACCAUCGGAUUAAAAUCUUUCAGAGAAUCACGGCAAAGUUCAGUCAAAGUUUUCCCAGCAUACACACUUUCAUCAGAAGGUAUCAGAAAGUUGGCAGACAGCGCGUCUUCUGUCACUACCCGAUCAUCCACCAGUGUCAAACUACCAACUCCGGCUAGUACAAUGUUCUUACAAAACUACCCAAAAAAAAGGUCACAAAAAAUAAUAACAUGAAUGCAGCUUAAUAUUCUAACACAUUCUAUCACCACCCCAAAAACAAAAUCAUAUAUGAAGGUGUUGAAUUUACCUCUGCAACAGUUCCAGUUAUUCCACAGACUAAUACAUGAGCUUUGCUAAGUCUAAAACAAACAAAAAAACAAAAAAAAAAACAAAAAAAUGAAUAAAAAAAUAGCUCAAAAUUCCAAAUAUUUCUUUAACUAAUUCAUAACAAUUGUUCAUGAAAUAUAUUAAAAUUGCUUACCUUCUUUGGGCACCGGCACCCCAAACCCUAAUCUGGCGAUCGUACAGAGCAGUCUCCUGCUCAGUCAACUCCUCGCCGUCCAUUCCCAACCGCAACCUGAAACUUUUGGAAAAUUAAAGUUAAUUAAAAUUAAUUUCACAUUUCUAACUCAAAAAAGUUGAGAGGUACACUGAAUAACCCUAAAAAUUCAGUUACUUGCAAAAUAAUUAGUCGGUGGGAGGAGAAGAAACCCUAGAAAAGCUGAGAAUUUGAAUUGCUGAGAAAACUGACAGACAGUGACGACGAGGGGCUUCCGAAUUGGAAUUUCAGAGUUUUUUCUUUUCUUUUUUUUUACCCAACUUGUAUUGGGCCUUUUGUUGGGUUGUCAUGAAUUACCCAUUAGAUUUGGUUCGUACAAACCGUUCCCAGAGGCCCACGAAUUGGAGAGAAUGUCAUGUCUGUAUCUCCCAUCACGUAUCUAUAUGCAACUUUGCACAGAUUCUUGGCAAAGGCAAUAGAUUUCUUUCAUGUCAAUGUGGAAACAGAUACUUGAGUAGGGUCGCUUGACCAAGUGGAUAAUUAGGUAUCAUCACAAAAGAAUAUAUAUAGGUAUUAUCCGAGUUCACGUAAGUACAAUUUCUAACGCGUACAACCAAUUUUUUGUGUUAAGAUACCAUACUGUAAUUUUUCUAGCAUCAUUUAACUUAUAUGAUAAGAGAUGCAGACAUGAGUACAUGCACAUAUUAUGCACAAGAUUUUCUCUAAAAAUCAAUAAUGUUUGAUCACAUGCAUCCAUUUAUUGUCCCAUCGAUUUUUCCUUAGGAAAAUGACGAUAACACACAAAUAUAUGUUUAACCUGCAAUGCUAAUAAUUGCGCAUACGUUACAAUUUGAGUGGAUUCGUAACGCAUCAUGUUAGUCUGUUACGUAAUGUGCAACAUAAGUUGCGGACGACAUGCCUAUUAAACAUGGAAAUUAGUAGUAACUCCCUUGAAACAAUAUGAUUCGUCUUUGCUUCCUCCACACUGCACAAUAGCUCCUUUAGUCCAGCUCCUGCAGCAAAAUUACCGUUGGGGUAAAUCAAAUUGAAACCUGCUGUGAAUUUGUGAAUAUACAGUACUCACUUGCUUCCUCCAAAAUGCAUGACAGUGCUUUUAGUCCCACUCCAGCAGUAAAUUGUUCAGGUAAAAAGCAGAUUAAUCAUAUUCAAAACCACCGUGGAUCUGCUUGAUUGUAGCCAUAGGUAAAGUGCAAUUCCCAACUAGCCUCCUUCGGGUCUAGAAAGGGUGGAUAACCCUGAUUCGCCAUUAGUUGUGCCCAUUUUUCUAGAAAGAAAACCACUACGAAUAGUUAUAGUUGUGAUCGUAGUGAAUCAUAACUCAUAAACAUUUGACCCUGUUGGGGAAAACUACUUAAUAAAAGUUACCUGCAUGUUGGUUAAAAACUUGCUUUGGGUUUCUUGUCAUGGCGAGUAGCCUAAUUAUAGCUACCUUGAUCGUCCAAGCACAAAAUCCAGUGAACAAUAUGGAGAAAUAUGAUCUCAUAUAUUUAGUGAUAAGAAUUUCUAAAUGUGCAUAGACCAUGCAUGUAUGGGGGCAAAAAUAAGAUCAGCCAAUGUUUAUAUUCAUUCAGGCGUUAUGCAUUGAACUUUGAGUCCAAGAAUUUGAAUAGUUUGUGUACCUCCCAAUAUAUUAAAGACUCAAGCUUUGUUCUCAAUACAAUCUUAAGUGAUUGGUUUGAAAUGUAUAUUCGUCACAGUCGCACACACAUAAUUGAUUGUUUUACUUUUUUCAUACAAACGAACGAUAUUAUUUAGAAAAGGAAAGGAAAAUUUACGGAUACAGUAAUAAACGCUAUUUGCUACUAUAAUUACAAAUUUCUUGCGUGUACAUGCAUGGUUGUUAAUUGUGGAUUUGGAUCCUCUCCUGAGCUAAUGGAGAGGAUCCUUCUGACCCAUCAUCUUGGGCCGUUGGAUAAAAGGAUUUUUAUCCAACGGCUACAAACAGGGAGAUCCUUUUAAAAUUAUAAUAAUUAUAGUCGUUAGAUAAAAAUCCAAUAAUUCAUGAUUAUGAGUCAGGAGGAUCCUCUCCAUUAGCUCAAGAGAGGAUCCAAAUCCGUUAAUUGUGAUAUCUUGCAUAGUACAACGAGAAAAGUCAUUGUCAAAGUAGGGUAUAGAGACAUGGGCAUGAACGUGGCUCGGUCAUUGAACAAUCACCAACCAUGAUAAUUGCAAAAGAAUAUUAACUAGGUUUAGAAUGUAUGAAAGAUAAGUGAAGAAAAACGAUUGCAAUUAAAAAUAACGUCUAUUUUGAUGGGCGUUAAAGUGGUUAAUACAUAGUUAUUUUUUCGUGAUCCAUGACCAAAUGAAUAGAAGUUCACUUUUAAAGGACUCAAGAUAGGUAAAGAGUCCAAAAACACGCAAACGACGAGCAUAGAAGGAACGCCCAUAAGCAAUAUUACGGUCGGCAUCGUAUUAAGUACGCGUUACCGAGCACUUACUUGUUGACACAAAGCACAACCACCGCUCUUAACCGCCGCCGACCACUAUUCCUUGACACAAAACAGAUGAAUGUAGCUCAAAAAAACCAAGUGUCACCUAGAGAUACAAGCAAUAAGCAAAAGUGGGACCCCAGGCCUUCCACGAAUUUAGAACAAAGACAUAGCAACUUGACCUAGGGGAGUUCGUCAACUCAUUUGAUUUGCCGACCUCUAUAUAAAGGAAGAGGAGAAGCCUGGGAAAGUUAACUACUGAAAGGAUCUCCAACCGAUUGGGUUAAAGGGUCAUACGACUAAAAUAGCUUAAAAUGAUACGAAAACCGUAUCCAACUGAGGACUAGGCCAAAGGGUUCGUGGGCCCCACCGGGCCAAAAUUGUGCAAUCAGGCCAACCGGCUAGCCCAAACCAGCCAGCCUCGGACCGGUCCAAAAUUCAAACCCACGGCUACCUGGCGUCAACAUGAUGCUAGCUAGCUGACGUCAUGCUAACGCCAAGUGACUUUUUUUUUUUGGACAAAAUUUUAAAAAUAAAAAAAUAAAAAAUAAACAACACUAAACAACAUUAAACAAUAUUAAAUAACAUUAAACGACAUUAAACGACACUAAACAACACUAAACAACAUUAAACAACAUUAAAUAACACUAAACAACACUAUAACUACCUAAGCCAUUAAACAACAUUAAAUAACACUAAACAACAUUAAACAAUAUUAAAUAACAUUAAACUUAAACAACAUUAAAUAACACAAUCUCCACCCUAGUACUACUUGGGGGAGUUAUUCACUUUAGCGACACGUGUCACUCGAAAUCCUAUCCGAAAAAUUAUUGAGGUAGUUUAAUUUAAGUAAGCAUGUAAUACCCUGAAAAAUUAAAAUAUAUGAAUAUGUGGAGUAAAUUGAGAACAAAUAGAUUUAUGCUUAUGAAAAUUUGAUUAGAGAAAUUUUAGAAGUUUGUUUUGGGAUUUAUUAUAAUUUACGUCGAAAAUUUUAUAGAUUAGUGGAAAAGACGAAAAUGCACUAGUUGUAAGAUCCUACAUCGCCCAUGGGAGUGGAUCAUGUAAGCUUUAUAUGUAUAUUCUCAUCUCUACCUAGCACGAGGCCUUUCGGGAGCUCACUGUCUUCAAGUUUCAUCGGAACUCUGAAGUUAAGCGAGUUCGCGCGAAAGCAAUCCCAUGAUGGGUAACCCACUGGGAAGUUCUCGUGUGAGUUCCCAGAAACAAAAUCAUGAGGGCAUAGUCGAGGCCCAAACGAACAAUAUCGUGCUACGGCGGAGUUAAGCCCGGGAUGUGGUGAGGGCCCGAGCCGGGAUGUGACGAUUUGGUAUUAGAGCCAAUUCCUCGCUGGAAGUGUGCCGACGUCGGGCCCUAAGAGGGUGGAUUGUUAGAUCCCACAUCGCCCAGGGGAGUGAAUCAUGUAAGCCUUAUAUGUAUAUUCUCAUCUCUACCUAGCACGAGGCCUUUUGGGAGCUCACUAGCUUCGGGUUUCAUCGAAACUCCGAAGUUAAGCAAGUUCGCGCAAGAGCAAUCCCAUGAUGGGUGACCCACUAGGAAGUUCUCGUGUGAGUUCCCAGAAACAAAACCGUGAGGGUGUGGUCGGGGCCCAAAUCGGACAAUAUCGUGUUACGGCAGAGUCGAGCCUGGGAUGUGGUGGGGGCCCAGGCCGGGAUGUGACACUAGUUGACUAAAUGUAAUUUUACGAUGACGUAUUUUAUCCUCAUAUAUUUUAUCAUAUUUCUUGAUAUAAUUGGAUAGAGCUCGACCCUACGAAAGUGUGGGCAAAAACCGUUUGUGAAUCGAAGUUGAAACGAAGAAAUUAGAGGCUUUAAAAAAAUUUAAAAAAAAAGAGGAGUCUGGAAGCUGCUAGAUGGUAGUGUGAGAGAUGAGGAAAAGAAGAUAUGUGGGAGAGAAGAAGGGGAAGGGGGACUAAUCGAGUAAGGAGAAAAUGAGGGGAAAGAAGGGAGAAGUGGAAGAGAAAACCGAAUCCCCUACGACCCGCCAACCCGACCCGGCCGGAUUUCCCAAUUCCGGCCACCGUUGACGGCGGGACCGGUGGUAAAAUGAUCCAUUUAAAGUUUCAUAUUAAUCUUGAAUUGAGUUGAUAUUAUGUUAUACAUUAUGAAAAUGUUGAACGUUAAGAUGAUUGUUUAAUUGUGACAAGUAGUUGGGAAAGUUAUAUUAUACCUGUGAAAUUGAGAAAUGUUGAAUUGUGCGAAAAAGGCCCGUGGAUGUUGAUUUGGGCAAAAAGGCUUGUGGAUGUCGAUUUGGGCAUGAUGGCCUGUGGAAUGGGAGAAAUGUUUGUUUGGGUAAAAUGGCCCGUGGAUGUUUGAUUGGGCAAAGUGGCCCAUGAAUGUUGAUUUGGGCGAAAUGACCCGUGAAAUGUGGAGAAAUAAUUGAAUGGGCAUAAAGACCUAGUGUUUCCGGAAGAAAAGCUCCAUUUGUAGGCUGUGAGAAUGAGUUAUCAAUGUGAUGUGUAUCGACUAGGUAUAUUAUGAUAUUUUCCAGUUGCUAGUCACCUUUUGGGAUAAAAGAAAAAAAAAUGAUGAAAUCGUUGUUUUGCCAAUGAUAUUUAUGGCUGAAAAUUGUAAUAUUUACGAAAAUCAAGAUGAAAUUUAUCGAAUGGGGAAGAAAUUAUAAAUCAAAGUUAUGAAUUGUUCAUUAUAAUUGGAAUGGUGGAAAAAAAAAUCAUGGAGAUUUCUUCAUUUAUUGAAUUAUUGGUGGACAUGAAUAAUAGAAUGAGAAUUUGAGUCCGUAUAAUAUAAACGGAAACUGUGGAUUGGUUUUAAAUUCCUCAUAUUUAUACAGUGAUUAUGAUUAGAAGUGCCAAUGAUUUUCGUUGGAAUUUCUGACAUAUGGGUUGCUAAUUCUGUUGGUUUGACUUGAAAUUGUAAUAUUUACUUAGCCACUGAUGAUUAUGGCUUGAAAUUUUUAUAUUUAUUUGGCCGAUGAUGGCUACGAUGGAAUGUAUGAUAAUUGUUUUGCUAAAAAAAUAAUAAUAAUUAUGAUGUCUAGUGUCGCCAGUGAUUGUGGCUAGGAAUGUUGAGAAAGAAUCAAGGUAACGGCUAUGUGUAGCCAAUGAUGGUGAGUAGUUUUACUCAUGAUUGGGGUUCUUAUGCUAGCAUUUAUCUAGCCAAUGGUAGAUAUGGUUGGAUAAUUUGGUAUUUAUUUAGCCAACGAGGAUUGCGGUUUGAUGUUUGAUUUUUAUUUUGCCAAUGUGUAUGGCUAGAAUUUCUUAUAUUUAUUCUACCAAUUAAUGUGGCUGGAAAUCUGAGUAUAUGCUUGAAAAUCAUGAUAAUUAAUUCAUGGAAUUAUUUAUUUUGAGCUUGAAUAAAAUCGUAGAUUGAGGUUAUAAUUUUAUUCACUAUAAAUGAAACGGUGGGAUUAGUUCUAAAUCCCUUUUCGUUAUUCGAUGGUUGGAAAUCUCGGGGACGAGAUUUAUUUUAAUGGGGGUCGAAUGUAAUACCCUGAAAAUUUAAAAUAUAUGAAUAUGUGGAGUAAAUCGAGAACAAAUAGAUUUAUGCUUACGAAAAUUUAAUUAGAGAAAUUUUAGAAUUUAGUUUUCGGAAUUUAUUAUAAUUUACGUCGAAAAAUUUAUCGAUAAGUGGAAAAGACGAAAAUGCACUAGUUGACUAAAUGUAAUUUUACAAGGACGUAUUUUUUUUCCCUCCUAUAUUUUAUCGUAUUUCUUGAUAUAAUUGGAUAGAGCUCAACCCUAUGAAAGUGUGGGUGAAAACCGUUUGUGAAUCGGAGUUGAAACGAAGAAAUUAGAGGCUUGAAAUCAAAAAAAAAAAAAAAAAGGAGUUUGGAUGCUACCAGAUGGCAGCGUGAGAAAGGAGGAAAUUGAGAGACAUGGGAGAGAAGAAAGGGAAGGGGGGACCAAUCGGAUAAGGAGAAAAGGAGGGGAAAUGAGAGAGAAGUGGAAGAGAUAAUCGGAUCCCUUAUGACCCGCUAACCUAACCUAACCGGAUUUUCCAAUUCUAGCCACCGUUGACGACGGGACUAGUGGUAAAAUGAUCCUUACUUCGAACUCAAUCGUUCUCCUUCCCAUUUUCAUCCAAAAAAUAUUGAUGAAAUUUGGUGGAUUUCAAGAGAAACCAUAUGUAGGGGCGCGACGAGUUUGGCUUCGAUUCACCAAAAUCUGAAGUCAACACCGUCCAUCACCACCACCCGUAGUCUUCCCUCAAUGUCAGGAACAAAGCCCAAGCAAUAGUUGGAGUGUCGGAGUUUGUUUUGAGGUCGAAUCGAGAACACCUAUUUCUAGGGUUUCCGAUGGUCCAAGGCUGAUUUUCAGGUGUUUUCCAGGUGAAUUGGAUUUCGGCCCAAGUAUGAAAGUUGUUCCUCUCAUUGAACUCUACUUUCUUGUAAAAUUUGGUAAAUUUUAGAGUUAGUCGGAAAGUUAGGUUUUCGUUCGUCGAAAACGGGCGGGUGCGACGACACGUGGCCAGUGGCCCGACGCUGCCUUUUCAUGCAAAUUUUGAUAUUUUAAAUUCGUAGAUGGUACCCAUUUGAGGUGAUUCGAUUAUGAAAGUUAAUGUUGAAUAUUUCCAUUUCUAGAAUAUUUUCAGAAAUGGAUAAAAGAAUGAAUGGUGAAAUACGAAAGGCUUGAUCACGCAUAAAGGUUACAUAGGCAGUCGAAAGGCUUUAUCACACAUCAAGGGUACAUAGGCAGUCUAACAGGGGUUAGAUGUAGCCUUAAAUAAUUGAGAUUAAUCUUUUGUUGGGAAUUUGAUUGAAGAAGUGAAAUUUUGGUGAAUUAUUUGAAAAUUUAAUCUUAUGUUUUUUGUGAGUAAAUUCUAUUUAUAGAUUUUGUGAGUGUUUAAGAAAUUUAAAUAAAGAAUUAUGAUUAAUAGUAGUUAGUUAAACAAGAGUUUAAUUUGGGCCUAUCAUAGUAAUUAUCUACUGAAAUAAAAUUUUAGGGACAGGGCAUUACAAACCAUAGUAAUUCAAUUAAAAUAAUAAAUUAUGUUUGGCCUAUGACCCCUUGGCCCCCUCAGUUGGAGAUGAUUUUUUGUCACAGGGCUCUGUUUGGUCUAUGGUCCUUUGGCCCCCUCGAUUGGAGAUGGUAAGAAAUACGGUCUAACACUGUUCAUUAAAAUAUUAAUUUCUUGGAGGGGUAUAGUGCUAAGGGGAGCCCUCUGGCCCUCCUUCGAUUGGAGAUGGCAUAAGUUCCUGUAACAACCCUAAAACUACAUAGCAACAUUUCUCACUACUCUAGAGAUAUUGAUGAAGGCAUCAAAGUGGUUAGGCCGGUACCACACCGAACUCUCUGAUACUACUUGUGUUCAAUGUUCAAGUGAAGAGAACGGAGCUCUAGUCCUCGAUAAAUACCAGUUCAUAACCCUAAAACCCCUGGUAUUUAAGCCCUAAAAUCACCGUAAACCUUUUAAAAACCACCUUUGUUAACAUUGCCACAUUUUUAUGUUAGCAAUAGUAACUAAAAUGAUUUUCUUUCUUCUUCUAAAAUUAUAAACCUUUUGUUGCUUUAAACUAGUUUACCAUAAAGUUUAUAUACAGUUUCAAAAGAAGGCGAUUUGACGCAAGUUUAGACGUUGAAUCUUUAAAAGAGGGAGAUUUUAUAGUGUAACUGGUAAUUUAUUCCCGUCUCUAUGUCUCUCAUCACAUUCCUAUUCCGAAGAUUUGCUCUAAAACAAAGGGUAAGGAAGAAAGUCGGAAAUUGAGUUGUCCACAUCCGACAUGAAAUAUGAGCAUAUUGGCGUGGUCGCCUUCACAAAAUACAUUUUGAUGUGAAAACUUAAGCAUGCGAUAGUUAGAUGAUGUACUUUGAGAGGUGAUGGCAAAAUCUACAUGAGAAAUGAUGGUGGCAUGGCAAUGCCACCAUGGUGCCGACAUAUGAAAACUACACUUUAGGAUUUCUUCUUCAUGGUGGUGGAGGAGUUGAACGAAAAAAUGAUUGAGUGGUGAUAUAUGCACUAAAUUCAUGCAGACAACACGAUGUGAAUUUUUAUUACAAUUAGGGUUCUUUAGAUAUAAACUCUUAUAACUCUUAUUUCUUAGAAAGAAAAAAACCCCAAUAAUUAUAAACAUUCAAAUAAAACCCAAAUUUAGAAAAGACUCCCAAAUAGAAAAGUAAUUGACCUAUUAUUACAAAAUAUUUACAAUUUGUACCACAAUAUUCAAAAUAAAUCAAUAAAUGUUAUUACUCACCUUAAUUACAAUGAACAAAUAAUUAUUGCACAUAUUAUUACACCCAACAUAUAUAUAUACACAUUCAAAUGUCUAUAGGACUACCGUAAGCUCAAUAUAUAUAUAUAUAUAUAUAUAUAUAAGAAAAAUUAGUAUCUGGUCCCUAGUUACUAAUGUUCAUUGACUAAAACCUUAUUAGUUUUCAGAUUUUGAUCCAAGUCCCUAGCAUUAAUGUAAUGAUGAAUUUACAUAAUUUUUUUAAAUAAAAUUUAAUAAUUGAUUUAGGAUUUUAAUACUCACACAUUUAUUAAACUCCUAACUAAUUUUCAAUUCAAAACAUUUCCAAAAUAAAUAAAAAAUUAGAAUAAAUUUGUACCCAUUAGCUUUUUAUAAAAUAUUCUUCAAUUUUUUAAUCUUAUAUGCACCCAUUCAUGUAAUUUUUUUCAAAUUUUUAAUCUUAAAAUGUACCCAUUCUUAAAUAUACCAAUUUGUUAUAUGUAAAAUGUACCUUUUUUAUAUAAAAUAUAUUCAAUUUUUCUCUAAUCCAUUUUUAAACUUAUAUGGGGACAUUCUUUUCUUUUGAUUUGAGAAUGUAUCCAUGUCAAGUUUAAUCAAAGAAAUUUACUAAUGUUAUUAAGCCUAAUAUCUAUUACUUUUGUUUUGUGUGUGUGGUUUUGAAGAAUGUACCCAUGUUUUGGUACAAUAAUUUUUUGUUAAUUUUGAUGAAUGUACCCAUGUUUACAUGCGCACACACACACAAUAGUAUAAUUUAUAUUUUAAUAUUUUAAAUCCCACAAAUUAUGAGUUUUUAUUUAAAAUCUCAUUAAUAUAAACAACUAUAAAUUUCAAAUUUUAAUUUAAAAAAUAUAGUAACAUACAUAAAAAUAAAUUAUCACAUUAAUUUCAGGGAUUUCAAUAAAAAAUUGAAAACCAAUAAGGCUUCAAUAAAAAAAUAUUAAUAGCUAGGGAUCAUAUCCAAAGUCUUAUAUAUAUAUAUAUAUAUAUAUAUACAGUACUACAUAUAAUACUAAUUAAUCCACCUAUAUGUAUUUAUGAUGAGCAAAUAACCUUCAUUGUGUAGGUAUUUUAUUUUGUAUGUAUCAUCAUAUAUAUUGGCCACAUUUUGUUAUUAUAUGUACAAAUAAUUAAUAGGUAAACUAGUGUUGAAUAAAAUAAUAUAUUUUUUAUGCAGGUAAAUUAUUUUAUAUAUAUUAUGUUUGCUCUAUUAUGUAGGUAAAUUAUUUUGCAUAUAUUGGGUUUGCUUUAUUAUGUAGGUAAAUUAUUUUGUAUGUCGGGUUUUAUGUGGAGAAUAUUAAGUUUUAGGGGCUAAAGUUAUAUUUUCAAUUACAAACUUACAAUUGUUAAUUAAAUUCCAACUUGAGUUUUUUUUUUUUUUUGUAAAAAAAAAAGAGACCAACUAGUGGCUUCGUCAUAGCAGGCUACCCUUCAGGGGGUCGAGAAGAUUCACAGAAACAUUUCAACAUUCCUUGACCACUAUCAUUCGAUUUACCAGCGUUAAUAAUCGAACACAGGACGUGUCAUGUGGAGUAUGACCUGAAAUUCAUAUUAUUUUUGGUAACGUAUUAUUUGGUGCACGACUUUAAUGCAUCUAUCAUUAUUCAAAAUGAUUUACUUACAUUUCUCAAUACGUCAUCGUGACACUCUAAAUUAACAUAAUCAAUGUGAUUUGACUUUUUAUUGGUAUGAGAUGUUACGAUUGCAUAUUAAAUAAAUCUCUCUCAUGUGAUGACUUAUAUGAAACGGUUCAUUGUUAUGUGAUAUUCUCAUCUAAUAACACAAUAUUAUGUUACGUAUGUUAAUAUAUUAUUGAAUCCAAACAGUACAAUAGCGCGUUUUAUACAAGUUAGUUUUUCUCAUUCGGUGAGGCGACACUUGGCAAAUAAUUAGAGUUUGGUCCCAUGGACAGUCGCAAUACAGCUGCCCACACUGACAAGUUGGUUGUUGCAGAUUUAAAGGACCCCUGUCCCGCCUCUGUAGCAUGACGUUUGGGUAAAUCUGUGGCAUAUGACGUUAGGGUAAAUCUGUAGCAUGACGUUUUGGUAAUCUGUAGCAUGACGUUUUUACCCCUUCAAUAAUCUACACAUAUCAACUCGUUUGGAUUAAUUACUAAAUUAUCAACUCCUAAUUAGUCUUUCUCUAAAUUAAUAAAUUAAAAUAAAAAGUUAUUUAGUAUGUAAUAGUUUAAUAAUAUUCUUUUUUAUUUGUAAAUAAACUUUUUAUAUUUUAAUGUAAUAAAUGACGAUUUUGAAACUAAUUUAUUUCUCCAAUCUUUAAAGUAGAUAUAUCGUUAUAUACAAAAAUAAAAAUAAACAUUCUAUUUUUAUCUGUUUAUAUUGUUUACAAUUAAAGUUCCUCACAAAAACAAAUAUGAAGUUUGUCCUUAAGUUCAAAUUAGCUAUGAUUUUCAAGCUCUCAAUUUAUUUGGAUAGUAAAUAUGAUUUUUUGUUAAUCAUCUUGAGUAGCUUAGGAUAUACGGUAAAUUAUAUUUUUUCUCUUUAGGUUUGUAUUCAAUUGUAAUUUCAUACAACAUAUUUAAAACAUUUUUAUCUCAUAUAUUUACUUAUUAUUUUAUUUCAAUGUCAUAUAUCUGUCUCAUUUUCCGUCAGCUCCUCCGUUAUAUGUCUUCAGACCCCACUUCAGGCCCCAAUUGCACCUACCCGAUGAACUGCUAGGGUAGGCUUUCCCACAACAAAAAAGUGGCACGUUGCACUAAACUUCACGCGGUCACAUAGGCAUAUAACAACUUACGAAAAAUGUGACAGAUGUAUGACAUUAAAAUGAAAAUAAACAUUAGUAUGUGAUUGAAUUGUUUAAAAGAUAUUGUAUGAGGUUAAAGUAAAAUGUGAUUACCCUAAAACAUAAUAAUGUAAUUGAUUAAUAAAGGGCUAGUAAACGAUAUUGGUGAAACGGUAAAUUGUCGUAGUUUAUGAUGAAUAGUUUUUAAUUUUAUAAUUUUUUUUUUAACAAAUGAUAUUAUCUACAAUAAAGAGGAGGGGGAUGUGCUUAACCUCACAAUGAACCUAAAACAUCUCACUUACAAAUUAAGAGGAAUAUCACUAGACGUUAGUACUAAGUGGUUUUUUUUUUUUAACAAACUAUAUUUAUACUAAAAGGGAGUGCGUGAAUUUAACCUCAUGAUGAAAUAGUAAUAUAUGGUUCAAAUUCACAAAUAAAAUCUUUCAUUUAAAUUUACAGUGCAAAAUAUCAUUCAUAAUAAAGAAAAUAUUUUGGGUCAUGAAAAUUAAAGUUAGAAGUGAAGUUUAUGGAGUCUGACAGCGCCUACCUCCCAUUCAAUGGGCCUUCAAAGAUGCACACUUGAUUACAUGCAAGUCUCACGCGCUCGGCUAGCAACCCCUCUAAAGUCCAAACACCAAAAAUUCUAGCUUCUUGGUUGUCACAUUUACCGCGACCACAACUAUCGCUAUGUUUGAAAUUUCAAAGGUAAAUAACUAGUAAUUGGAACGUACCAACAAAAACAUGUUAUUUUUGUAUUACAUUGAAACGUCUCUUUCAUAGAGAAGAGUUACGCGCUCGGCUAGCAACCCCUCCAAAGUCCAAACACCAAAAAUUCUAGCUUCUUGGUUGUCACAUUUACCGCGACCACAACUAUCGCUAUGUUUGAAAUUUCAAGGGCAAAUAACUAGUAAUUGGAACGUACCAACAAAAACCUGUUAUUUUUGUAUUACAUUGUACCGUCUCUUUCAUAGAGAAGAGUUUUGGGCAUGGCAACGAGGCCGGAUAAUACUCAAAUACAUUGAGACAUGUUUCUCUGAAGAGCGUUAACUAUUCAACUGAUAUUAAUAUCAUAUGACAAUGCAUCUAUUAAAGAGUGAUAUGCAAUAUGGUACAAAAAUGUGAUCUCUUAGUUACUAACAGUAAUAUAGAUUAGCCUAAGUGACCAUAAUGAGUGAGAAAAUACAUUUAUGAUUGUGCUAAAAUUAGCUGAUUUUGAUUUUUCAUCUAGAGUCUAUUUCUCUAUCAACGAAAUAUAGUUUGAAAUUCAUUAAAUUGGUGAAAUUCUUCAUUGUCAAAAGGUUGGUGCUAUCCACACACUCCGCUUUACCUCCCACAUAUUCUUUUGAGUUUUGGCUGUUAAAUUGAAUGAAUUAAAAAAAUCCAAAAACAUAAAUUAACAAGAAGUAUAUGAAAAGUAAAAAUGGGUGCGUCAAUAUCACCACCUUGUCAAAAUUGUCAAUUUGAAUGCAACAAGACCAAUUAUUUGUAGUGAAAUGAUAUCAUUGACAUGGCACAUUCAAAUAGACAAAGAGAAUUUGAAUAAUAGACCUUUGGCUAAUUGACUCCUUGACCUAAAAUUGAUGUAAAGUAGUAAUGUAGUUAAUCAAAUUCCAUUGGAAAUGUGAUUCAUACUCAAAACUAGUCCCACAUUUUGCAUGUUUUGCUCUCGAAGUCUUUGCUUCCAAAUCUUCUUCUUCUUCUUCUUCUUCUUCUUCUUCUUCUUCUUCUUCUUCUUCUUCUUCUUCUUCUUCUUCUUCUUCUUCUUCUUCUUCUUCUUCUUCUUCUUCUUCUUCUUCUUCUUCUUCUUCUUCUUCUUCUUCUUCUUCUUCUUCUUCUUCUUCUUCUUUGCCACCUAACAUAACAUGGAAAGAUCCUUCUUAUAAUGUCCCAAGACAGAUCAGUACAUAUCUAGUUGACAAAUGUACCAUUAUUUUAUUUAUGUUUUGGCAAUUAAGGUAUGCAAUUAUUAAUCCAAGCUAUUAAGGACCCCAUUCAGUACUACCCUGGAGACAGACAGCCCAGCAUAAGUCUGGCACUAAUAAUUCUAAAGUUGCAAUUCAAAUGAAAGCAAAGCUUUUAGGGCCUUAGGCUCAUCUCAAGAUAAUACCAUACUGUUGUGUGAGAAAGUAAAAACAUACGACAUUAUGUUAUUGAUUUGGAAUAUUAAGACACUGACGUAUUCAGUGUAGGUAAAUACUUAGAGCAGUUCCACCCAUGUAGGGAGGGUAAGGGCAAGGCAUUUAACUUGCUCUUACUAUAAACUCGGAAUAGCACUUGCCUUUGUAUACUUUUAUCCGUUGGGCAAGAGCAAGAGCAAGAGCAAGGCAGAUUACCAUCACAAAUAUUUUUUAUUUUAUUUUUUAAGUUGCUUUGCAGGCCUUAUCCUCCACGUGUCAUGAAUGCCUUAUAUUUUCGAUCAAAUUUUCAAACACUCUCGUCAUGCCACAUGUCAUUAUACAUUAAUAAUGUUUGCUCUGAUUUUUUUUAUAAGAUUCUCGAUUAUUCAUAUAGUGCAACUUUUCCUUAUGCAAUCUUUUGGUUUCCUUAUAUAGUGCCAUGCACCAAACCCUUGAGCAAAGCAACAUCUUUCCCAAUCGACCAAAUUGCCUUCUUAGUUCUCACUCAUUUUUUUGAUAAAAAAAUGAUUUGGAAAGUGGAAAACAAAUAUAAAAGAUUGUAGUAAGAAUCGAUUGAGUUGUGAUGUGGGGAAUGAAGAAUAUGAUUGGAUUUUUAUAUAAUAAAAAAAUCCUAAUUUUCCUAUUUUUAGUUUUUCUACCAUGAAAUUUGGAUCACCAAGAUGUGCCACGUGGCACAACGAUAACUUCAUAAAAUAAAUUUAUUGUUGGAAAUCCAAUAGCUCACGAAUUGCCAUGCCAUAAAGCCGUAGAUGGUGAUUGAUGGACUGUUGUAGAGAGUACCACGACAACAGAAGUUGCCGGCCCACUCGCCAAGUUCACGAGUGUAUUGCCAGACAAAUAAAAAAAAAAGAUUAAACAACGUGGCUGACAUCAACCUUACGCCCUAACGCAUGACCGAUCAUAAGUUGCUUAGGCGUCGAGCGGGCUUCACAUGGGCCAUCACUUUCCCUCUUCAUCUAGGCUCGUUGGAGUAUUUCUUUGGAUUUGUACUAUAACUUUAUGGCCCCUAUCCUUGCCUUCCACAAAGAGGUGGACUUGCUCUUAGAAGGAAGAGUCAAAGAUGGGCUGCGAGUUUCCCACUCGCCAGGAGAGGAGCGUGGGGUGCACGAGAGGGGUUUGAAGGAAAAGGAUCCCAAAUGGAAGGACAUGCCAUGAAAUGUGAAACACAAAGCCACAUGGUUUGUUCUGAGCAUCCAUUCUUUGUACUUCUUUUUCUUUGGUUUGUAAAAGUCUGAAAGCCACAAACUAGCUGUCCCUAUUCUCCCUUUCUCUCCUCCCUCACCAAUUUCAUACAAACCCUAAAAUGUACAAGAAUAAAUAUUUUUAAAUAAAAACUCAAGGAGCUUGGCCCCUUCUUUCUAGUGCUGCUUUAAGCCCCUCCCCCCCCCUCUCUCUCUCUCUCUCUCUCUCUAAAACUUCACUAACAGAAUCCUCUCUCUACACUCACAUUACAUUAUCCACUCACUCACUCUCUCUCUCUCUCUCUCUCUCUACUUUCUCUUCUGUGUGUUGUGCAGCAGACACCUUCAAUGGCAUUUUGCUGACAGGUACAAUAAGUGAUUCUUCAUUUAUUAACCUACACACCCAACUAAUCAUAGCUUUAGCUUUAUAUUUUAUUUCCUUGGCUACCAACUUUACUAUUAAUGGAAUCUAUGUCAGUGAAUAAAUGGCUGGAAAACCAGUCUUCAUCUGCACCACUUAUCUGUAAGUUUACUCUCUCUCUCUCUCUCUCUCUCUCCUCUUGUUUGUUUUUGUUCUAUUUAUUUGUUUAAUAUGGUCGGAAAUAGUAAUGUUUUCCAUCUUAGAUUCCCAAUUUCUUGGAACAACACUGCUUGCAUAUCAUUAAUUUAUUGGAAAGAAAAAAAAGUCUCUUGACUUUCUAGUUUGGGGUUCUAAAAAAUUGCAAUGUCCAGAGCUGCAUUUCUUGCUUUCCUACUUUGUGUUUUCUUUGUUAUGGAGUCAAUUCUUGUUAAUUCUGCGUAUUGCUGUUUUGUAUGAUAUAAUAUAUUAAUACCCUUUUGAAUUUGAAAGUUCAUAAGCUAUUCCGUGAUUAGAUCUUUGCCUAAUUGGACUUCUGAUGUGGUUAAUUUGGUAAUUUUACUCUGCUGAUGCUGUUUGUACUGUGAAUUUUUGAAAUUAUAUUCUUAUUGAAGGUGAUACAAUUACAAAUAGCAAGAGAGAAGCUUAAUUGAGGGAAGGAGGUGGGGAAAGCAAAAAGGAGGUAAAGUAGUAGUAGAAGCAGCAGCUUUUGAAAUAAGUGCUUUUAUGGACUGGAACUUGAAAGCAGCUUCUUGGGAUUUGUCUGAACUAGAACAAGAAACCUUUUCCAACAUGGACACUACAGUAGAUGGGUCUAGCAGCCUUGGAGAUCAUAGGGCCUUGAAAGGAAGCAACUUUUCUGUUGAUUUGAAGCUUGGUCAGUUGGGUGGCUAUGGGAAUAAUGAGGUGGUGGAUAUGCUGAAGGAGCCCGUUCCGAGAACUACCUCAUCAUCUUCGUCUGUACCAUCAAAGAGGUCUAGAGCGGCUUACAGCGGAUCUCAGAUGGUUUCCUGCCUCGUUGAUGGAUGCAACUGUGACCUUAGUACUUGUAGGGAUUACCAUCGGCGGCAUAAGGUCUGUGAGUUACAUUCUAAGACUCCUCAGGUCACGAUUAACGGAAACAAGCAGCGAUUUUGCCAGCAGUGUAGCAGGUAUAAGAUUUUACAACAAUUUUCAUUAGUCUUGUAAUGUUGAUUUGCAUUUGAUUAAGUAUUUGCAUAUGUUGAUUUGCACUUCGAUUUUAUUUACACAAACUGCAGAUCUCGAAUGUUGAUUAUAUCAGAUAUCGAAUGUUGUUUUGAAAAUCGUUAGAUAGGAUGGCGGAAGACGAGCGAAUUUUUUUUGGAAAGCUGCUAAUGCUGUAUAGAACAAACUGCAGAUCCGUUUUUUUGUAAUCCUAUUCCGCUAAAUAAAUUCAGAGGUAAACUAACAAAUGUUCAACUCAUAUCUAUGUAUUUGUAGCUCCGUUCGGAUGAGUACCCUCUGUUCAAAGCCGCAAUCUGGCAAGGUCAAGUUCCUCACGCUUCGUGCGCUCUUUUGUUGCAGGUUCCAUGCUCUGGAGGAAUUUGAUCAGGGAAAGAGAAGCUGUAGGAAACGUCUUGAUGGACACAACCGGCGGCGAAGGAAGCCUCAGCCAGAACCCUUGUCGCAUCCGGGGAGUUUUAUGUCCAGUUACCAAGGUGAGCUGCAACCUUUCUUUGUGGAGAGCACUUUGUCGAAAUUAAGGCUGUGAAAGCAGACAUUUUAUACAAACAUCCACUUGGUUGAGUGCUUCAUCAACUAUGUCUGGUGGUCAUGCCACAGUUGAUGAUCUAGGGGCCACUAGCAGAUCCAUCUCUUCAAAUCUUUUUAUUUUUUAUUUUUAAGAUUCUUCCAAACUAUUAAUCUUACUGUCAAGUGCUGCUUAAUUUCUCUGCCGUCACAUCAAACAACCCUGAAAUUUCAAUAAAAACCUCGACAAAAAACCUCGGUUUCUUGAAUUUGUUUUAUAACGUUAAACACUUUAUGUCCACAAAUAAAAUUGUGCCGGCAUUAACACAAUUAAGACUAAAAGUUUUUAACAAUGUGUUGGUGAGUCCAAAGCGUGGAGGAGAAUCACUCUUGGUAAGUUUCCACACAACACAAAAUCACAUGCGCGAUCUCUCUUAAGUCUGAUUCUCAAAAAAUUAUCUCUCUCUGUCAUCACGAACACUUGUUUAGCACACGGGUCUACACUCCCUCGGAAACAGCAGCAUUGAGCCCAUCAGAGUUCUUCCCCAAUGGAAGUGUGAUAAACGCAUUGUCCCGGAACACUCACAUUCUCAGAGCAGUAAAAUACACCACAAUCCCCUCAAACACCUGAUUUAUUGGCAGUAGCAAAAAUUAUUUUAGGAUUUCAGCGUUGUUUCGGAAUGGAAUUUAGAACCUCAUUGUAGAUGAGGGCUUUAAGUGUCCGCAACAUAAAUAAUGGGAGUCUAGUGCGGUAUCUAUCUAUCAAUAUUCUUUGACUAAACUUUGUUGGUUUUCAAUUUUUGAUCUGAGCUCUUGAAAUUGAUGUGAUGAUUUAUUUUUAUUUAUGUUACUAUAUUUUUUAAAUUAAAAAUUGAAAUUUAUAGUUGUUUACGUUAAUGAGAUUUUUUUGAUUCAUGUUCUGGAUUUUAAAUAAAAACCCAUAAUUUGUGGGAUUAAAAAUCUUAAAAUAUAAAUUAUACUAUUGUGUAUAUAUAAACAUGGGUACAUUCAUCAAAAUUAACAAAAAAUUUUUGUAUCAACGGUAUUCUUCAAACCAGUGCAAAAAAAAAGAGAUAUUAGGCUAAUAACAUUAGUGAUUUAUUCUACUUGACAUGUACAUUUUCAAAAUCAAAGAAAAAAAAUGUAUCCAAUAGUUUUCCUUGAUUAGAAAAAAUUCAUAGAUUUUAUAUAAAAAAAAUUGAACAUUUUACAUAUAACAAAUUGUAUAUAGAAUUGGUCAAUUGAUAAUUUGAAAAAAUUACAUUGGUAUAUAAGUUUAUUGAAUUUAAAAAAAAAAAAGACUAAUGGGUACAAACUUAUUCUAACUUUUUAUUUAUUUUGGAAAUGUUUUGGUUAAAAUUAGUUCGAGUUUGAUAAAUGUGUAGUAAAAACUAUUCAAUUAAUUUUUAUUUGAAAUUUUGCUAUGUAAAUUCUUAUUAUUUGCAGGGACUUGGAUCAAAAAUCUAAAAACCAAUAAGGUUUCAGUCAAUGAACAUCAAUAACUAGGGACCGGAUACUAAUUUUUCCUACAUAUAUUAUUUACUUAUAUUGUAAGAUCUCACAUCGCCCAAGGGUGAGGAUCCUGCAAACCUUAUAUGUAUAUUCUCAUCUCUACCUAGCACAUUGCCUUUUGGGAAUUCACUGGUUUUGAGUUCCAUCGGAACUCCGAAGUUAAGCAAGUUCGGGCGAGAGCAUUCCUAGGAUGGGUAACCCACUGAGAAGUUCUCGUGUGAGUUCCCAUAAAUAAAGCCGUGAGGGCGUGGUCGGAGCUCAAAGCGGAUAAUAUCGUGCUAUGGUGGAGUUAAGCUCAGGAUAUGGUGGGGACCCGGGCCAGGAUGUGACAUAUACACUCUCCAACUAUAAUUAAUUAUAGACUCAUUUGAAAAUAUUUUUAAAGUGACUGAAAGUACUUUUGUAGCAAAUGUUUUUUAAACCAAUCCUUAGUAAAAAUUCAAGGAGAUCUUGGAAAAGCACUUAAAUCAAUUCACCAAAAGUAUUUUCAGUCAUUUUAAAAGCACUUUCAAACAAACAUGAACCAUGAUGGAUAAAAAUGCUUUUGCAUUCACAAUUUCUUAACCUUCCAAUCACUUUGCCAAGUUUGCAUUAUGAAAUUGUGUUGUUUUUAAGGGAGCAUUUUUGGUACUUCAAAAAAAAAAAUUAUGCACUCCACUCAAGUGUAUUAUUUCUCUUAAUUUAUAGAGAAAUGAUAAGCGCACACAUUUUUUCUUCUUCUACACUAAUUAUAUCCAUUAAUUUUCAUUUGAUUUAUUUAAUCUAAUGACCAGAAAUAAAGAAGGAUGUGCAAAAUGUUAAAAAAAGUGUUAAAAAAUGGGAUGCUAAAAUGCUUAUGAGACUUUCCGGCCCUGAAAAUGAUAGAUAACUAUGGUUUACCAACAAUUGUAUCUUUUUUUAGAAAGAAAAAAUAAUAAUGUAUUCAAUAGCCAUAGACUAUUAGUUAUCACCGCAGACCAUUAAUUGUUGUUACGAUCACUUAGUUUGUAAAUUAUAAGCCUUCUAUAUAUUUAAACUUGGUAGUUAAUAUUUCUGGCUUUAGUUUUUGAAACUUUAGUGAUAUUGAGCUAAUAACACUCAAGUGUUACUACCUUGAUUUGUAGUUACACUUGUAAAUGUUGGAUAGAAACAUGCAAUUCCAAAUCUUAAACCCCUAAAGCACAUAAUUAAUCCGUAACACGCAUCUAAAUACAUAAAUCAUUCAUAAUACACCUAAGUAAGCUCCAAUCACAUGUUCUUAGAGUUAUGUUCUUGUAAAUCAUAGUGAGAUUGAGCUAUUAGCACUUAAGUAUCAUGAAGUUACACUUAUACUCAAAAUUUAUGCACAAUAUGAGCCUAAAAUCAAAUUAUUUGUGUAGAGGAUUUAGACACAACUCUAUAAGCACAAUUACUAUUGAUGUAGGUUUUCUAACUUUCAAUCGAAAUCGACAAACGAGUUAAAACCAACUCAGUGAGUUUAGAUUCAAUUAUUAAGUUCUUUGACGUCCGUGACAAAAAAAACAAACGACUUUUAUUUGAAUUUAAUACGACCGGGUACGCAUUAACUGCGUUUCUGACAUUCAGGUAAAAACCGACAAACAACUUUAAGAAAAAAUCUGAGGCAAUUCAAUAUAGAUAUGGUUACAGUACAAUCACCAACAAUCACUACACGAGCACAAGCAAUUUGAACCGUUCAUUGAUGUAGGCUCCGCUUGAACGUACGACUAAGAAUAACCUAAUAACACGUGGGCGGCGCUCGUUCGUAAUAUACUGCUCACACCGUAGUAGUAAAUUUAGAGAAUCACAAACCCUAUUAAAUUUUUUGCUUUUCCUUUUUAGCUUCACAUGUAAUGGACUGUUUAAUUGGAUUGGUUUCUUUGCAGGGUAGAUAAAAAGUCUAUGGUUUUCAUGCAAAAAAGACAUAGUCUUUUGAUGCUUAACUCUUAAAGAGAUGAAAAUGAAACGCCUAUAUAAGAGGACCUCCCUCUACCACUAUCACCACAGAACAGAGCUACUCAGUAAGACUCAUGUUCUGUUCACAUAAACGAAGCCGAGGUGGUGAGGGUAGAUCAAUGGCGGCUGCACAGCUGAAAACUGAUCGUGAACAAGGAGUGUUUUCUCAAGUAGACGACGACAUUUUGCAGAACAUUCUGGGGAGACUACCGGGGGUUGCUUUCGCGUCAGCCGCCUGCGUCAACACAACUUGGAACAAGAACUGCAGCCACAUGCUCUCUCAUCCCAAAUUUGCUUCUGCCCUUUCUCUUAACUCCGACCUGCACGUAUGUCUUUAAAUACUCUGUUUUCCUAAAUGCUCUGUUUUCCUUAAAUACUCUAUUUUCUUAAAAUUCUAUGUCUCCUGAAAUGCUCUGUUUUUAUUUUUGACUCUGGUGAUUGUUUGUUUUUGAAGAAUGCGAUUGAUGAAGUUCUUGCCGAGAUUUUCUCUAAGCCAAUUCGACCGGACUUUGUUGUCGCAUAUAUUGGAACAAAUUUCAGCUUGGAAGAAACUCACCAACUUGUAAACUUUUAGUCUUUUUGUUAUUAAUUUUUCUUCAUAGUUAUUAAGUUAUUUAGUUUUCGGUUUUUAAUUAAUGGUUGUGAUGCAGAUUACUGAGAAGAUAGGCUCUAGAAUUCCGAUCAUUACAAACAGAGCCAUGGGACUAAUCAGCACAGAUGUCGAAACUCGUAAUCUCCGCGAGGCAUGUUCUUAAUUUUAUGAAACUUUAAAAGUUCAGUUAAGAACAUUCGACACCAAUUAAGACCAUGUUGAAUAUUGCACUAUAUGUUUGUGCAGGUGAACUGCGCUCAUGGUAACUCUGCACGGAACCCAGAAAUCAAUGGAGGCCUCGUCGUUUCCGUUGGAUUUGUGCCUGGCUUAAAAGUUGAAAUAUUUCCCCUACCGAGUCCAAGACAUGUGAGCUUUGUUGUUUUUUCAAUUUGUUUUGUGAAGAGCAAUUACAUGACAUGGAAGUGUUCGAUACUCAGGCACCGCACUUGCUUAUGAUGGAGCAUUUUGUGGGGGACAUUCUGAGCUAUUCGGGUCCUCUUCCGCCUUCAUGCAUGAUGAUGUUCGGGGUAAGUUGGUAUUCCGUCUUCUGAGUUUUACAGGCUAAAAAUUGACAGCUUGGUUUCCUUUUAUUUCUUCGAACUCGGUUUCUUCCUUUCCAUUGCUAAUUUUUGACAUGGUUGAUCUAGGAUAAACAUUUUGACAUGAACCUGGUUGUCGCAGCACUCGGUGAGUACUGUUUUCUUCUCUGAUUCCGCUAUUGGAUGUGAAAAUAAAGAACCUCGAAUAAUAAGUUUCGAAAAGAAAAACGGAGUUGCAGCUGUGAGAGCUCAAUUUCUUUUUCCUGCAAAAUCGUAGAAUAUUGUGUUGUAGAUCAUGUAUUUUUAUAUGUAAAAAACUUGUACAUGGAUCUUAUGGCGGAUAUCUUCCGUUAUCUUGCAGAUGCUAUUAUGCCUGACAAGACUGCCAUCGUCGGUGAUGCAAGUGCCUCUUUUAUGUACACUCGGAGAAAUGAAACCGGAAAUUACAGUAGCGAUUUGUUCUACAUUGCCGGUGCAGCACUCGUUUUUGUAAAGGAUCAACACAAACCUGAUUGUAUGUCCUUUAUGUCCCAAUCAACACACAUAGACACUCAGACUCACACACAUAUUGUCCUAUAUUUUCUUAAUUCAAAGUUCUGGUUUUAACAAAUCGUCAAUUUUAUGAGUAGACAUGGGGGAAAUUGAGUUCCAUGUCACAUUGUCGCCGAGUUUGAUGCCAUUCGGUCCUCAAAUCAAGACAAUAUCAUCUUAUGAGACGCCUACUCAUAGUUCAUGGAUUUCCGCUGUAAUGUCAGAGUUCGAAGGUGUCUUCAUUGAUUCCCACACCAUUCUAAGGGAGCUUCGAAGCCAGGUGCGUCAACAUGAAUAUCUAGACCGUUAUAUUGUCAAACUGUAAAUCUACCACAAAAAAAAAAUAAAAAUAAGACUAGACAUCCACAGGGUUUGUACUCUCAAUUCACAACUGUCAACGUAACAUGCUAGACUGUUAAACUCAAAACAGAUUAAUUUCGUUCUGACAAAAAUCCGUGUUGAUGCAGUUGGGCAUGUCGGACAUUUACGCUGGGGUCACCAAAAGAAGACAAUACCACAACGGAGCAGGACCACCAGUCUCCAUGACAACCUUGAAUUUUCAUGAAGUUAGAGGGUAAGUCAUACGAACUUAUGUUUUUGCCCUUGAAUUUUGUAGAGGUAUAUAUGUAUUUAUAUCUAUGUUUAUGUUUGAAAUUUGUAACAGGGGAUAUGGGGACUACAUUCUUGUUGAUGGUGUGGGAAUCCAACCCGAUGACGUCUUCUUCUUCUACCAUUCAGAUGCUGCAACUGCAAUGAACACCGUUGAUUAUGCAUCUGAUAACCUUCAAACUUUGGUUCACAAUGAUUCCGAUAUCCAGCGAAAGGUGUUCGGAGGGUUUAUCUUCUCCAGCAACAAACGCGGCAUAUCGUUGUUCAAUAGACGUAAUGUUGACUGUAAGCCAUUUGCUGACAACUUCCCAGGAGUUCCGGUAGCUGGAAUGUUUGGAAAUGGGGAGAUCGCGUGUGGUGCUUUGCUUGGUGAAGAAGAAAACCAAGAACUCGGUCAUCCUCGUUGCUGCGUCCAUGCUUGUAGUUCUGUGUACUUGGCCAUGACUUAUGUUCCUCCGCAAGCUCCAUAUUACUUGGAGUAGAUGUUUGGUCGUUUUUCUCCCAUUGGAAUAAAUAAAGUUGGGAGAGAUUAGGGUUCUUGUGUUGUUUUAGUUAAGGUGUUGGCAGAAGUUGGUGUUCUGUCCUAUCAUAUGUUGUUGUAAGCGUUUGGAUUAUGUCCUAGGUCUAAGGCAAGCACUUCAUCAUGGCUUCUAUAUAUAUAAAUAAGUGCUUGUAGUGCUUUUGUUGUUGGUAAUUUAAGUUUUAGUAGUGUUAUCCUAUGUAUCUUUGUUUGCAAGUCUUUAAAGUAGGAGAAGUAUUUCCCUUUUGUACAUAUGAACUGGGUUUACCCUAAUUAAUUUGUUGGUUUUGUGUUACAUUUAAAGUCCAACAGAUCUUGAACUCAACUGGCAUCGCGUUGAUGAUAAAUCAUAAGUUUACACUAAUUAACAAUCAAAACUUGGUUUAUUGGUUGUCAAUAUUUGACAAAAAGAGGUCAUAAAUUUAAAUCAUCUCACGUAACUUGUUACAUCGAUUAUAUGACCCGAAGAAGGGUUAUUGCUAAUUUUAGGGCUAGAAAAAAUUCUCGAAAUUCUCGAUCCAUACCGAAUCUGAACUGAAAUUAUCCCGAAAUUUUCGGUUUGGUUAUUAUCCCGAACCGCCCAAUUCGGUUUGGUAUUUGGUUUAACAUUUGUGGAUUUCGGUUUUCCCAAACCGAACCGACUUUAGAUAAUUACCUCAAAAAUGAGGCCCCAAGGAUUCGAGCCCCUAAUCUCCCCUUGGAGAAUCAUGGAACUUCACCACUGAGCCAACUCUCAAUUUGUCAAAUUAUAAUACAAAAAAUAUAUUUAUAUGCUUAAUAACUAUUAGUUACUCAUACUUUAACAUUUUCAUUAACCCUUGCUGCCUUCCAUUUUUCCAUUUAUGCAAUUUCAUCUCUCUCCUCUCGAUUUCAAUUUUCAGAGCUGCAUCUUCUCUCUUAAACUCUCUCUUUCUCUAGGUGGUUUUGCCACCAACACUUGACUCACCAGCUUUAUCUCCUCUCCUUUCACUCGCUUCUCUCUCUCUCUCAACUCUCCUUUCAGCCAUAUGGUAUUACUUUUUGCAGAUUCUAUCAUGCCUUCCAAAUUGUUCUACCAAUUUAAAAGUAAGUCAUAUUCUAUUCCCUUAAAGAGUUGGAAUUUAUGGUGCAACUACUACAAACUGGGGAUUUGGAGGAAGCUUGGGUAUCUUGUUUUUGAAUUAGGGCUCGAAUUAAGGAUUUACAAAUUGGGGAUUUGGGGAUUUGCCUUUGUUUUGGUUUGAUUUGGGAUCCCAAAAUACUGAAUUUUUUUUUGAGAAUUCCGAAAAUUGGGAAACUGAAAUUUUGGUUUCGGUUUCAGUAUUCAUAAUCUUGUCCUGAAAGAGUUCGGUUUGGGAAUCGGUUUGUGCUUUUCGGUUCGGUAUCCCAUACCGAACCACCCCUAGUUAAUUUGCUAUUAUAAUAUAAAAAGAAGAACGUAAUAUUAUACGAUCCGUAAGGUUUUAGGUUUGAUUUUCACAAAAAAUUGUGUCAAACACAAUUUUAGAGGGUGUAUUUAAUUGAGAUUUUGAAAUAUUAUUUUUGAAAUAUUUUCAAAAGACUUAUAAACUCAUGAUGUUUAAUGGAGGUUCAUAGACACCAUGUUAAUUUUAGAUGAAUUCACAAAAAACCGUAGGGAGAGAGACCUCAUUUCCAAAAAUCUAAAAAACAUUAUAAAGUCACUCCAAAUCCGUUAAAAUUCAUCAUCUUUUAAAGUAGUUUAAAACCAAAUCUUAUUUGAAUACAUAUUGAGUUUUAUGAAGUACUUUAAAAUCCGGAAUGAAUACACUCUGUUUAUACCAUACUUAGGGCCUCUGUAUUUAGAUCUCGUAUAAAUACUAGGGGGACUUAAAUGUAAUUAUGUAAUAAAGGAAGGGGACAAAUAUGUAAUAAGUGAGGAGCCCUUAUUCUAUAAAAUGACUCCUCACCCUCACAAUUAGGGAGGGCCAUUUCUUAAGCCCUCAUCAUCCUCUCAAAGCUCUCACUCUCAUUCAGAGCUCUCUCUCCCUCAGAAAUAUAAUCAGUGUGGGAGUAACCCAAACCUUAGGAUGAACCACGAUACAUCUUAUGUUAUUUACAUUUCUUGCAGAUUCACGGUCGGAUUUACGUUGUUUCAAGACCUCCAGUUUUUUUGCAUCAACAUUUGGCGCGUCUGUGGGAAUCGAUAUGAAAAGCUGUGUCAGUUCUUUUUCAUUUUUUUCACCUCCACCGCAAGAUCUGCAAAAACACAAAACUAAAAGCUCCAAAAAAAAAAGAAUCAAUCAUCAGAUCCACCGUCCACAACCCUAAUUCAAUCUCCUGAAAAUCUCUGAUCCCUUUCGCCCCAAAACAAAAGCUUUCAGAUUCUCUGCAUGUAUCGCAAUCCAUUCGAUUUUUGUAUGAUUGGAAAUCCGAAUUGAUGUGUUUCUUGUCGGAUCGGACGGUCAACGAUUCUUCAAAGAUUGGCAACAGUAAUGAACCCUAUGCCAAGUGCAAUACAAAGAAACCAUCGAGACCAUAUGCCAACCCACAACCUACAAAGAAACCUGCCAGAGCAGCCUCGAGAAGGUGGCGGGUGACAGCACCGACGCCAAGAACCUGAUCAAGGCCGGGUUCCAAGUGGCAGAAGACAAAGUUAACUCGAGACAAGCCGGGUUCCAGGCCGGGUUUCAGGAAGCUGGCGGUGAAGUUGCACCCAGACAAUCACUCUGCCUCCCCUAAGACAGAGAGAGACAGAGCCAUUGUCAGAUUCAAGCAGGUCUCCGAGGCCUACCAGAUCCUCAUCGACGAGCGCAAGUGCGUCGACUACAAUUUCUAGAUCUCUCUGCAGCUAAAACAACAAGAAAACCACCCCCAUUUGGAUGUUGAUUAAGGGCUUACAGAUUUGGAUCUUAUCAACAAUCAAGGAUGUGAUGCAUCAUUAUCAUCACAUGUUUGAGUCAGAUCACAAUCAGUUCAUCAAACGCCUCUUUCAUUUUUCAAAUUCUGAGCGAAGGCUCAUAUGCCCAAAAGAGCUAGACCCUCUACUAUCACCAACCAGGUAACCAAAAGUACGCCCAGUACUUCAAAAAUUAUUCGGCAACCUGCCGCUCUUACCACCAACCAGGUGAUCAAAAGUACGCCAAAUACUCCAAACUUAUUUAGCAACCUGCUGCUAUUACCACCAACCAGGUGAUUAAAAGUACACCCAGUACUUCAAAAUUAUACAUGAGCACUACUCAUGUCAAUCAUACAUAAAACAUUCAUGAGCAUCACUCAUAUCAAUCAUACAUAAACAUUCAUGAGCAUCACUCAUAUCAACAUUCAUGAGUAUCACUCAUGACAACAUCUAUGAGCAUCACUCAUGUCAAUCAACAUAAACAUUCAUGAGCAUCACUCAUGUCAAUCAGCUUUAAAAGCUUCAUUUACAAAAGCUCUAGCUUCAAAAGCUUCAUUUACAGAGCUCCAACUUCAAAAGCUUCAUUUACAGAGCUCUAGCUUCAAAAGCUUCAUUUACAGAGCUCCAGCUUCAAAAGCUUCAUUUACAGAACUCUAGCUUCAAAGCUUCAACUUGCAAAGCUUCACCUACAAAGCUUCAGUGCAUGGUCUACAAAGACCACCUCGGAACAACCGCCAUUUCGGCACAUACAUGGAUUCAAUUUGAAGUCUCCAGUCAACAGACUAUAUUGACCGAAGAUUUAGGGGACCACAUUAUGUACCAUAUAUUGGGCCUCAUGAAAAAUACUCGGGGGACUUAACCCAUUAUUCAUGUAUUGAGGAGCGAGCCCUUAUUUUAUAAAAGGGACUCCCUCACUUUCAUUAGAGGGAACCCAUCACUUCUGUAUUGAGGAGCGAACCCUUAUUCUAUAAAAGGAACUCCCUCACUUUCAUUAGAGAGCACCCAUCACUUAUGUAUUGAGGAGCAAGCCCUUAUUUUAUAAAACAGACUCCCUCACCUUCAUUAGAAAGCAUCGCCGCUAGCUGAGCAAUCGCCUCGCCGCGAGCUUCACUCAUAACCCAUCAUUUAUGUAUUGAGGAUGAGUUCUUAUUCUAUAAAAGGGACUCCCUCACCAUCAUUAGAAAGCAUCAACUCUAGCCCAUCAUUCAUGUAUUGAGGAGCGAGCCCUUAUUCUAUAAAAGGGACUCCCUCACCUUCAACGCCACAAGCCGAGCAGCCUUGCAACAUGUGCUACAUCUAGUUGAGCCUCAUUUCAGAUUGAGCACCGCCUCAUAUCGAGCAUCAGUUUAAAACAACAUCUAGUUACUUCGGCGCACACAUGGACUGAAUUUCAAGUCUCCAGCAAAAAGACUCUCUUUACUGAAGACUUGGGGGACUAUUGUUUAUACCAUACUUAGGGCCUCUGUAUUUAGAUCUCGUAUAAAUACUCGGGGGACUCAAAUGAAAUUAUCUAAUAUAGGAAUGGGGCAAAUAUGUAAUAAGUGAGGAGCCAUUAUUCUAUAAAAUGACUCAUCACCCUCACAAUUAGGGAGGGUCAUUUCUUAAGCCCUCCUCAUCCUCUCAAAGCUUUCACUCUCAUUCAGAGCUCUCUCUCCCUCAGAAAUAUAAUCAGUGUGGACGUAGCCCAAACCUUGGGGUGAAUCACGAUACAUCUUGUGUUAUUUACAUUUCUUGCAGAUUCACGGUCGGAUUUACGUUGUUCCAAGACCUCCAGUUUUGUGCAUUAACACACUCAAAUUCAUAUGAAGUUUAAUAAACUCUUUUAAAAUCUUGAUGAAUACCCAUGCACUUCCAUAAAUUCAAUGAAAAUCUUGGCUGAAUACGUAUGAAUUUGUAAACUCUUUGAAAAUUCUUUAAUCUUUUACUUGAAUAUCCCCACCCCUCCAAACGACUAUGUCAAAAAAAACAUUCUUUUAAUCAGUAUUUUGGCCUUUAAAUUAGACCUGGCAGUUUCUUACACGACACGAAAAUAACGGGUUUCGGAUCAAUACGAUAACUAAUGAGAUCAUUAUUGGGUGACCCGUUAAUAACGGGUAUACACGCGGGUAACAUGUGGGUAACCCAUUUCGACCCGUUAAGAAAAAUAAAUUAUAAUUUUAAAGUUUAAUUACUAAAAAAUUUAUUAUAAAAUACAAUAGCCAUAUUGUAUAUAUUGAUAUAUUCUAUAUUAAAUAUAUUUUUUUGUAUUAUUAUUCUACAUAAGUUUAAAAAAUUAAGUUUUAUUCAUUUAUUUAUUUUUAUUAUGAGAGUUUUUUAUUAUCAUUAAUAGGAUAAAUUUUACUUAACAUGUUGUUGUCCAAAAUUAAAAUCAACUAGUAUAGUCUUAGUAUAAGCAAUAAGACAUCCCUACAAGUAUGAAAAAUGUGAAAUAAUAUAUUAACACUCGUGAUUCAUCAUUCCUCCACAAGUAGAUAAUGAUUACACUUACAUUAUCGUUUAAAUUUUUAAAACCCUCCAAAUUGUCAUGAAUAGUGUUUUUUAGUGUAAAAGUAAUAAAAUUAAUAAUAAUUAUUGUAGAAGUGUAAAAACUGUUAAAAAAAAUAUACAAUCACUCGUAGUGAUAAGCUUUACAACUUUCGUGAAGAGGUCAACUGCGAAAUCCGACACUAUAAUCCAUAAACCUUAAAUUUUUAUUUAACCCUUGAUUGUCGUUUAGGCUUUAUUCUUUAUAUUGAAUUUUAUUUUUAAAAUUUUCUUUUUUGAAAACAUGAUCUUCUGGGGGAUGUAGGAAGAACGGUUCGGAUCUUUGAUAUCACGUCCCAAUAUUUACGGUUAAUUGAAAUAUGAGUCGAUGUUAUAUAGUUUGUAGAGACUUUAUAAACACCAAGCAAUAUUUAACCGUUCAUCUUCCUGUAUCCUCUAAUAGAUCAUGUUUUCAAAAAAGAAAAUCUAAAAAUACAAAAUUUGGUGAGAAAAAUGAAGCAUAAAUGUAAACAACAAUUGACGGUUAAAUUUUGAUUUAUGAAUUAUAUGAUUCUAGUGGCACAUUUCAAAGUUAAACCCUUCACGAAAGUUGUAAAGCUUGUCAUUAUGAGCGUUUAUAUAUUUUUCUAUAUUUUUCACACUUCUACAUUAAUGAAAAAACUAUUAAAGAUUUUACUUAAACAAUAGCCAUAAGAUAAAUUACAAGAGAGUGCUAAUGUAGAAAGCCUCAUUGAAAAUAUGAUCAACAUAACUCUUGAAGACAAUAUAUCAAGCCAAAAUUCCAAUACCGUUUCCUAUGGUGAUUGAUGAAAAUUGAAGAGUUUGAUUGUAAGAAAAUGUGCAAAGGUUCCAAACAUUGAAACAUAACUCCCUUAAUUUUGCAAAUCUUUUGAACAUUUGAUAUUUUGUAAUGUUCUAAUGUUUUUUUUUAUUUUUUAUUAUGCUCUUAUUUUGGGUAUGUAAAUAUGUAAUACUUGAAAGACAAAUGCGUUUUUAUGUUUUGAAUGUGAUAAUAUGGUAUGUAUAUACUUAUUUAGUAUUAUGUUUUUCAUUUGAUUAUUUAUUGGUUUAAAAUAUAUUUUCCUUAACGGGUAACGGGUUGGGUCAUAUUACUUGUUAAUAUUAUCGGGUCUGAUCAUUGUACCCGUUUAUUUUAACGGGUGUUACACGACACGACCCGUUAAGAUAUCGGGUAUGACACGAAAAUGACAUGAACACGGAAAACACGACACAAAUGUUAGGUCUACUCUAAAUACCAAACUUUUUUAUUGAAAACUGUUGAACAACAUCUCCACAUCCUUUCCACUCCCCCCUUCAUCCUCCUCGAAUUCUCCGCCGACUUCCACUUCUUCUUACAUCUCUCUCUCCCCCUCCUCCUUGCCUCAAAACCUUGACCCCAAACCCAAUCUUGGCCCCAAGCCCAACCCAAAUCCUUCGCCCACUCAUUGACCUCGCCGUCAUCGACCUGAUCAAACUCCGCUUUCACCGCUCUCGCCUUAUCUACAACAAGAACAUGAGCGUCCUCGUUCAGUGGAUCAUUCCCCAGCAAAAAUGCCUUUAGGAUUUGCUUUGUCGCCUUCCGCAACAGCUAAUCAGGAUCUGAAACUAGAAACCUAAAUGCAAGAAAGAGACAAAAGAAACACAAACUUGAUGAAGGCAAUAGGUCAUUCCAGACAGGCUUUUGUGGAAGAAAACUAGAAGAAGAAACAAAAGUUGAGAGCAGAGAAGGCAUUAGAUUCAUAGAAAAUUAUCAAAUGGUAAAGAUUUAAUCAAAUGGUAGGAAAUCAAUGGUCCGAGCAAGAGAGUUGUUUCCAAAAAUUCUUAGACCCGCCAUGCCCCGUUCCACCCUGCCCCGUCGCACUUUGACCUAUUUUGUGUAUAUAACAUUUGGACCUACACCGAACCGCAUGAACCCGCCCCAACCAGUGGAUCCAUGACCCAUUUUCCCACCGCUAGGAUGAGCUCCUCCUUCAAAUACCUCGUGACCUAUUUAUAGAACUUCGUAUUUAUGAUCAGAAUCGUUUGUGUUAUAAGUCAUGAUGUAAAGACCAUCUCUAAAAAAAAAUCAAUUAAAAUUAAGAAUGUUUGGUGAUUUAUAAUAUGAACGACUCUAUUUAUAAGCAUAAAGUUCUAUGAAUAGGCAAAAAAGUAUUUUGAGAAGAAACUUCACUUCAACCUUCAAGCCUUCCAUAUUAGUUUGUGUGAGUGUGCUACCUAUGUAUAGUAAUCAAGCAACUUAAAUUUGAUACUUAUAAUACUACUGCUAUACUAGUGUAAGUUCAAUAUUUGCAAAAGUCAUACUUUAGAACUUUCUAGUUUAUAAGUAUCAUACUCACGAGUUUAAUAAAUUAGUGUCACACGAAAACUUUUCGAAUGUGAUUCCUGUAUGAACUCAAUAUAUUGGUAUAACACUUGCUUUUUCUGGUCAAUGUGAACAGAUAACGCCUUCCACGCUAAACCAGAAAACUAUAUGUGAUACCAAGAGUAUAUGAAUCAAACUCCUAUAGUAAAUAAGAAAAUUUGAGUAUAAUGAUCUCAUGAGUGUGAUACAUAUACAAUAAAUAGCAAAGAUAAAGAAAAUAAGUAGCCGAUCAUUAAAUAAAGGAAAAAUUAAAGGUGGAUGGGUCCAUAUUUAAUAUAAAACCCAUCAUUAUCAAACUCACACUAUCAUGAAAAUAGUGUAAUACAUGUUAAACUCAUGGUGUCUGAUUAUGAGAUCAAAUCUUUUGCAUUUAAAAUGGGUGUAAUCUCUCUAUGGCUCUAAUAAUUGACGGACAGGUAUUUAAAAAUUCUUUUUUUUUUUAAAAUUUGUUUGUUAUUUAUUUAAUAUGUGUCAAAUAAUAAUUGGAGUUAGGCCAUACCCUUUUUUUUUUAACGAUAAAUUUUAUUAGAUUAAUCACCGACAGAGGUUGAAUCAACAUCAUCAUGUAAAGACCUGACCCAUUUUGAUCUCUCUAAUUCGUACAUGUAAUUCCACUUUUCCAACUGAAAGGGGUCCUCUCUGAAUUCCUUACACCUAAUUCUUUUCAUUAAAUAAUCCGGGUUCUUAAAAUACGAUCCAAUAAUUAUGAUAACUUUUAAAAUGAAUUUUUGUUUUUAGCCGUUGGAUCAAAUUUCAAUGUCCGGAUUAUUUGAUGAGAAAAAUUAGGGAAAGGAUCCAGAGGCUCCGGAUCCUUUUCCAACCACACCCAAGCGUCAAACUUCUACAAUCCAAAGUCGGCAGCACCUUUACGAAACAACCAGAGCUCCGAUGGACGUGGCAUCGUCGUCGUCGGCGAUAAAAACCGACACAAAACGGCCCCAUACGACGGCGACAGGGUUGUUUUCGCCGAUAAGCGAUGACCUUCUCCACAACGUCCUUUCGCGCCUACCCGCCCUAACCUUCGCAUCGGCGGCGUGCGUUAGCAAAUCCUGGAACCAAAUCUGCAGUCGCAUCCUCAAUCGACCGAAACUCGCCUCCGCCCUCUCUCUCCACCCCUCGCCUAAGGUUGGUUUAGCGUCUAGACCCCUUGUUUGGUUUCCGAGAAUAUCACAAGCUCAAAUUUUCACGCACACUUUCUCAAAUUUUGUGUUGGAAUUGACAGGUUGCUGUGAAUGAGGUUAUCGAGAAGGUUCUGGCCGAACCGAUACGGCCUCAUUUCGUUGUAGCUAAUAUUGGAAGUGGGUUUCGAUUGUAUGACAUUUCCAAGCUUGUAUGUGUUCUUGCUCUUAUAUACCCUUUAAUUAUAAUUAGUAUCGAAUUUAGAUAAUUUUUAAUUAAGAGAAGCAAAUUAUGGAAUUUUCUGUUGUUGUUUGUUUGAAAUUGCAGAUAUCGAAAAAAUUGGGGUCCAGUGUUCCAUUCAUCAUUUCUACUUCAAGUGGAAUUGUUGGAAGAGAUGCUCUGACCCAUGAAAUCAAAGAGGUUUGUGGUUGUGUUUUUCGGGUGUGCCGAGUUUUUGUGCGUUACGAUGUAGAAAGUUUAAUUCUUUACUAAUUGUGGGUAACAUUUGGUUGUUUAGGUUAAGUGGGGAGAAGUUUGUGGUGAUGGAAGUGAUGAAGAUUGCUCUAUACCAGCAAAGGAUGUGAACUGUGGCAUCCUUUUGACUGUUGGCUUUGUGCCAGGAUUGAAAGUUGAUGUCAUCCCGCUGUUACGAACAACAAAGGUGCCAAAUUUACAAUAAAACUACUACGCUGAUUUCUUUAAGAAUUCCACAGUGAUGGAUUUCGAAAUGGGAAACUUAGGACAUACAGUUUAUGGUUGUUUUUGUCAUUUUUGGGAAUUUGUAGAGUCAUUCAAGCUUUUCUGCUGUUUGAAUAAUGGAUUUUCAUGACGUGUAAAUUUUUUUUAAUGACAUCAGGAACCUCGAGAGGUGUUGCUUGAUAAAUUCAUCACGGAUAUUAUGGAUUACACAGCGUCUGUUUCAGAUUGCACAUCCCCAGUUGGAAUUAUGAUGUUUGGAGUGAGUGGUUGUCCUCACACUUGAUUGCCUCUCUCCCUCUUUAUUUGAAUCAGAUGUAGCUUUCCUUUACUGCAUUGCUAACAUGGGACAUGAUUGAUGGUGCAGGAUGGGCUUCUUGACAUGAAACCGAUUGUUGAUGCAUUGGGUGAGUACUGAGAAUAUAAUAAAAAGAAAAUAUUUUGUUUGAUAGCUAAGAAAAAUGAGGGAUGAUAUCUUUAUCACUUGAAACAUUAGUGAGAUAAGCCGCUGCUUCCAGAUUUUGUGUUGUGAUUAACUUUUCUGUUGCAUGCUCAUGCUGGGUCAAAUUUUGUUGAUUGUAUCUCAAUGUCUCAAUUUGUUGCAGAUUAUACUAUGCCUGCAGAAACUGUCAUUGUGGGUGAUGAAAGAGGUCGUUUUCUAUAUAGAAGUGAGAACGAGUCUAGAAAUGUCUGCGGGAGUGCAAAAUACUUUACAGACGCUGUUGCUCUUAUAUUUGCAAAGGAUAAAGGCAAGCCACAUGGUAAAUGUUUGGUUUGUUCAUUCAUUUAUAAAGUACUGUUUUGCCCAUAUUGUUUACAACGUAGUUUUAUGCUAAGUUAGCUAACAUGGAUGCCUUCAGAAGUGUCACAUACAAAGUAAAGAAAUAAAAGACGCAUCAUUUCUUGAUAGAUUGCUACUGUAGCCUCGCAAAAUUAGAGCUUCUUCUGAUUGUACGUAUAAUUUGCAAAGCCCCAUAGAAGAUUGGAAACACAUCCAGAUCUAUUCAUUUGUGAAGUAAUAUUUUUUGUAUUUAAUUUUUUUUUUUUUUUUGUAAACAUAUUUAAAGCUUUCAUGAUUUUAUAAAAUUUCUUGCGCUUUCAAAUUUUCAGUUACAGUAUAUCUCCAAAUUUUGGAACCGUGUCCUAUCAAAACUGCAUAAUUUUAAGGGUCUCAUAUUUGAGAGAUGCAUGCUAAUCUCUACUGUUCACGAGUGAAGGUUUUCUAUCACUCUUUUAUGCAUGUUAUUUUUUCUCUUUUCAAAUUGCUCUUAUUUUAGUAGUUCACUUUCCAGAUCUUGUACACCUCCUUAUAGGCUUGUACAGUUCUGUAGAUAUUUGCCUCUUAAUUUUCGGUUAACUUGUUUACUUCCUUCGUCCUGCUUUCAUGUGGAAACCUGGGCCCACUCCUUUUCACUUACUCUUAACAAUGUGUAUAUCCAUGGUGGCUUUCUUGUUCUGUAAAGUUAUAAUGUCAAACCAUCCAACGUGUUUUGUUAAUCUCUUAUUUGGUUUGGUAUAAAUGAGAAGGUAUUGGAGACAUUCAAUUCCAAAUUGCAUUGUCAAACGGAGUGUCCACAGUAGGUCCCCGGCACAAGGCUGUUUCUGUCAAAGUGAAUGAGUGUGAGCGUUCUACUUGGCUUACUGCUAGAAGAGAAGGACACCCUGAAAUUCUUGAUGGUCAACAAAUCCUUGAUGAUAUCAAUGAUGAGGUAAAACUCACAGUUAAAUUCCAAGUGGUGCAUGCAGAAAGUGCCAGUUGACUUGAAAUGUUUUACAUUCGACUAGUGAAUCAAAAAUAUUACAAGUGAAUUUCUAAAUCUGAGAAUUUUAGAACUGUUGAUAUAUCAUGCAUUCUUACAAGUACUUGUAUAUGUUUUUGAAAUGAAUAUGUGACAGUUAGGAAAUCAUGCUGAUUCUUCUGAUCUGUACAUCGGGGUUACAAAACGUAGAAAAAUCUCUAUCGGGUCAGAGAAGCCAAGGUGGAUUACGUCCUUGGAAUACCAUGGAGUUGUAGGGUAAUGCUCAUGACUACUUUCUAUAUUGGCUAGUAAAUUGUCUUAUUGUUGCUGCAUAUGUUCUUGUAACGAAGAAAUAUGAAUUCCUUAAAACAAGAACAUCCUUCACUGUGUCCUAUGCUUUGAUUUAUGGUUCGUCUGCUCAUCCCUGUCAAACUCCUUGCUCCAUCUACCACUUCACUGUAGUUGCUGUUGUUUUCCACAUUAAAAUUAUGAAUGGUACAAGAUCAUUGCCGGAAAAUCAAUUUAAAGAAUGUAAAGUAAAAGAUCUUAAUUCAGACGGUACUACAAUCUUAAUCUACAUAUAUUAUGUUUAUAUCUUAUCAUCUGCAUCUGCGUCUGCCUUCUGUGUUGUUGUGUGGUCUGGUCACUGGCAAUUAAGGCCUGGCUGCAGUAAAGUGAAUGAUUUUUGGGAAACAAGGAUUCUCUUUUGAUUUGAAUAUGUUUGAUAAUUUGAUAAAUCUUUAUGAUUUAAGUUUUAACACGAGGCUUUUCUGCAGAGGAGAUGAUCAGUACCUUUAUGUCAGUGGCGUUGGCAUAAAAACUGGUGAUUACUUCAACUUCUAUCGUUCAGACCCCCAAACUGCAUUAGCUUCAUGUAGCAACAUCUCUGCCAACCUGAAAAAAUUGAAGUUAGAAGAAAAUCCAAAACAUCGCCGUCACAUGAGUGAAGUAUUUGGGGGUUUUAUGUUCGCUUGUUGUGGCCGUGGUGAGCCGUUCUUUGGACGGACCAAUGUUGAUGGCUCUCCUUUUGUGGAGAACUUCCCCAGGGUUCCAUUGGCAGGAAUAUUUUGCGGGGGAGAAAUUGCACGUGGCUCUUCGAGGUUGACCGGGGAAGCUCAGAAGGAUAAUGAUGCUCGUUGCACUCUUCAUGUCUACAGCACCAUUUAUCUUGUGCUGUCAUAUACUCCAGCACCAGCACCAGCACCAUUGGAGCAUUAGAUGUUGCCUGCUGCUCGUCCCUUGAAUCUAUUUGUUUGAUAACCUUCUAGCAGCACAGAACUGUCUAUACGCUUAGGUUACGCGACACAGUCGACAAUUGAUGAACGGCCUGUAUGGCCGUAAUUUAAUUUGCCGGUAGGUGUUUUUUUUUUCUGCAUAGAACGCGUUCAUGCUAUAUAAAAACGGAUUAAUAUACAGUUGAUCCAGUCUAUAUUAUGUAAGAUUAUUUUUCAAGAAAAUAUAGAAAGGCAUGAAUGGGAAUGUAUACGUAUAUGUUGUGUGUAUGUACGCACAUAUACGAACUAAUUAGAAACAAGGGAAUCUGCAAAAACAGAACUGGUUAUAAACUUUUAAUCAAAAAUAUUUCUCGACAGACUAAAUAUACAAAAAACCUUAAGCUGAACAAACAAUAGAAGGCCACUACUAGUGCAUGUAUACGGCUUCUAAUUUCAUUUUCGCUCAAAAGUUUGAAACUAGUUUUAUUUGUGUAUGUUUACUUUAAACGAAACGCGAUGAAGUGAAAAGUCAACUGUGAUAUUGGCACGGCUCAAUCAAAUUAAAGGACCCAAAUUUUGAGAGAUUUUAUUUGAUUGAACCAUACCAACAUCCCACAUUUUUCAGCAAACACAAGAACACAGAACCACAAAGGCAUGAAUCAUCACUUCAACCUCCAUGGAUCAUAUCACUCUCUCAAAUACCUCCUUCUUUAUUUGGUUUUCGCCGUGACGCAUAUCGAUCGCCUUGGUCUCCGCCGCGACACAUAUCGACCGCAAGGCAAGUCGACGGUGCAGAGGGAAAAAGGAGAGGUGAUGGAUGUGGAGAAGCCAUUGAAGUUGCAAAUGGGAUAAGAGAAAGAGUGGAAUUUAUAGAGACGGGUUGCAAACAAAUAUAAGUAUAAAACGGUUGAGAUGUCAAAAUCUUUGUUCAUUUGGAAGAUGGAAUAUAUUAAAUAAAAAUUAGCAAUUUGGUAAUCCACAAUGCUUAGUGGUUUAUGACAUUAAAUUGUCACAUUAAUGCACAACAAAUGAUGCCUUGCCUUAGUCGCAAUUUCCUCCUCAUUUCUAAUUAUAAUGUUUCCAUUUUUUUAGCAAGUGGUACAUAGUCUUCCUCUUUAAUGUAUUAUGUUCCGAGUUUAAAACCUCUCGCAUUACUUUAGUUUAGUAUAACAAAGAGUUUAGUGUUCAAUGAAGCAUGCCAUUUUAUGCGCCUCAUUCCUCAUAGGAAGCUCAACCGCUUGCGGAGGGAAGCAAAUAGUGUUGCUCGCAUAUUAGCAAGGAUUGGGCUACAGUUGGAUAAUGUAAGAAUUUGGUUUGAUGAACCUCCUGAUGUAAUAAGUGAUCUUCUUUUUGAGAAUAUAAUUAAUUUAUAAAUCUGUUGGUGUGGAAUACUCUUUUUUCAUUCGACCGGGUUGAAAUUUUUCGACAAAAAUUUUAUUGAAGCCCAUGUACUCGCACUCUAUCCUCACCGUUUUUAUGCAUUCUAAACUUUAAUGAAUGAAUAUCGUACUUGAUCUCAAAAGGAUUUUCAUCACAAUGGUCUUUGAGAUUGAUCAAACUCAUCAUUUUGGAUCAUUACUUUCAAAAUCAAUCAAUGUCGUCCUUGACAUUCACUACCCCACAUCAAUUUGGUCAUUUCGUUAAGAUUUCGUCAAUUAUUCUGUUAGCUUGUAUGUGGGACCCACAAAUCCAAUGAAAUGAUGACACGUGGAUUACACAAAAUAAGGGUUUUAUCGCAAAUGGUCCUUGACUUUGAUCCAACUCCUCAUUUUUGUCCUUGAGUUUCAAAAAUCAAUAAAUUUGGUCCUUAACUUUCACUACCGCACAUCAAUUUUUGUCAUUCCAUUAAAAUUUCAUCGAUAUUUUUCAUUUGUGUGUUGAUGUGGUCCCACUAAUCCAAUCAUAUGGCUCCGUGUGGAUGAACUACAAGAAACUAUUUUUUUAAGAGUGAACCAACGGAUGAGUAUUCCGUGCUGACAUUUUUCUCACAUCCCACAACCCCAAUUGAAAAAAAUAUCAAUCUAAAUUGGAUAAAAUCCAAUCCAAAUUCAAUUCAAACUUGAUAGUAUUAUAACCAACUAGAGAGAAUGAGGAGUAGUUCAGGAGACCAAGUAGUUUAAUGGUGUCAUGGUGCCUUCCUUUUCUUUUGGAGCAUACCCUGAUGAAGACGACGAUGACUUUUUUUUCUUUUAGUUUUAGUUUUUAGUUUCUUAUUUUACUUUUAGUUUUAAAUUAAAAAAAAAUUAGUUUCUUAUAGUUAAUCCAUGUGGCAUCAUGUGAUUGGAUUAGUGCAACAAAAAAUAUUGACGAAACUUUAGCGAAAUGAUUAAAUUGAUGUGCGGUAUUGAAAGUCGGGGACCAAAUUUAUCAAUUUUUGAAACUCAAGGACCAAAAUGUGGAGUUUGGUCAAUGUCAGGGACCAUUUGUGAUACAACCCUUAUUUUGUGUAAUCCAUGUGUCACCAUUUCAUUGGAUUUGUAGGUCUCACAUACAAACUAACAAAAUAGUUGACGGAAUCGUAACGAAAUGACUAAAUUGAUAUGUAGUAGUGAAUAUCAUGAACAACAUUUAUUGAUUUUGAAAGUGAGAAACCAAAAUGAUGAGUUUGAUUAAUUUCAGUGAUCAUUUGUGAUACAAAUCCGAUUUCAAAAUAUAGAACUUAGAGUAGCCGAGAAUAUUCUAUGAAAUCAUUGUCAUCCGAUUUAGGUAUGCUCCAGUGAAGUGUUGAAAUUUAAGGUCUCCUUUCUGGUUGGUGGUUGGAAAAGUUGUCAUAUUCGCAUAAUUACGGCUUUAAAAUUGUAACCAAGAGGGGAUUAGAAUCACACUGAAAGUUGAUAGGGCAAAUUGGAAGAAAGUUGUUAGUUGAGACGAUAGUUACAAGUCUUUAUUUUUUUAAACGAUUGAUAUUUUACUUUAAACUAAUUUAAAAUCGCAGAGUAAAAAAUUCAAACUCGACUCUAUUAAAAAAUUACAUAUGUUAUAGACAACGUAACUACACUCAUACCUGCCAAACCAUAAGAUUUUAUUUGCCGAAGCCGUCUCAGUAUCUUUUCACUAGAGACAGAAACCCAUGAGGCCACGCACUCAAUGACUUAAACCUAAUUUCUUGUCCCAUUUUCUCCACGAUUUAGUGCAUGUCUUUCAAGGGAAAAUGAAUAUAUCUAAUCUAUAUCAAGCCUUAUUGAUAACGAAACAAGAUUUGACCCAACAACUACUUAUAAUCAAACUCGUGACCUAGUCAAGUUAUAUUACUUUGGCAUUGCUUUUCAAGGAUAUGAAAUCACGUUGUACUUUCGUUUUUGUCAGCAGAAUCGAACUCUUGACCUAGCCAAAUAAUGGUUUUUUCCUUUAAAAAUACGAAACCUUGCAUUGUAUAAUCCCACAUGAAUCGAAUCUUGCAAAGAUAUACGUUGUAUAUAUAACAGGGAUUAUUAUUCUAUAUUUAAGGAGAUUAAUAAACCCGUCGCAUUUAACAGGAUUUUUUUAAAAGUUCAAUAGAAAAAAAUUGAGAGAGAUAUCUUUUUAGUCGCGUGCGAGGCACAUCCCCUCACCAUACACUUGGAAUAUUUAUAAAAAGAGAUGUUAUCCCAAAUAGUUAGCAAUGUUGCAACCGGUAAAAUGUCAAACCUUAUUUCUUGGAAAUAUAUCGAUUGGGAUUUGUUUGGUGCCCUUUUCCAUCAAUCAAAGUUCAAACCAAAAACAUAAAAACAAGUUAUAGCCGGCAUCCGACCAAUAGGAAAAAUGAUGGAAAUUAAUAUACAGUCGGCAGCCGACAAAUGAACAAAACACUAAAUUUAGCCAUCUUUCAAUUUUUACUGGUCUCUUUUGUGCCUACUAAAUAUUUGUUGUAAUGCUUGCUAGGUACAUUUUAACAUGUUACAUCGACAUCACUCUACAAAUUCUCUCUUUUAUCGCUCAUCAAAUUGUAUCAGCAUAAGUCAAUAUCUGUUGACAUGUGCAUAACAUGAUUUAACUAACUACAAGCCUACAAAGUACUCGACGAAAUACGUUGGUGAAUAAACUGAAAAGAAAUAUUGAGCGCCUAGCACUUUGUUUCUAUCUAAAAAACUUGUAUUUAAACCCCCCAAGAUUCGAAUUCUGGAUCCAAUAUGGAUAUCAUAACUCUAGAAGAACAGCAAUGGUGAAUCUUUUUAUAUAUGGCAUCAAGUCAGCUACAACCACACACUGAGAUUGAGCUUAAACAAAUGGGGAUGCAAGUGAUCGGAGUUUCCUUAUAAGUGCCGGCCGGAAACUACGAUUAGAACAUCCGAUUGUCGAUUGAUAUUUCAAAACAGUACGAUCGAAAUACAAGGUGGACACCCAAAAAAGACAGCUCUGUCUCGGAGCUGCUUAUUUCCUUACGAGGAAAGCCUCCAGCUAAACGAUACAACGAAACAUGACGAUGAAACUGAUCAAAUGGAAAUCCCCAAAGAUUUCUUGAACUUUUCAACCUCCAAAUAUACUGUGGAAUACGGGAGGAAUUCUUGGAAAUAUUCUUUGCUUAGAUCGUUUAUUGCGACAGCGAGUUUUGGGAUCUCCAAGGUCUCUUCAUGUGUCAGGGUUCGGACAAACCUUGCCGGGUUUCCAGCCCAAAGUUCACCGGUUGGAAUUCUCCUCCCCGGGGGAACCACAGAUCCAGCUUCAAGGAUAGCGUGGGUCUCCACCAAGGAACCUUCCAUUAGGAUCGAAUGUUGCCCGAUAAUGCAUUCUGGCUCAAUUGUGCAGGACCGCAACAGACUGUAUGCGCCAAUAGUCACAAACCUCUCAAUGGAUGUCUCUGCUGGAAGUCCUGAGAUAGUGAAAGUGGUUGCGUGUUAUAAACUCAGAAAAUCCCAGUAGAUUAAUUAGCAAUAGAUCCCUUACAUUUCAUAACAGACGUGAUAUGCACGUCAAGAAAAUACAUCAACAACAAAUAACAAUUGAUAUACAAGAGUCAUAGUCACCUUCUAGGAUGCACAAACAACCGAUGUAUUUUUAAAAUGAAAACAUAUGCUCUUUAAACAGAGCCAAUGAAAAAGAUAGACUAGAUCAUUAUAUACAAGUUGAUGAAAAUUAAGGUUGGUCUCUGGAUAGGACCAGGAACAAUGUAGAGAUCAGUGGAAACUCGGCCUAAAACGAAUCAAGAAACACGAUGCUCUAGGGUUAUAUGCUAAACAUAAGGAAAUUCCAAAUUCUUGACUGAAGUGAAUUUACACCCCAAGUAUAAACCUAAAGGUCAAAAAGUUUCACGCAAGAGAAGUUGCGAGAUAUAAGUUCAGGAAUGACCAGAUAACCAGAAACACUCAGCUGUUUUAAAACAUUAAAUACAAAUGGCAAACUAAUCGAUAUUACCACUUUCUUACAUAUCACAUUCUACUGACCUUAUCCAUCACUAAUUAUCAGAACCUGCUGUUCCUCACAAAGAAGAGAAUUCCUAUAUUGUAUAAUACUUGACACCCAUGCCUAGCAUAUUUGUCUAGCCACGAAUUCAGGAAAUGGAGAAUGAACUAAGGAUAGUCUAAUAGAUGUUGCAUGGACACUCCGAAACCCCGAAGUAUCGGAGUGUUGGACACCCCGACACCCGACAUGCCUCGGACACGCCCCAGACACAGUUUGGACACGGUCCAGACACAGCAGGCAUUUUUUGUAAAUGUAAAGACAUUUUGGGGCAGUUCUGUAACUAUU
Molecule: long non-coding RNA, 93069 nt
Filed under: Malus domestica (apple)
Lineage: Eukaryota; Viridiplantae; Streptophyta; Magnoliopsida; Rosales; Rosaceae
Source: RNAcentral